UUUUUUUUUCUGUUUAUAUUUCUCAUAAAUUAGAAAAUUUCAAAUUUCAAAAUUUGUUCAGAAUAUCCAAAUAUUUCAUGUUCUUCAAAUUUUGCUCAAUUAUUUAUUUAUUUAUUUGCAUUGUUUCAGAAAAAAAGAAUGUUUAAAGUGUCCUAUUUUUCAUAUUCAUUAAUAAAUGUUAAAAAUCCGGAAAAUGUUCAGAAUUUUCAAAUCUUGUUUUGGUUUCAAUUUUUGUUCAUAUUUUCUAAUCAAUGUACAAAAAUAAAAAAUGUUCACAUUUCAAAAACAAAUCAUAAAUUUGGUAAAAUGUUCACGUUGUCAGAUUUUGUUCUGAUUUUUGGAAGGUAUUCCCAUUUAAAAAAAAUUGUUCACGGAUUUAAAACUGUUUGCUUUUCCAAAUUUUGGUCAUAUUUUUAAAAUGUGCCAGCGUUCUGGAUACGGGGGUACCCAGACUUGCCUGCCUGCGGCCCACGACGUGGCUCCAUUGACGCCCUGGUACGGCCCAGCUUUAGCAUCAACAACUCAAGACCCUCGCGAGGGGUCAAGCCUCGCGAGGCGGACGACGCCAAGACCUUCAAGGGGAUCGGCCUCCCCAGGCUGGCUCCCGAGGAGCGGAGAUUUCUAUGCAAGGUGCACCUCGCGAGGUUCGGUUGACGUGAGCCAUGACGACCAAGGACAGGCGGGCGCCAGUGGGCGCAGAGUACCAGUUUCCUCUUCGGUGCAAGGGAGGCAAGCAACAGGAAUGGAGUCCCGAGAAAUCAACCAAAGAUUUCCAUUCUAAUGCAACAAGACCAAGACCGCCAACACGGCAGGACAGAGGUCACCACCGAGCCCACCGCAGCGUCACAACCAGAGGCUUUUGUAGGCGAAGACCGCUUUAGUCAGGAUAAGAUGUACCUGUUGUCUCCCUUCAAAUUUGGCUGUCGUGGGAUCCCUUCCCACCUACAUAUGGGAAGAGGACGAAGGCCACUAUAAAUAGGACCUAGCCACCACCAUGGGAUGGGAUCGAAUCUAUUCCACCCUCUCCACCUCACCAGCUCACUUGAGCUUAAGAACACGCCUCCUAAGGCUGUUCUCCACUGUACUAGUUCUUCCUAAGCCCCUCGAGGCAAUCCACCACAAAACAGGAGUAGGGUUUUACACCGCAAGAUGGCCCGAACCUGGGUACAUUGUCGUGUCUUUCUUUCCCUUCGAGCUCGACGCGAUAGGCUGUGAGGUUUGCGAAUUGUCAGGCUGGGUAGGUUGAGAUCACUGCAUGCACCCCAGAGUUCGAACCUCUCAAGGGUUUGUGGAACCCGAAAUCCGACAAAAUGUGCCCGUUUUAAAAUUUUCUUCACAAAUUAAAACACGUCCCCUUUUUCAAAAUUUGUCGACAGAUUGAAAUAAUGUUCAGGGAGUUUCAAAUAAUCUUCAUGCAUUCAAAGUUAUUCAUAAUAUAAAAAUAUUCAUGUUUAAAAAGAACUGCACAAAUACAAAAAGAUGUCCAGGGAAAUUUUAAAAAAAUUGGUUUCAUUUUCUGUUCGUUUUUUCUGUUUUCUGGAAUUCAAAUUUAGUUACUGUUUUCUUUAAAUGUGUUCAAAAUUUUGUUGACUCUUUUUGAAAAAUGUGUGUAUUUUGACAUUAUGAGUAAUUUUGAAAGAUAUGAACUUUUGGUGAAAUUUCUUUAUCAUUUUUAGAAAUACUAAUAUUUUUAUUUUGUGAAAAGAAAAGGAAAAAUGAAACCCGAGUGGAAGUCAUGCAUAAAAAAACAAAGAAGAACCAAAGAGUGAAGGAGUUGUGUUUUUUCUUAGAUUUAUCUAUCUCGGUCAACAAGAAAAGAACAAGGUUAUUAGGCAUGCCAGAUAAGCUAUCCCAGAUGGUUUGUGCGCUUACAUACAGUUCGUGAGCUCUAGUUCGAAUCGCGUGUUGGACAUCUAUAUUUUGAAGUUUAAAAGCAAAAAAAACUGUGUUAGCCCAGGAGGAGGGGUGUGCACUACGAAUCGUAUGGCGUAUGCAUUCUACAUAUGACAGUGGUACGAUUUGCAGAAGGUCCAUACUACCCUUUAUAUGUUUUGUGAGGGGAGGGGGGAGGGGGGGUGUACCAAAGUGGGAAUCAAAUAUUUAUCUCUUGUUUCAUGCACUAUAGAUACUAGAUGAUACCCCGCGCGUUGCUGCGGGAAUUUUGUAUCAAAUGAUGUUCAAAAAGUAAGCGUACAUAAAACUAUGGAGUUCAAUGAUAUGAUGGUAUUGGAUGUUUUAGAUACCAAAUAAACGGCCGAUGUCCAACUCAUACUUGCAUAAUCAUAUAAAUAUCAUGUUUCUCUAGGUUUAGAAAGAAUAUACACAUUGUGGAAUAGAUCAAUUGUGUUCCCAUAACAAUGUCCAACACGAAGUAAAUCAAGGCAAGACAAUGAAAAAUUGCAGGUACAGAUGCCGACUUGAGGAAAGAAACGCCUCUAAGGUGAUACGGUGCAGCUGAUAUAUAUGUGGCAUACUUCCUUGUUAUAGCUAGCGUUUGUUAUACUGAACCAUAUAGUAUAUUAGCUAGUUCCAUAUAAAUGUUAUUUGAAAACCCUGAAGUGUAUCAUAAAUUAUUUUUACUCCCACUAAUUUUAAUUCAUGUGUCGUGGUAUAUUCAUCUGAGUGUGUGUAUGCAGAGGAUGAGAUGGCCAAAGUUAUUAUGCAUCUGAGCAUGUGCUGACAUCUGUCAUCAUAUCCGUCUUGCUUGAUUUCUGUUCAAGUGUGGAACCAUGGCAUUUGCAUAGUAAUAAUAAAUCAGUUGCUACGUAUAAUUGUAGCUUGAUGGAAAAUCAAGACAUAUUUGCAUAUUUGUUUUGCGCAUAUUAGGCAGCUCAAAUGUUGCAUGAGUCGCCCCUCAUGUAUGUCUAAGAAAAGGUGCAUAAAAGCAUGGUAAGAUGUAGCCAAGUCCAUAUCGGUGUAUAUGCUAACGUUGCCUAGUCGGAAGAAAGGAACCAAAAUAUAUAUGAGAUACUGUAUUCCAAUGUAGGAUGAUGACGUGAAUAAUAGAGGAACAAACCCCCUUGUACAUGAACACCGCAAUACCAUAACUUGGAAGAAGAAUUUAAGGCUACACAGAGCAUGGAUCCUAAAGCAAAUUGGCUAUGGUCGAUCAAAAUCUCAAGUAAAAUUGCUAUAUGCUUUAUCAGAGUAAGUUCUACACUACCGGCCAUACUCUCCUUUUAGCUUAUGUUUAGUAAAUUGUAAGCAUGCACAUCAUAUUGAAUCAAACUCUGAUGGUCUGAUGUGUAAACAAAUUUAGUCAUUUUUUGCCAUGACAAUAUCAUGUACUCCCUCCGUAAACUAAUAUAAGAGCGUUUAGAUAACUAUUUAGUUAUCUAAACGCUCUUAUAUUAGUUUACGGAGGGAGUAUAAAUCAUUGAAUGAGUAACAUACUGGAUUGCUGGUCGUAUUAUUUCUAGAAAGUUCUUACAACCACUGCUAUUUUCUGUCUACAUCCUUUGAAAUAACAAUGAAGGGACGGGGGAAAGUCCAAAAUAUCAUGGUGAAACGUCUGAACACCGUCAGAAAAACCAAUAACAGGAUCUCUCACCUUAGGAAAUCCCAAAUGCUCGUGAUUACACAUCAGUCAAGAAAAUCCAGAUCAAGUCUUGCUAUGAUGGAAUAGAAUAACAAAACAUGAGUGGGCAUAUAUAGGAACAAAAGAAAGAAAUUCAUUAGGAAAUAGACAAUAUUUUCUAUAUUCUGGUGGUGGAAGAGAGAAUGAGCUCACGGGCUAUUGAUCUUGUCGUGGCCGUGCCGAAAAGCUAGUGAUUGCUGACUCCAUCGUCAGGUCUAGAUGUACCUCACUUAGCAAUGCGGGCUCACAUCAAUUCUCUCCUUGGCAUCCUCACAGCCUUGCUAUCCUUGUGAAGGCGUCUACCUGGAUUCAUAGAAGGCCAGCAAAUGGUUUGGCAAUGGGACUAUGGGAGCCCUACACACAUGACGGGAGCGCCACCACGGGCCCCACUCGGCCGACCCGCCGCCACUUGCUCUGGGGUGGGGAAGGUGACCGGAGGACGCGCCGGCACCGAGCAGGGUUCGCCGCGGCCUUCCCAGACUUAUGCCGAGACACCCGGCGCGCGACCGCAAGUUAAUCGCGGAGAGUAGCCGGUUCCGAUCUCGGCGUGGCGGCAUCCUCCGCGAGGUGCUCUACUUCCCAGUCGGGAGCGCCUACGCUGGGGAAGCUGGAGGCAGGGCGGGGACGGCCACCGGGGGAACUCGUCGCCAGGGAGGGGGCGCCUCUCGCCAUUGCUUACCCUGCCAAAAAAAUAAAUUGCAUGUGCACGCCCAAGCAGUCCAGAGAGAAAUGCAAGACGGGAAGAGCAACUGAAUCGCCGGUGUAGGAAAUCGAUCCGUUUCUGUUGGUAGUGGAAUUUGAUGCAGUUUGGAGAAGAUGAAGAGGAAAGGGUGCUAAGACAUGACGCGCUGCGUUGAGGAAAAACGAUGCGAUGGGGAAUCAUGUGCACAGGUCACAGACGAAAUUCUCCUGAGAAAAAUAAAUAAAUAUUGAUGCUUAUGUGGCGGUGGGUCCUUAGCAAGUAAUAACCGAAGCUUGUGUGGUAAGGGCGUUCUAGUGGUUGGACCCAUAUGUAAGUCAAUAAAAGAAUGAUGACAUGGCUGAUGUGCUUAGGUGGAUAGGCUGCAUGUCAAGAGAAUUAGUUUAGUGGGGAUGAACUAUUUAGGUAUUAUAGAUUAUAGAUUUGCAAGCAGACUCCCCUAGCAGUAGAAGCCACCGGUGCCUCCACCGUUACACCGACUCCGCAUCCCCAUCAUAGGUGUUAGCCACGAAGACCUCCUGAGACGGGUUGUAGCUUCCCGGGCUCUUGGUGUCGAGCCAAAUUUAAGAACCGAGGGUGCAUUUGCCAUGAUAUGCACAAUUAUCUAGAUACACAUACUUUCCUUCUAAAUCCACAUCUGCCAUGAUGUAUAGAGGGUAUUUUCCAUGAUUUCAAAAGACCUUGGCAAAUUCGCUUUACAGAACACGGCAAAUUCACUUUAUGGAUCAUGGCACAUUUUUUUGACAAUGAAAAUUUCUUUCCUCAUCGUCCAUAGCAAAUUCAUCUUAUUGUCCAUGGAAAAUUUACAUUUUUCAAUAAAUUGACAUGUUUCAAAGAACAAAAAUUCCAACACUUGAUUCCUUCUGUGUCCAUGGAAAAUCCAUAAAAAAUCCCAUAUUUUUCAAAAAAAAUCUAACUUAAUGGCCCAUGGAAAAUGUAGUUUACGUCUAUGGGAAAUUCACCUUUUCCGACCAUGCAAAAUUUAUUGUUUGGAACAUGCCAUUUAAAAAAAGAUUAGACCAUCAUAAUUUUGGUUUUCACCAUAAAGUUUUACUAUUUGACCAUGGCAAAGAUUUUCUUUUACAGGCCAUGGACAAAUUUAUUGGUUUCACCCUUGCAGAUUCAUUUUGCUGGUUAGACACUGAUAAAAUUAAUUUUUUAAACCUUGACAGAGUUUAAAAUGAAGGAAAUAUGCCCUAGAGGCAAUAAUAAAGUUAUUAUUUAUUUCCUUAUUUCAUGAUAAAUGUUUAUCAUUCAUGCUAGAAUUGUAUUAACCGGAAACAUGAUACAUGUGUGAAUGCAUAAACAAACAACAUGUCACUAGUAUGCCUCUACUAGACUAGCUUGUUAAUCAAAGAUGGUUAUGUUUCCUGACCAUGAACAAAGAGUUGUUAUUUGAUUAACGAGGUCACAUCAUUAGUAGAAUGAUCUGAUUGACAUGACCCAUUCCAUUAGCUUAGCACACGAUCGUUUAGUAUGUUGCUACUGCUUUUAUCCAUGACUUAUACAUGUUCCUGUAACUAUGAGAUUAUGCAACUCCCGUUUACCGGAGGAACACUUUGGGUGCUACCAAACGUCACAACGUAACUGGGUGAUUAUAAAGGAGUACUACAGGUGUCUCCAAAGGCAGAUGUUGGGUUGGCGUAUUUCGAGAUUAGGUUUUGUCACUCCGAUUGUCGGAGAGGUAUCUCUGGGCCCUCUCGGUAAUGCACAUCACUAAAGCCUUGCAAGCAUUACAACUAAUGAGUUAGUUGUGAGAUGAUGUAUUACGGAACGAGUAAAGAGACUUGCCGGUAACGAGAUUGAACUAGGUAUUGGAUACCGACGAUCGAAUCUCGGGCAAGUAACAUACCGAUGACAAAGGGAACAACGUAUGUUGUUAUGCGGUCUGACCGAUAAAGAUCUUCGUAGAAUAUGUAGGAACCAAUAUGGGCAUCCAGGUCCCGCUGUUGGUUAUUGACCGGAGACGUGUCUCGGUCAUGUCUACAUUGUUCUCGAACCGUAGGGUCCGCACGCUUAAGGUUUCGAUGACAGUUAUUAUGAGUUUAUGUAUUUUGAUGUACCGAAGAAGUUCGGAGUCCCGGAUGUGAUCACGGACAUGACGAGGAGUCUCGAAAUGGUUGAGACAUAAAGAUUGAUAUAUUGGACGGCUAUAUUCGGACACCGGAAAGGUUCCGGAAGUUUCCGGAGAAAACCGGAGUGCCGGAGGGGUUACCGGAACCCCCCGGGGGAAGUUAUGGGCCUUAGUGGGCCAAGAGGGGAGAGAGAGGGGCCGCACCAGGAGGUGGCGCCCCCCCAGGGGAGUCCGAAUAGGACAAGGAGGGGGGGGCGCGGCCCCCCUUUCCCUCUCCCUCUCCCUCUCUUUCCUUCCCCCUUCUCCCUUCCUAGUUGGACUAGGAGAGGGGAGUCCUACUCUAACUAGGAGGAGGACUCCCCCCUCCCUUGGCGCGCCACUAGGGCCGGCCGGCCUCCCCCUUGCUCCUUUAUAUACGGGGGCAGGGGGGCACCCUAGGACACACAAGUUUGAUCUACGGAUCGUUCCUUAGCCGUGUGCGGUGCCCCCUUCCACCAUAUUCCACCUCGGUCAUAUCGUCGCGAAGCUUAGGCGAAGCUCUGCGCCGGUAGAACAUCAAGAUCGUCACCACGCCGUCGUGCUGACGGAACUCUCCCUCGACACUCGGCUGGAUCGGAGUACGAGGGACGUCAUCGAGCUGUACGUGUGUCAAGAACUCGGGGGUGCCGGAGUAACGGCGCCGGGAUCGGUCGGAUCGCGAGGAGAACGUACGACUACUUCCUCUACGUUGUGAUCGCUUCCGCUUCGGGUCUACGAGGGUACGUAGACAACACUCUCCCCUCUCGUUGCUAUGCAUCACCAUGAUCUUGCGUGUGCGUAGGAAAAUUUUGAAAUUACUACGUUCCCCAACAGUGGCAUCCGAGCCUAGGUUUUUAUGGUUUGAUGUUUUGCACGAGUAGAACACAAGUGAGUUGUGGGCGAUACAAGUCAUACUACCUACUAGCAUGUCAUACUUUGGUUCAGCGGUAUUGUGAGAUGAAGCGGCCCAGACCGACAUUACGCGUACGCUUACGCGAGACUGGUUUCACCGCUACGAGCACUCGUUGCUUAAAGGUGACUGGUGGGUGCCUGUCUCUCUCACUUUAGUUGAACCGAGUGUGGCUACGCCCGGUCCUUGAGAAGGUUAAAACGGAGUCUAUUUGACGAAGUAUCGUUGUGGUUUUGAUGCGUAGGUGAGACUGGUUCUUGCUUAAGCCCGUAGCAGCCACGUAAAAUUUGCAACAACAAAGUAGAGGACGUCUAACUUGUUUUUGCAGGGCAUGUUGUGAUGUGAUAUGGUCAAGACGUGAUGCUAUAUUUUUAUUGUAUGAGAUGAUCAUGUUUUGUAACCGAAGUUAUCGGCAACUGGCUGGAGCCAUAUGGUUGUCGCUUUAUUGUAUACAAUGCAAUCGCCCUGUAAUGCUUUACUUUAUCACUAAACGAUAGCGAUAGUCGUAGAAGCAUAAGAUUGGCGAGACGACAACGAUGCUACGAUGGAGAUCAAGGUGUCGCGCCGGUGACGAUGGUGAUCAUGGUGGUGCUGCAGAGAUGGAGAUCACGAAGCACAAGAUGAUGAUGACCAUAUCAUAUCACUUAUAUUGAUUUGCAUGUGAUGUUUAUCCUUUAUGCAUCUUAUCUUGCUUUGAUUGACGGUAGCAUUAUAAGAUGAUCUCUCACUAAAUUAUCAAGAAGUGUUCUCCCCGAGUAUGCACCGUUGCCAAAGUUCGUCGUGCCCAGACACCACGUGAUGAUCGGGUGUGAUAAGCUCUACGUCCAUCUACAACGGGUGCAAGCCAGUUUUGCACACGCAGAAUACUCGGGUUAUACUUGACGAGCCUAGCAUAUGCAGAUAUGGCCUCGGAACACGGAGACCGAAAGGUCGAGCGUGAAUCAUAUAGUAGAUAUGAUCAACAUAAGAUGUUCACCAUUGAAAACUACUCCAUUUCACGUGAUGAUCGGUUAUGGUUUAGUUGAUUUGGAUCACGUGAUCACUUAGAUGACUAGAGAGAUGUCUUUCUAAGUGGGAGUUCUUAAGUAAUAUGAUUAAUUGAACUUAAAUUUAUCAUGAACUUAGUACCUGAUAGUAUCUUGCUUGUUUAUGUUUGAUUGUAGAUAGAUGGCUCGUGCUGUUGUUCCGUUGAAUUUUAAUGCGUUCCUUGAGAAAGCAAAGUUGAAAGAUGAUGGUAGCAAUUACACGGACUGGGUCCGUAACCUGAGGAUUAUCCUCAUUGCUGCACAGAAGAGUUACGUCCUGGAUGCACCGCUGGGUGCCAGGCCUGCUGCUGAUGCAACUGACGACGUUAAGAACGUCUGGCAGAGCAAAGCUGAUGACUACUCUAUAGUUCAGUGUGCCAUGCUUUACGGCUUAGAACCGGGACUUCAACGACGUUUUGAACGUCAUGGAGCAUAUGAGAUGUUCCAGGAGUUGAAGUUAAUAUUCCAACAGAAUGCCCGGAUUGAGAGAUAUGAAGUCUCCAAUAAGUUCUAUAGCUGCAAGAUGGAGGAGAAUAGUUCUGUUAGUGAGCACAUACUCAGAAUGUCUGGGUACUACAAUCACUUGACACAAUUGGGAGUUAAUCUUCCAGAUGAUUGUGUCAUUGACAGAAUUCUUCAAUCACUGCCACCAAGCUACAAAGGCUUCGUGAUGAACUAUAAUAUGCAAGGGUUAGUAAAGACUAUACCUGAGCUCUUCGCAAUGCUAAAGGCUGCGGAGGUAGAAAUCAAGAAGGAGCAUCAAGUGUUGAUGGUCAAUAAGACCACUAGUUUCAAGAAGAAAGGCAAAGGGAAGAAGAAGGGGAACUUCAAGAAGAACAGCAAGCAAGUUGCUGCUCAGGAGAAGAAACCCAAGUCUGGACCUAAGCCUGAAACUGAGUGCUUCUACUGCAAGCAGACUGGUCACUGGAAGCGGAACUGCCCCAAGUAUUUGGCGGAUAAGAAGGAUGGCAAGGUGAACAAAGGUAUAUGUGAUAUACAUGUUAUUGAUGUGUACCUUACUAGAGCUCGCAGUAGCACCUGGGUAUUUGAUACUGGUUCUGUUGCUAAUAUUUGCAACUCGAAACAGGGACUACGGAUUAAGCGAACACUGGCAAAGGACGAGGUGACGAUGCGCGUGGGAAAUGGUUCCAAAGUCGAUGUGAUCGCGGUCGGCACGCUACCUCUACAUCUACCUUCGGGAUUAGUUUUAGACCUAAAUAAUUGUUAUUUGGUGCCUGCGUUGAGCAUGAACAUUAUAUCUGGAUCUUGUUUGAUGCGAGACGGUUAUUCAUUUAAAUCAGAGAAUAAUGGUUGUUCUAUUUAUAUGAGUAAUAUCUUUUAUGGUCAUGCACCCUUGAGGAGUGGUCUAUUUUUGAUGAAUCUCGAUAGUAGUGAUACACAUAUUCAUAAUGUUGAAGCCAAAAGAUGCAGAGUUGAUAAUGAUAGUGCAACUUAUUUGUGGCACUGCCGUUUAGGUCAUAUCGGUGUAAAGCGCAUGAAGAAACUCCGUACUGAUGGACUUUUGGAGUCACUUGAUUAUGAAUCACUUGGCACUUGCGAACCGUGCCUUAUGGGCAAGAUGACUAGAACCCCGUUCUCCGGUACUAUGGAGAGAGCAACAGAUUUGUUGGAAAUCAUACAUAUAGAUGUAUGUGGUCCGAUGAAUGUUGAGGCUCGUGGCGGAUAUCGUUAUUUUCUCACCUUCACAGAUGACUUAAGCAGAUAUGGGUAUAUCUACUUAAUGAAACAUAAGUCUGAAACAUUUGAAAAGUUCAAAGAAUUUCAGAGUGAAGUUGAAAAUCAUCGUAACAAGAAAAUUAAAUUUCUACGAUCUGAUCGUGGAGGUGAAUAUUUGAGUUACGAGUUUGGUCUACAUUUGAAACAAUGCGGAAUAGUUUCGCAACUCACGCCACCCGGAACACCACAGCGUAAUGGUGUGUCCGAACGUCGUAAUCGCACUUUACUAGAUAUGGUGCGAUCUAUGAUGUCUCUUACAGAUUUACCGCUAUCGUUUUGGGGUUAUGCUCUAGAGACGGCCGCAUUCACACUGAAUAGAACACCAUCGAAAUCCGUUGAGACGACACCUUAUGAACUGUGGUUUAGCAAGAAACCAAAGUUGUCGUUUCUUAAAGUUUGGGGAUGCGAUGCUUAUGUGAAAAAGCUUCAACCUGAUAAGCUCGAACCCAAAUCGGAGAAAUGUGUCUUCAUAGGAUACCCAAAGGAGACAGUUGGGUACACCUUCUAUCACAGAUCCGAAGGCAAGACAUUCGUUGCUAAGAAUGGAUCCUUUCUAGAGAAGGAAUUUCUCUCGAAAGAAGUGAGUGGAAGGAAAGUAGAACUUGAUGAGGUAAUAGUACCUUCUCCCUUACUUGAAAGUAGUUCGUCGCAGAAACCGGUUUCUGAGACAUCUACACCAAGUAGUGAGGAAGUUGAUGAUGUUGAUCAUGAAACUUCAGAUCAAGUUACUACAGAACCUCGUAGAUCAACCAGAGUAAGAUCUGCACCAGAGUGGUACGGUAAUCCUGUUCUGGAAAUCAUGCUACUAGAUCAUGAUGAACCUACGAACUAUGAAGAAGCGAUGGUGAGCCCAGAUUCCGCAAAAUGGCUUGAGGCCAUGAAAUCUGAGAUGGGAUCCAUGUAUGAAAACAAAGUAUGGACUUUGGUUGACUUGCCCGAGGGUAGGCAAGCAAUAGAAAACAAGUGGAUCUUCAAGAAGAAGACUGACGCUGACGGUAAUGUUACUGUCUACAAAGCUCGACUUGUCGCAAAGGGUUUUCGACAAGUUCAAGGGAUUGACUACGAUGAGACCUUCUCACCCGUAGCGAUGCUUAAGUCUGUCCGAAUCAUGUUAGCAAUUGCCGCAUUUUAUGAUUAUGAAAUUUGGCAAAUGGAUGUAAAGACUGCAUUCCUGAAUGGAUUUCUGGAAGAAGAGUUGUAUAUGAUGCAACCAGAAGGUUUUGUCGAUCCAAAAGGAGCUAACAAAGUAUGCAAGCUCCAGCGAUCCAUCUAUGGACUGGUGCAAGCAUCUCGGAGUUGGAAUAAACGCUUUGAUAGUGUGAUCAAAGCAUUUGGGUUUGUACAGACUUUUGGAGAAGCCUGUAUUUACAAGAAAGUGAGUGGGAGCUCUAUAGCAUUUCUGAUAUUAUAUGUAGAUGACAUAUUGCUGAUCGGAAAUGAUAUAGAAUUUCUGGAUAGCAUAAAGGGAUACUUGAAUAAGAGUUUUUCAAUGAAAGACCUCGGUGAAGCUGCUUACAUAUUGGGCAUUAAGAUCUAUAGAGAUAGAUCAAGACGCUUAAUUGGACUUUCACAAAGCACAUACCUUGACAAAAUUUUGAAGAAGUUCAAAAUGGAUCAAGCAAAGAAAGGGUUCUUGCCUGUGUUACAAGGUGUGAAGUUGAGUAAGACUCAAUGCCCGACCACUGCAGAAGAUAGAGAGAAAAUGAAAGAUGUUCCCUAUGCUUCAGCCAUAGGCUCUAUCAUGUAUGCAAUGUUGUGUACCAGACCUGAUGUGUGCCUUGCUAUAAGUUUAGCAGGGAGGUACCAAAGUAAUCCAGGAGUGGAUCACUGGACAGCGGUCAAGAACAUCCUGAAAUACCUGAAAAGGACUAAGGAUAUGUUUCUCGUAUAUGGAGGUGACAAAGAGCUCAUCGUAAACGGUUACGUUGAUGCAAGCUUUGACACUGAUCCGGACGAUUCUAAAUCGUAGACCGGAUACGUAUUUACACUAAACGGAGGAGCUGUCAGUUGGUGCAGUUCUAAACAAAGCGUCGUAGCGGGAUCUACAUGUGAAGCGGAGUACAUAGCAGCUUCGGAAGCAGCUAAUGAAGGAGUCUGGAUGAAGGAGUUCAUAUCCGAUCUAGGUGUCAUACCUAGUGCAUCGGGUCCAAUGAAAAUCUUCUGUGACAAUACUGGAGCAAUUGCCUUAGCGAAGGAAUCCAGAUUUCACAAGAGGACCAAGCACAUCAAGAGACGCUUCAAUUCCAUCCGGGACUUAGUCCAGGUGGGAGACAUAGAGAUUUGCAAGAUACAUACGGAUCUGAAUGUUGCAGACCCGUUGACUAAGCCUCUUCCACGAGCAAAACAUGAUCAGCACCAAGACUCCAUGGGUGUUAGAAUCAUUACUAUGUAAUCUAGAUUAUUGACUCUAGUGCACGUGGGAGACUGAAGGAAAUAUGCCCUAGAGGCAAUAAUAAAGUUAUUAUUUAUUUCCUUAUUUCAUGAUAAAUGUUUAUCAUUAAUGCUAGAAUUGUAUUAACCAGAAACAUGAUACAUGUGUGAAUGCAUAAACAAACAACAUGUCACUAGUAUGCCUCUACUAGACUAGCUUGUUAAUCAAAGAUGGUUAUGUUUCCUGACCAUGAACAAAGAGUUGUUAUUUGAUUAACGAGGUCACAUCAUUAGUAGAAUGAUCUGAUUGACAUGACCCAUUCCAUUAGCUUAGCACACGAUCGUUUAGUAUGUUGCUACUGCUUUUAUCCAUGACUUAUACAUGUUCCUGUAACUAUGAGAUUAUGCAACUCCCGUUUACCGGAGGAACACUUUGGGUGCUACCAAACGUCACAACGUAACUAGGUGAUUAUAAAGGAGUACUACAGGUGUCUCCAAAGGCAGAUGUUGGGUUGGCGUAUUUCGAGAUUAGGUUUUGUCACUCCGAUUGUCGGAGAGGUAUCUCUGGGCCCUCUCGGUAAUGCACAUCACUAAAGCCUUGCAAGCAUUACAACUAAUGAGUUAGUUGUGAGAUGAUGUAUUACGGAACGAGUAAAGAGACUUGCCGGUAACGAGAUUGAACUAGGUAUUGGAUACCGACGAUCGAAUCUCGGGGAAGUUAUGGGCCUUAGUGGGCCAAGAGGGGAGAGAGAGGGGCCGCACCAGGAGGUGGCGCCCCCCCCCCCCAGGGGAGUCCGAAUAGGACAAGGAGGGGGGGGGCGCGGCCCCCCUUUCCCUCUCCCUCUCCCUCUCUUUCCUUCCCCCUUCUCCCUUCCUAGUUGGACUAGGAGAGGGGAGUCCUACUCCAACUAGGAGGAGGACUCCCCCCUCCCUUGGCGCGCCACUAGGGCCGGCCGGCCUCCCCCUUGCUCCUUUAUAUACGGGGGCAGGGGGGCACCCUAGGACACACAAGUUUGAUCUACGGAUCGUUCCUUAGCCGUGUGCGGUGCCCCCUUCCACCAUAUUCCACCUCGGUCAUAUCGUCGCGAAGCUUAGGCGAAGCUCUGCGCCGGUAGAACAUCAAGAUCGUCACCACGCCGUCGUGCUGACGGAACUCUCCCUCGACACUCGGCUGGAUCGGAGUACGAGGGACGUCAUCGAGUUGUACGUGUGUCAAGAACUCGGGGGUGCCGGAGUAACGGCGCCGGGAUCGGUCGGAUCGCGAGGAGAACGUACGACUACUUCCUCUACGUUGUGAUCGCUUCCGCUCCGGGUCUACGAGGGUACGUAGACAACACUCUCCCCUCUCGUUGCUAUGCAUCACCAUGAUCUUGCGUGUGCGUAGGAAAAUUUUAAAAUUACUACGUUCCCCAACAUAAAAAACCUGGAUGAUGGCAAAUUCAUACUUCAGAUCAUGGUAGAAUUUUAUUUUUGGGCAUGACAAAUUUACUUUUUAUCCAAGGCAUUUUUUCCAAGCCAUGGGCAAACUCAUUAUUUGGAUCAUGGCAAAUUCAUACUUUUGUCCAUGGCAAAUUAUAUAUUUUUGGAACAUGGCAAAUUCAUACUUUUGUCCAUGGCAAAUUAUAUAUUUUUGGAACAUGGCAAACUUUAUUAAUUUAAUUAUGCCAAACUAAUUGCUUUGUACCAUGGCAAAUUUGUUUUGUUUACAUCAAGGAAACUUUCAUCUCAUACGCCAUCUAAAAUUAUGUUUAUAUAUUGGUUUUUAACUCUUUUCGGAAACAUGUCAAAAUGUUAUUGAAUUGAGCAUGUUAGAUUUUUUUCAGCAUAGCAUGCCAUUUUUUUCUUGACAUGGCAGAAAAAAAUCAUUGGACUUUUUCACAAAUUUUCUUUUCAAUUCUUUUUUAUCUUCUACUUUAUAUAAAACAUGGGCAUCUAUAUGUUGAAAACUUUUUUUUUGGCCAAGUUUUCUUCUUUAUAUUUAAAUUCUGUCAUUUUUUAGUGUCAUAAAUAGUAUGGAUCCAUUUUUUCAACUUGAUGACAUUUUGGAUACGCCCCCCCCACCCCCCUCCAGUGAAUGAUUAGUUUGAUGCAAGCUUCUUUAAAUCUGUUGUUCGGGCGAUAUUGGGGUCCAAGAUCUGAUGGUUGUGCUUCUUGGUUUAAUGAGAGUCUAACAGAUUAAUGGAAAAAUGUUUUAUGAUAUGUGUGGGAUUUUCUAGCAUAUAUUUUCCUAUUUUAACUCAUAUUGGCGAACCAACCUGUGGUUGGAUGGUUAGAGGGACAAUGGUAUCCCCAUCCCACCAGGGUUCGAGUCCUGGUGGAUUUAUUUCAGGAUUUCCGGCGAUGCGCUUUCAAUGGGAGGAGACAUUCCCGUCGACGACGAGGUCCCUACGGUGACUUCAUAAAUCUCAAGAUGAUAUGCCGGCUCAGUAUCUCGAAGAUGCUUAUAGGGGUAGGGUGUGCAUGUGUGCCUUCAUAGGGGUGACUGUAUGCGCGUAUGUAUAAGCACUUGCGUCUGUACCGUGUUAAAAAAAAGCUCAUAUUGUGCUUUUAGUAAUAGAUAGAAUAGAUUGCUAGAUAGACGGAGGCAUACGUGGAGAGAGGCGAUCCAUCCUCUUGUCUGCCUAUUGUAUGGCUGGUAGGUCGUGCUUGUCCACUUGUACUUGUCCCAUUUAUUUGUACCCUGAGAAUUAGAUCGAUCAGCGUGAUUUCAACGCUCGGUCCCGACCGACCUUGGACGAGAUCCAGAUUUAUGGAGGCGGUGACGGCACGCAGGCCCGCCGACGUUAACUACUCCCGUCCCGUGCCUAGUUGCAUGCGACGUCGAUGGGGCUGGCCUAGGGACGUGCACGUCCCACGUUAGCCAACGCGGUCAAACAGAUCAGACUAGCUAGGAAACAACACACACACACCUGACCUAGGCCCGAACGUGUGCACAUACUGGCCAUGCAAUGCUAGCAGCCUAGGAAACCACACACGCUUAAGAUUUGCACGCCCCACGUCCCGAACCCCCUACGCUCCAAACAUCCCUGCUCUCCUCUCAUCACAUCUGAGUAAUAAUAAUAAUAGUAGUAGUACUAGCAGCAGCAGCAGUAAACCGAGGAGAAAGAAGAAUAUACUUAGGGCCUGCUUGGAUGCAAGGGACUAUUUUUAGUCUGACUAAAAAUAGUCUCUUUUAGAGACUAAAGUUUCAAGCACCCCUGACUAAAGAGAGGCUAGAAUUAGUCUUGAGGCUAAAACUUUUUAGUCACAUGAAACCUACUAAAAUAUGUAUUAGCCCUCUCUCCUCAUUUAAUUCCUCUCCUUUAGCACAUGCGAGUUCUGGAUUGGAUGGUUUGAAGGAUAAUAAAUGCUCAAUAACUUCAUUUUAGUCUCUUUAGUACUUGAUCCAAGCAUGGGUGAGGCUAGCAAGUUUUAGUCUCACUACUUUUAGUCAUUGACUAAAACGUAUCCAGACACCCUUACUAAAGCUAAAUAAACAGACAGCGCAGUAGAUGCACACAGUUUUGGCGUCAGGCGCACUGACAGAAGUACUGUUUUACAGGCCAAUAGAGUAAACGCUGGGGACUGAUGGGCCAACCGCAGGACAGAUCCUGGAUGCAUCUCGUCCCGUCUCGUCGUCAUCCAUCCUAGCCAUAGUACGUGUUCAACUGCCUGCCGCGCUGCCCCGUCCGGCCGGCGGGCGCACUGACAGAGACAAAGCUACCGGCAGUGCGACGACGGGGGAAAUCUCACGUGCCGACGUGCCAGCGCCCACGCCGCACGUGCCGCUGGUGGAGCCACAGGGGCCGACUCGUCCUCGCAUCGCGCGCCCCCGCCUACAAAUUAAAGACGCUUUGCUUGCCCACCGAUAGGCGACACCACUGAUCCGCAUCUUAACCAGAUCCUCUCCAGGGCUAGAUUCCAAGCUACGUGCAUAGCAUAGUUGUCUCACUGAGCUAACCAGGGGCGACCUGCAGCGCCUUCAAUCCUUCAUCAAUGGAGAAGAGCGGGGAGGAGAGCAAGGCCCCGCUGCUGGAGCCCUGCAGGCCGGCGGCGGCAGAGCACAAUGCGACCGGCGGGCUGGGGCGGCGGCUGGUGGGGGAGAACCGGAGGCUGUGGGCGGUGGCGGGGCCGUCCAUCUGCACGCGUUUCUCCACCUUCGGGAUCGCCGUCAUCAGCCAGGCCUUCAUCGGCCACAUCGGCCCCACCCAGCUCGCCGCCUUCGCCCUCGUCUCCACCGUCCUCAUGCGCUUCAGCAACGGCAUACUGGUAUCUAUCUCUCCUUCCUUCCAUCAAUCCGUCUGCCAAACAUCUUAUUACCGUAUUGUAGUAAAAAAUAUGGCAUUGCUUGGUUAAUUGUGUCUGCCUGCUUCAGUCUGUUUUUGCCAGUUCCAUCAUAGUACGUAUAACAUAAAUAAACAGGAGCAUGCAUAAUACUCCCUCCGUUUGGAAUUACUUGUCAUCAAAAUGGAUGAAAAUGGAUGUAUCUAGAACUAAAAUAUAUCUAGAUACAUCCAUUUUAAUGACAAGUAUUUCCUGACGGAGGGAGUAAUUAAGAACACUGUUCCUCUUUUCUCUUAUUGGUAAAAAAUAGAGAGUAUAAGUAGCGUGCUUUCAUACGGACGAUCAUGAUACAAACAUGAUAGAGAAAUACAUACGCCAACUGCAUCCUGACCCUUGAUCCCAACAACCACAAAAAAACGUGUCGUGGUCCAUCUUUGGCACAACAAAAGUACAGAUUCUUGUCGACUUGAGAGGAAAAGUUAUAGUUCUUGACUUGUUGUCGUCUGUGUGCUUUCAACUUUUUAAGUCACCGUCAAUGUCAAAAAUGGAACAACCUUUGGAUUAUUCUUUGAGCGAAAACAACCCCAUUGGAUAAUAGUCAUCAUGGGCCUGCAUUUCCCGAGAGAACGUGGCAUGUUAACUUUUCCUACAAACCCCACACUAAUUGCAAGGAAUAUUUGGACGCGUAGUUCAUACAUUUAAUAAUUUUUGUAAAUUAGAAUUUAUUCAUGAAAUUUUAAAGAUGUUAAAAAUACAAAAAAUAAUCAUGAAGUAAUUUUUUCAUGAACUUAAAAGUCUUUUAUGAAUUUCAAAGAAUAUUCGUAUUUUUGUAGAAAAUCCAUAAAUAGAAAACAAAGAAGAGAAGAGAAAUUAAAAAAGAGAAGAAAAAAGGAAUAGGAAAAUGAAAAUAGAAAUAAAAAGCCGACAGAAAAUUAGUAAAACCAACAAGGGAAAACACAUGAAGCAAGAAACAAAAAUCCGCCGAACCUUCCGAAGCUUCCGAAAACCAGAAAACCCUCUCUUACUUGGACAGUUGGACUUGCCCAUUGCAGUGACUCGGCACGCUACUGGUGUUGGGUCCCAGUGUCCCACUCACCAAAUGUUUUUUAGCAGGUCCCACCCANNNNNNNNNNNNNNNNNNNNNNNNNNNNNNNNNNNNNNNNNNNNNNNNNNNNNNNNNNNNNNNNNNNNNNNNNNNNNNNNNNNNNNNNNNNNNNNNNNNNNNNNNNNNNNNNNNNNNNNNNNNNNNNNNNNNNNNNNNNNNNNNNNNNNNNNNNNNNNNNNNNNNNNNNNNNNNNNNNNNNNNNNNNNNNNNNNNNNNNNNNNNNNNNNNNNNNNNNNNNNNNNNNNNNNNNNNNNNNNNNNNNNNNNNNNNNNNNNNNNNNNNNNNNNNNNNNNNNNNNNNNNNNNNNNNNNNNNNNNNNNNNNNNNNNNNNNNNNNNNNNNNNNNNNNNNNNNNNNNNNNNNNNNNNNNNNNNNNNNNNNNNNNNNNNNNNNNNNNNNNNCUACUCAUUAGUUAUUCUGCCAUAUGUCCAGUAAAAACAGGCUAAACCUCAUAGUUUUGCCCCUCCUUAGCUCAUUGCCCCUCCAAAGAUUUUUCCCAAGCUCCGCCACUGGUCCCACGCACCAAUUUUUUUUUGGGAAUUACCUACCAAAUGGGAAAUGCGUUGGUGGACGUGUAGGAAUUUUUUUUUGGCACAAAUGGGCAGCCCAGAAAAGCCCAUGAGGCCAGUGGCCGACCACAACACUUCCAGUCCUCUCCUCCCUCCACCCGCACCGCGUUCGCCACGCCGUCGCCGCUGUCUCCACCAGCACCGCCUCCCCAUUCCAGCCGCCGUCGCCGCCAUGUUUCUGGAAGAGGCCACCGUCGGGAAACGCCGGGGACCGAGCCGAUCCUUGCAGUGCGAGGGCGCCUCCUCUACUAUAUCUCCAAUCCUGCCGAUACUCUCUUCAGCUCCGGCGGCGGCUUCGUCGGCUUUGACGGCAGACGCAGCCGGGGACGGUGUAGGAGGCCUUCGGCAGCAAACUAACGGUAUCUNNNNNNNNNNNNNNNNNNNNNNNNNNNNNNNNNNNNNNNNNNNNNNNNNNNNNNNNNNNNNNNNNNNNNNNNNNNNNNNNNNNNNNNNNNNNNNNNNNNNNNNNNNNNNNNNNNNNNNNNNNNNNNNNNNNNNNNNNNNNNNNNNNNNNNNNNNNNNNNNNNNNNNNNNNNNNNNNNNNNNNNNNNNNNNNNNNNNNNNNNNNNNNNNNNNNNNNNNNNNNNNNNNNNNNNNNNNNNNNNNNNNNNNNNNNNNNNNNNNNNNNNNNNNNNNNNNNNNNNNNNNNNNNNNNNNNNNNNNNNNNNNNNNNNNNNNNNNNNNNNNNNNNNNNNNNNNNNNNNNNNNNNNNNNNNNNNNNNNNNNNNNNNNNNNNNNNNNNNNNNNNNNNNNNNNNNNNNNNNNNNNNNNNNNNNNNNNNNNNNNNNNNNNNNNNNNNNNNNNNNNNNNNNNNNNNNNNNNNNNNNNNNNNNNNNNNNNNNNNNNNNNNNNNNNNNNNNNNNNNNNNNNNNNNNNNNNNNNNNNNNNNNNNNNNNNNNNNNNNNNNNNNNNNNNNNNNNNNNNNNUGCAGCAACUUGGUAACUGAAUGAUGUCGAGCAAGGUUCAGAGUUCAGACACCUCAUUGCAUGCCAUUCCCUAUUAGAGCUUGGUAGUUGCUAACCCUACGAUGAACAUUAUUGAGCAACAUAGAGUUAGAUGACCUCUGAAUCCUUGAUCCUUAAUUCCUUAUCGACCUACUAGCUUCGCCAUUCUCCAUUAACUGAUCACCCUCGAUAUAGCAACAUGUCCACUUACAUCCUGAACUUCAGAGAUUUCACUGCACCAGAAAUAAAUUUCUUGAGAUGAGAAAGAAAAGGAGCUGAUGAUCUUAAUAACUACUUCCUCCGUUCCUAAAUAUUUGUCUUUUUAGAGAUUUCAAAUGGACUACCACAUACUGAUGUAUAUAGACAUAUUUUAGAGUGUAGAUUCACUCAUUUUGCUUUGUAUGUAGUCACUUGUUGAAAUCUCUAGAAAGACAAAUAUUUAGGAAUGGAGGGAGUAAUAAAAUGUGCUUAAACUGAAUGCAGCUGGGCAUGGCGAGCGCACUGGAGACGCUGUGCGGGCAGUCAUACGGGGCGAAGCAGUACCACAUGAUGGGGAUCUCCCUGCAGCGCUCCUGGAUCAUCCUGACCGGCUGCGCCGUGCUCAUGCUCCCCAUCUUCGUCUUCACCGAGCCUCUCCUCGUCUUCAUCGGCCAGGACCCGGCCAUCAGCGCCGUCGCCGGGACCAUCUCGCUCUGGUACAUCCCCGUCAUGUUCGCGUGCGUCUUCAGCUUCACGCUGCAGAUGUACCUGCAAGCGCAGAGCAAGAACAUGAUCAUCACCUACCUCGCGUUUGUCUCCCUCGGCGUCCAUCUCUUCCUGUCCUGGCUCUUGACCGUUCGGCUGGACCUUGGACUCGACGGGAUCCUGACCUCCAUGGUCAUCGCCAUGUGGAUUCCUGUGUUUGGGCAGCUCAUCUUCGUCUUCGGCGGUGGCUGCCCUCUCACAUGGACCGGGUUCUCCUGUGUGGCACUCACGGACCUCGUUCCUGUCCUCAAGCUCUCGCUAUCCUCUGGUGUGAUGCUCUGGUAUGAACAAACUUGAAUUUUCACUGUAUAUGCAGUAUCAGCCCUUUUCAGAAUUUUGGAUGCAUCUAGCCUAGCAAUAAUGCUUGUUUGUUCCUGUUUGCAUUUUCAGUUUGGAAUUGUGGUACAACACCAUAUUGGUGCUCCUAACCGGGUACAUGAGGAAUGCAGAGGUUGCACUCGACGCUCUUUCAAUAUGGUAAUACACACGUACUACUUUAUAUAAUUCAGAGUUCAGUCUCUCAUUGUAUAUCUUUGGUUUUUCCACACUGGCCAGAUCGGUAACUAGCACAUAUGUCAUUUCACUGUUUCGUAUUGUUUCGCUGUCGUGACACAUGAGAAACUAAUUAAUUAAUGUGAUUUUCUAUCUCUGAAAUCUGCAGCCUGAAUAUCAACGGUUGGGAGAUGAUGAUUUCUAUUGGCUUUUUGUCUGCAAUAGGGUAGCUUCUCGAUCUUAGAACUCGCUAUAUAUUAUUCCUAUCAUGUGAUUGAAUAAUUUUUCAGAUUUUUGAUGAUAAUGAUUUUGUGUGUGAUAGAGUGCGUGUUGCAAAUGAGCUUGGAGCUGGAAGUGCAAGAAGGGCCAAGUUCGCCAUCAUAAAUGUCGUCGCCACUUCCUUCUCAAUAGGCCUUGUGUUCUUCAUAUUUUUCCUUUUCUUCCGCGGAAAGCUUUCCUACAUAUUUACCACCAGUGAAGAGGUAGCUGCCGCAGUUGCAAGCCUGUCGCCUCUUCUAGCCUUCUCCAUCUUGUUGAACAGUGUGCAACCAGUGCUAUCAGGUUUGCUUUAGCAUUUGACUGAAUUCUAAAUGCAUAUACAUUACAAUCAUUUCGUCUGGUAACUUUUUUGAAAAAAAGGAAAAAUGUUUGCCUUCUAUACUGAUACAAGACUCUUUUGGUAUACUGAAACUAUAAUCCCGUUUGAUCACCCUCCAGGUGUUGCUAUCGGUGCGGGUUGGCAAAGUAUAGUUGCCUAUGUUAACAUCACAACAUAUUACUUGAUUGGUAUCCCUGUUGGAGCAAUCCUUGGUUAUGUUUUUGGAUAUCAUGUGAAGGUAAGAACAUUAUGUAUCAGUCAAUCAGUUACUAAAAUAAUUAUCCUUGUGCCUCUUGGCUCUAAUAAGUUGUGUCCUAACUCGAUAUCCUUGGUUGUUGCUAUAGGGCGUUUGGGUUGGCAUGCUGCUCGGAACACUGAUCCAAACAAUUGUACUUGUGUUCAUAACAAUCAGGACUGACUGGGAUAAACAGGUUAGCUUUGCUAAUUGUUCGAUCAUUAUUGUACUCAAACGUUGUUAAGUAAAGUCUUCAUAUGUGUAACUUAUUGCGCAGAAAUUCAUAAGUAUAUAUUGUGUGCUAGACUAGAAGGGUGUAGGAGAUAUACUCAAUUAUGGUUUCUAUUCCUUCUGAUUUUUCAGGUAGAGGUUACUCAGGAGAGAUUGAAGAGAUGGUACAUCACGGACGGAAACAAAGGGAAGCCAGAUUCAGGGGGAAGUCCAUGAGACUAAGAAUCUGGCACAUGUAGUGAAUCGCCAUCAGAUAGAGGAACUUGUGUGUCCGGCUUGAUCAGAGUUUGUGGCGCUUCAGAGGAUAACUACAAUUCUUUCAACAUGUCAAGAAUGAACGGAUCGAACAUUAGUAGGCGUAGGCGUGUUGAAGGUUGUUCCUCAAGAUCGAGCAAACGAUGACAGUGAUUCAGGCUCCAUUUUAGAGAAGGAAAAACAUGUUACUCAAGGGACACAUGAAUGGAUCCACCACUGCCUCAGCAUGUAAAAUAUGCCUUGGACUGCUGUGAGGUAGCUGGUGGCACGAGUGUUGUUGCAUGUUGAAAGAUUUUGGCUGUGAUUAGCAAACAUGGUGCUUGUAUAUCGACUGCAUUCGCUUGGCCUUGUCAUCUUGUGUCUUGUUGUGAUCAUCAAACAAUCAGUUUGGUGUAGAUUCUAUCGGUUUAAUUACAAGUCGACAUGAAACUUGUCGCGGUUUAUACAAUAUAGAGGGGAAUGUGAUAGUAGCAAUUGUAUUACUAGCUAGUAGAAGCCUAGAACAGAAAAACAGAGACCGAAAGGCAGGUUGAGCACACCAAUUACAGGGAUCUAUUAUAUGCAGCAAGCCAAUGAAUUAGUACAUGCGCGCAUAGUCCUCUGGCACUUGCUAGCAGCCACCGGCGCCACCACCAGCACAGCCACCGGUACUGCCAGCGCCGCCGCCGCCGUCGUCACAGCCACCGGCGCUGCUAGCCGCGGCAGCAGAAGCAAACAUGGCGCUAGACAUGAAUGAAGCAGGGUCGCUCGCUGGAUUUCCCGCGGACCAAGGCGCGUGUCUCGCUCCCCCGCCGCGUUCCUUCCCGGAGCAGAGGGUGCGGAGGAGGACGGCGAGCAGCAUGACCGCGGCCACGGCGACGAACGCCCCGAUUAUCGUGCCAGCGCCGGGACCGCUCCCGCCGGCGCUGAGGUCGGCCAGAGCCCUUCUUCGCAUCGUGAACGCUUGCAUGCACGCAGCUGGACCCGGACGUGCCGGACGGGCAGAGCUGCCGGACUAUAUGUAGUAGCGUCAUACUAGCUUAGAUCGAGUCAUGCAUGGGGUUACCGUUGAAUUUUCACUCGGAGAAAAACGAUCAAACACGUUGAAAGAAUUAACAUGAGGCUAGCUCUUCGUGCUUGCGUACGUCUUUGCUUCAUGAAAGGUUCUUCGCCGUGUUGAAUGUUGAACGCUGAGUUAUUGCGGUAUGCGCGGCUGACUUGUUGGUUCCAUUUCCACUACUUGAACAGACACAAAAUACAUUGGUAUACUCUGGAAAGGGGAGAAAGUGGUAGCUCCGAGAGGGUGGCCACGGUCAACAUUCAACAAUAUAUGAUUUUCUUUUGCGCGGCAUCAGACUAUAGACACUUUUCAUCCAUCAGACUAGUGGAAGGCCGUCCGAAUCAUAAUUAGGCCCACAGGAGAUUUGUUGACUUGUUUGCUAAUUGAUUGCUUCCUUCCUUAAUUAAAUGCUUCCUUCAUACAACUCCCUCUAUCCCGCUGCGCUGAUCUCUCUAUUACGGUUUACUAGAUGAUACCCCGCGCGUUGCUGCGGGAAUAGUAGUUCAUUUGAUGUGGAGUUUGGCCUGAGUGUUAUUCACAUUACAUGACUCCAGAGGAAAAAAGGCCCAAGGGGGCAUAUUGUUUACUUCAAUGUAAUAUAUCAUUAAACAAAACUAACAAAUUCCAGUGAUCCAUUCCAUCACGAGUGCAUUGCAAUGGAACAAAUAAGGUAGUAAUAAUUAUAAGUGGGGCCAAAAGGAAGAAACCAAAGAGUCCCCUAUCCAGCUUUCUUGUAUUGAUGUGUAACAAAGGAAGGAUGGAAUCAAUCUAAAUAAACACCUUCAAUUUUAUUUGUAGCAUUUCUAUCAACAGUACACGCCUUUAAGGUUUGCAAAUAAGAUGGUUUUGCUUUGAGGACAUGCCAACAAUGGACGGGAAAACAUAAGUAAAAGAGAUGUGUGAAAGCACAAUCUUUUUAUUACUGGAUAAUAUUUAAAAAUUGAUAGUUAGGAAAAUAUGAAGAAAAAAAGGCAGGCCUUUUUUAUAUAAAGGAAGGACCCGAAAGCCGGCUCCAUUGUCUACGGUGGCACAGUUGCAAACUCAGCAAGGGACCCUCUCGUGAAGAAACCAAGGUUGUUACCUUUACACAUAGAGGACUUACAGCCAUGCUAGAAGCACUCUCCUGAAAACACUGAAAAUAUUAUAAGAUCUGCAAGGAGUAUAGCUCUUAUAGAUUAAUUCAUCCGGAAAUGCAACGGUUGUCAAUCCAGUAAGUAUGGCACCACCAAAUUUCCACAAAGUAGACUAAGAAAAUGACUUCCAAUCAAGUGUUAGCUUAAGACAAAAAUGCGGAAACCAUACAUGCUUCAUAGUUUAAUUAUUCGGUAACACUUAUGGUCUUCAUCAUUGUACAGUUUUCAGCAGUCCCAGUAGUGUUUAAGGACUAUGACCUGAAAAUCACCUUUAAACAAAUAAGUAAUUCAGGGAGAAAAGUACAAGCAUUGGAAGAAAAGUUAGUAUAUACAUAUGCCAUCCAUACAUUUUGAUAGAGCUCGCGUUAGACAGGCAUCUGAAAGGAUUUUUUUUCAUAUAUUCUAAUAAAAGCAGCAACUACAUGAAACAAAAGCAACUGAGCUAUAACAGAAUUUCAUGCCAAAAUUCACUAAAGCAAUUUUUUUUGCGAGAAGGGUAUGAUUUUAUUCCUCUGAAAUAGGGUUACAGUCCGCUAAAACAAAAUUAGAAACAUUGUCUGAAACACAGUGCAAGCAAAAAGCGGUGCGACCUCCAGAUCUACUAAUAUUAGCUAAAUUAUGAGCAACACUAUGCCUCCCUGUUACUUUUUGUGCUGCAAUAGGAAAAGCUAGAUAAGUUUAAGAAAUUAAUUAGGCUGUACAUUACAGGAAAAAAAUCAGUAGCGAGCCAACACCUCUAGUACCACUUCCUCUUGAUAAAUGAUUUUCAUGAAAUUUACCAAAUCAAAAAACAACACAGCGCUAAAAUAUGAGUAAGCCAGGAAGCCUACACAGCACUCUUUCUUGUUACAACAUCAUUCUGUUGGAUUUUGCACGCAUAUAUCUCAGUUCUGAUCCAGCACCUACAUGGCCAAAAUACAGAUGUGAAAAUCUCACCAGCAACCUGCUGGAAUUUAGUCUAUAUUGGGGCAGCCCAAUAAUUAUUUCAGAAAUUCCUAAUAAAUCCUAGAGGCCCACUUAGCCCAUUUGUGCAAGGCAAGGGAUACUACUAAAGUUUAGUCCCACAUUGCUAGUUUAGAGGGAGUUGGACCUCUUUAUAAGGGAGGCUCCUUCCCCACUUGUAUGAGCAUGAGAACAAGAGGGACAUCCACGCGCGCUCCUCCUCCGCCGCCCGCCGCGCCGCGCCGCGCCGCGCCUCGCCUCGCCUCGCCUCGCCUCGCCUCGCCGCGGGAAUGAGCCGAGCAUGGGGUUGCGAACAUGGGGUUGUUUGGCGAAAGUCAAUGUUCCAAUUCCAAAGAAGCGGAAACUUGGACCAAAGACUGUGGAUUGUGUUUUCUUGGGAUAUGCUUUUCAUAGCAUUGGCUAUAGAUUCUUGGUUGUAAAAUCUGAGGUACCGGACAUGCACGUUGGUACGAUCAUGGAGUCGAAUGAUGCGACUUUCUUUGAAGAUAUCUUUCCCAUGAAGGAUAUGACUACCUCGUCUAAUCAGAAGAUGCCUAGUUCAUCGAAUCAGGAACCAGUUACAAUUACCGAACUGUAACGUCCUCGAUGCGGCUAUAUCUCCCACGUGUCGAAGCACGACUUAGAGGCAUAACCGCAUUGAAAGCAAUGUCGCAAGUGAGGUAAUCUUCACACAACCCAUGUAAUACAUAAGGGAAAGAGAUACAUAGUUGGCUUACAAUCGCCACUUCACACAAUUACAUGAAUAAAGCAUUACAUCAUACAGAUACAAUCAAGGUCCGACUACGGAACCAAAAUAAAAGAAGAACCCCAAAUGCGACAAAAGGUCCCCGAUCGACCCCAACUGGGCUCCACUACUAAUCAACUAGAACGAAACAACACAAAGGGGCAAGAUCUUCAUCGAGCUCCUCCUUGAGCUUGAUUGCGUCACCUGCUCGGUAACAUAGGUACCUGCAAACUGGUUUUGGAAGUAUCUGGUGAGCCACGAGGACUCAGCAAUCCCAUUACCAUGGGUAUCAAGACUAGCAAAGCUUAAAGGGAAAGGAAGGGGUAAAGUGGUGAGGUUGCAGCAGCGACUAAGCAAAUAUGGUGGCUAACCAACGCAAAUAAGAGCGAGAAGAGAACAAGCGGAACGGUCGUGAAGCUAGCAAUGAUCAAGAGGUGAUCCUGAACACCUACUUACGUCAGACAUAACACAGAAACCGUGUUCACUUCCCGGACUCCGCCGAGAAGAGACCAUCACGGUUACACACUCGGUUGAUGCGUUUUAAUUCGGAUCAAGUGUCAAGUUGUCUACAACCGGACAUUAACAAAUUCCCAUCUGCCACAUAACCGCGGGCACGGCUCUCGAAAGUUUAAAACCCUGCAGGGGUGUCCCAACUUAGCCCAUGACAAGCUCUCGCGAUCAUCGAAGGAAUAGACCUUCACCCAGGAAGACCCGAUCAGUCUCGGAAUCCCGGUACAUCAAGACAUUUCGACAAUGGUAAAACAAGACCAGAAAAGCCGUCCGAUGCGCCGACAAUCCCGAUAGGAGCUGCACAUAUCUCGUUCUCAGGGCAACACCGGAUGAGACAUCCUACGAGUAAAACCAAACCUCGAGUUGCCCCGAGGGGGCCCCGCAGUCUACUCGGUUCGAACCAGCACUUAGACAAGCACUGGCCCGGGGGGGCUGAAAUAAAGAUGACCCUCGAGAGAGCGACUCCCAAGGGAAAAAGAUAGGUGGUGGUGAGGCAAAUGGUAAAAGUCAAUGUUGGGCCUUGCUGGACAAGUUUUAUUCAAAGCGAACUGUCAAGGGGGUCCCAUAAAUCACCCGACCGCGUAAGGGACGCAAAAUCCGGGACAUAACACCGGUAUGACGGAAACUAGGGCGGCAAGAGUGGAACAAAACACCAGGCAUAAGGCCGAGCCUUCCACCCUUUACCAAGUAUAUAGAUGCAUUAAUAAUAUAAGAGAUAUUGUGAUAUCCCAACAUAAACCUGUCCACCAUGGAGAAAUCUUCAACUUCACCUGCAACUAGCAACGCUAUAAGAGGGGCUGAGCAAAGCGGUAACAUAGCCAAACAACGGUUUGCAUAGGAAAGGUGUCAAAGGUUAGGGGUUCAUGGCAAUAUGGGAUGGCUGGACAAACAGGUAAUAGGUAGCACAGCAUAGCGAAAGAACGAGGCAACUAGCAUAGCAAUGAUAGUAGUGAGAUCCAGGGUAGCGGUCAUCUUGCCUGAAAUCCCGCAAGGAAGAAGAACGAGUCCAUGAAGAAGAUGAACGGAUGAAGCCGAACCAAACGUAGACGAACGAAUCCUCACGAACGCAACGAAACAGGAACUAACAAGAAGAAGCACACAACAUAGGUAAACACACCACACAUGAACAAGACAUGAUGCACAACAAGCAUGAUGCAUGACCAAGCUACAUGAAGCUACUCAUGGCAAGAGAUGAUGCAAACAAGAACAACACAUCAAGGCAAGUUUAAAUGAGGCCGGGAACAACAUAUAACAAUUCCGGUAAGUCCUCAUAUGCAAAUUUCAAAAUGGGUCCAGAACUGAAUAAACAUUAUGUUCAAGUUGUUAAACAGCAAGUUAAGAUGCAGCAAGAUGAUCUACACGAAAUUCUAGUCAAGUUACAUAUAAAGUUCAUUAGAUUUGGAGCUACGGGCUAGAAAAUAUGAGCAAAACAAGUUAAACAUGGCAUUGAUGCAAAAUGCACCCACACAUCCAGCAAACAUCUCAAAACAAGGAUGCAACAUGAUAAUAUGAAGCUACAUGCAAAAUCAAGCAAGUUUCAUAUAGAGCACACUCAAAACGGAGCAACGAUGCAACACAUGCACACUAUACAAGUCAUAGCAAUAAUCUGUCCAAAACAACUUCUAGGCAUCUUACAAGCAUCAAAACAAUAUGCUACAGCACCCCAACAUAAUAACAAAAGACAUGGGCACGAAGUACACGUAAAGCAUAACAAAACAUGAACACUGAGCUAUCUCCAGAAACAACUAGAAAAUGCUCAAAACGACAUGGAGAUAUUGCAAGUAAUAACAAUUUCAGACUUUAGCAGAAAUAACAUCAGGUUGCAAUGUUUAGAGCUAUCAAACAACAUGUUACAGGAACUUAUCAUGGCAAACAAAGGCAUGGUAUGAAACUACUAAUAGCAUAUAUCAAAAGACCCUUACUGACCAUAAGCCAAAAAGGCAUCUAAGAAAUGAUGGCACCCAUGUAAACAUAGCAAGUUUUAUUACAGAUUUGAACAUGGCAGAAACAACGAUUAGUAGGCAUGUUCGUGAGCUCGAACCGCUCACUACAGAGCAAUACAUGGCAUGGCAAGGCAACCAACAGUAAGAAGGCAUGUUUAUGAAACUAAGCAUGGCAAGAGCAAGGUCAUAUCAUACACGGAUCAACUACAACGACCUUGUGAAAAUUGAAUCUCAUGCAAACAAUCUGCCAGAAAACAUUUUCAAGCAACUUUGGAGCAAGAAAUGAACAUGUUCCAGCAGGCUAUAAAUGCAACCAAUAGCAUGAAUGGAUAGAGCAUGACAUAUAUAUCAAAACAUGUUUAUAGAGCACCUCCAGAUUAUGCAUAGAUUGAUUAGUGGAAGCAUGUUAACAUAGCAACAAAAUAUAACAGAAUCUGCCAGGAAAACAACAACAGCAACUACCCUACUUUACAAGCUCGAUGCACUCAGCACACAACUCACAAAAAUACAAGGUCAACACCUAUGGAAAGAUGGCAUGUCCUAGUCCAACAUUCAUGUAGAGCUCAUACUCAUAGGAUGCACACAUAAAUCAUGGCAAAAAUGACAAAAGAGCUCGAGCUGAUAAGAUUCUGGAACUAACGAUCUGAAGCCCUCUUCCAACAGCAUUUCGGGCAUCAAGAUGAGCUCAAAUGCAAAUGAUGCAAUGGAAUGAAAUGAUGUACUCGUUGAGACGAACAAUUUGACAUAUUAUACGCGCAAAACGGAGCUACGGACGCGGAGAUGUGAUGCAAUGAAAAUGGCAUGAAAAUUACAGAAACUGAGGACUUAGUCAUUUUUGGAAAAAAAACGGACGAGCGUCAAAUAGCUACGAGGCGCCCAGAGCGGGGAUUAGGGGGCUGCUCACCCUGGGCUCAGCCCACGAAGAGGAAGCAGGCCGGGGUGGAGGCUUGGCGGGCUGGAAGGGAGCUGGGCCCUCCUGGCGCGACUGGGCCGCGGCGCGGCUGCGGCUGGGGAGGCCCACGCGGGAGGCAGGGAGGCGACGAGCGGUGGACGGCGUGGCGCGGCGGCGCGAGGNNNNNNNNNNNNNNNNNNNNNNNNNNNNNNNNNNNNNNNNNNNNNNNNNNNNNNNNNNNNNNNNNNNNNNNNNNNNNNNNNNNNNNNNNNNNNNNNNNNNNNNNNNNNNNNNNNNNNNNNNNNNNNNNNNNNNNNNNNNNNNNNNNNNNNNNNNNNNNNNNNNNNNNNNNNNNNNNNNNNNNNNNNNNNNNNNNNNNNNNNNNNNNNNNNNNNNNNNNNNNNNNNNNNNNNNNNNNNNNNNNNNNNNNNNNNNNNNNNNNNNNNNNNNNNNNNNNNNNNNNNNNNNNNNNNNNNNNNNNNNNNNNNNNNNNNNNNNNNNNNNNNNNNNNNNNNNNNNNNNNNNNNNNNNNNNNNNNNNNNNNNNNNNNNNNNNNNNNNNNNNNNNNNNNNNNNNNNNNNNNNNNNNNNNNNNNNNNNNNNNNNNNNNNNNNNNNNNNNNNNNNNNNNNNNNNNNNNNNNNNNNNNNNNNNNNNNNNNNNNNNNNNNNNNNNNNNNNNNNNNNNNNNNNNNNNNNNNNNNNNNNNNNNNNNNNNNNNNNNNNNNNNNNNNNNNNNNNNNNNNNNNNNNNNNNNNNNNNNNNNNNNNNNNNNNNNNNNNNNNNNNNNNNNNNNNNNNNNNNNNNNNNNNNNNNNNNNNNNNNNNNNNNNNNNNNNNNNNNNNNNNNNNNNNNNNNNNNNNNNNNNNNNNNNNNNNNNNNNNNNNNNNNNNNNNNNNNNNNNNNNNNNNNNNNNNNNNNNNNNNNNNNNNNNNNNNNNNNNNNNNNNNNNNNNNNNNNNNNNNNNNNNNNNNNNNNNNAGGAGAUGGGCUUGGGGGGGCCCGAUCCGGGCCUCGCCGGGCCGGCGGCACGGGCGGCGGCGGGAGACACGUGGCGCGACGCCAGUGGCUGCGGGGGCGGCGGCGAUUUCGUCCGGUGGCGGCGGACGUGUCCGGUGGCGGCGGAGGGAGUUUGCUAGGGUUUGAUCCGCAAAAAUGGAUGGGGAGGACGUUUUUAUAGGCAUAGGGAGCUAGGAGUGUCCAAAUGAGGUGGGGUUUUCGGCCACGCGAUCGUGAUCGAACGACCGAGAGCAUGGAGGGGAGUUUGGUGGGUUUUGGGCCACUUUGGAGGGGUGUUGGGCUGCAACUCAAAGAGGGCUUUACGGUUACCCGGUUAACCGUUGGAGUACCAAACGACCUCCAAAUGGCACGAAACUUGACAGGCGGUCUACCGGUGCUAUACCAAGGCCGCUUGGCAAACCUCGGGCCAUUCCGAGAAAGUUUAAUACCCGCACACGAAAAGAGAGACGAGGGGACGCCGGGGAACAUAGGAGCGCCGGAUUGCAAAACGGACAACGGGGAAAAUGCUCGGAUGCAUGAGACGAACACGUAUGCAAAAUGAAAUGCACAUGAUGACAUGAUAUGAAAUGCAUAUGAUGACAUGGCAAAUGCAACACGCAAGCAAAUGACAUGGCAACGAAGGCGAAUAACUGACGGACACCUGGCGCAUCGGAUCCGGGGUGUUACACGAACCUGCCAUUUCGAUGGAACGCUUUGAAAGUCCCGUGGAGGAGAACAAUGAAGUUCCUAUUAGGAGCAAGAGACAGAGGACUGCAAAGUCCUUUGGUGAUGAUUUUCUUGUGUAUCUCAUAGAUGACACUCCCAGUUCCAUUUCAGAGGCCUAUGCAUCUGAAGAUGCUGACUACUGGAAGGAAGCAGUUCGUAGAGAGAUGGAUUCUAUCUUGGCGAAUGAAACUUGGGAGAUAACUGAUCGUCCUUAUGGGUGCAAACGUAUAGGAUGCAAAUGGGUAUUCAAGAAGAAGCUUAGGCCUGAUGGUACUAUUGAAAAGUACAAGGCUCGGCUCGUGGCUAAGGGUUAUACCCAAAAGGAAGGUGAAGACUUCUUUGAUACUUACUCACCUGUGGCUCGACUGACCACUAUUCGAGUCCUACUUUCACUAGCUGCCUCACAUGGUCUUCUCGUUCAUCAAAUGGAUGUUAAGACUGCUUUCCUAAAUGGAGAGUUGGAUGAGGAAAUUUAUAUGGAACAACCAGAUGGGUUUGUAAUAGAUGGUCAGGAAGGGAAAGUGUGCAAGUUGCUGAAGUCUUUGUAUGGACUCAAGCAAGCACCCAAACAGUGGCAUGAGAAGUUCGAAAGAACUUUAACAGCCGCAGGCUUUGUUGUAAAUGAAGCUGACAAAUGUGUGUACUAUCGCCAUGGUGGGGGCGAGGGAGUUAUGCUUUGCUUGUAUGUUGAUGACAUACUGAUUUUCGGAACAAAUCUGAAUGUUAUUAAGGAGGUUAAGGAUUUCCUAUCUCGUUGUUUUGAGAUGAAGGAUUUAGGAGUGGCUGAUGUCAUUCUGAACAUCAAGUUGUUGAGAGACGAUGAUGGUGGGAUUACAUUGCUUCAAUCUCACUAUGUGGAAAAGAUCUUGAGUCGCUUUGGCUAUAGUGACUGCAAGCCCUCUCCAACACCAUAUGAUGCUAGCGUGCUGCUUCGAAAGAAUCGAAGAAUUGCUAGAGAUCAAUUGAAGUAUUCUCAGAUUAUUGGCUCGCUUAUGUACUUAGCCAGUGCUACAAGACCUGACAUCUCUUUUGCUGUUAGCAAGCUGAGCCGGUUUGUCUCAAAACCGGGAGAUGUGCAUUGGAAAGCUCUAGAGAGAGUUUUGCGUUAUUUGAAAGGCACUGUAAAUUAUGGAAUUCACUACACUGGGCACCCAAAGGUGCUUGAAGGGUAUAGUGACUCAAACUGGAUCUCAGAUGCUGAUGAGAUAAAGGCCACGAGCGGAUAUGUGUUCACUCAUGGAGGUGGCGCUCUUUCUUGGAAGUCUUGCAAGCAGACUAUCUUAACGAGGUCAACUAUGGAAGCAGAGCUCACAGCACUAGAUACAGCUACGGUCGAAGCAGAUUGGCUUCGCCGGCUCUUGAAUGACUUGCCGGUUGUUGAGAAACCUGUACCGGGUGUCCUUAUGAACUGCGACAAUCAAACUGUAAUCACAAAAGUGAGCAGCUCAAAGGAUAACAUGAAGUCAUCAAGACACGUUCAGAGAAGGUUAAAGUCUGUCAGGAAAAUGAAAAACUCCGGAGUUAUUGCGUUGGAUUAUAUCCAAACGUCUAAAAAUCUGGCAGAUCCUUUCACUAAGGGUCUAUCGCGUAAUGUGAUAGAUAAUGCAUCGAGGGAGAUGGGUAUGAGACCCACAAUAUGAGUUGUUCACAGUGGUAACCUAUUCUUUGUGAUAGGAGAUCCCGUGAAUUAGAUGUGGAAGACAAGCUGUGGGUCAACUGAGAAGAGAGUAUUCCUACUAUUCCCAAUACCACUCCAUGAAGAUGCAAUACUCUCCUAAUCUGCAUGGCAGGUUGAUGUAUAUCUUAAUGUGUUCUAAGUGGCUCUUUGAAGCAGAGAUGUUGUCCUGCAGAACAUCUUUUGAAGAACACACCUAUAUGAGUCUGAUUGUCAAACGUCGCAAUCUAUGAGAGUAGGGUUCUCUCUGGUAAACUCAUGAAAGGUCACGGAGUAUGACGCAUAAGCUCCACCCGCGGGGAAGACCCACGGUAGCCACGUAUCGGUCAAGGCUUUAUGUGAAGCUAGAUUCGCAGAAAACUUGCAGUUCAAGGCCCAGUCCACUGUUCAAGUUGCUUACUAGUGUAGCAUAGAGUUCUAGGUGGAAGUUCAACUUAACAGUCUCCACUGCAGUACCGGUAUAUAAAACAGUGUUUUGGAACCAAAGGCAAAUUCUGUAUGCCUCUGGGAUCUGGUGGGGGAUUGCUGGAAUUUAGUCUAUAUUGGGGCAGCCCAAUAAUUAUUUCAGAAAUUCCUAAUAAAUCCUAGAGGCCCACUUAGCCCAUUUGUGCAAGGCAAGGGAUACUACUAAAGUUUAGUCCCACAUUGCUAGUUUAGAGGGAGUUGGACCUCUUUAUAAGGGAGGCUCCUUCCCCACUUGUAUGAGCAUGAGAACAAGAGGGACAUCUGUCGUGGUUCUAAGUCUGACAGUAGAAAUGGGGGUAGGUAAGGGGAGGCGAUGUCCUAGCUAUGGAGUAGUUGUGAAGACAAGUGAUGUACGAGUUCAGGCCCUUCUCGGAGGAAGUAACAGCCCUACGUCUCGGAGCCCUGAGGCGGUCGAGUGGAUUAUGGAUAUGAGUAUUACAAGAAUGCGAACCCCUCUACCUGUGGAGGAGGGUGGCUUAUAUAGAGUGCGCCAGGACCCCAGCCAGCCCACGUAUUGGAGAGGUUAAAGUACAUUAAGUCUGGGGCGUUACUGGUAACGCCCCUCAUAAAGUGUCUUAACUAUCAUUAAGUCUAUUCAAUAGUAAGCCGUUGUGCUGCGGAGUGUCUUCUGACCUUCUGGUGGUCGAGUGAGUCUUCAUGGUCGAGUGAGUCUUCCAUGGUCGAGUCCUUCCAGUCAGUCGAGUGGGUUCCUCUUUGGUCGACUGGAAGAUGAUCUCUUCUGAGAGUGUCCUUGGGUAGGACGUUUAGGUCAGGCCUAUGACCCUACCCUAGGUAUAUGAAUCCAUCAUUAGCCCCCGAAUGGAUUGAGGCUUGAGUGAAGGAGGAGUUGACGUUGUUUCCGAUUGUCUUUUGCGUACCGGCUACGUGUUGUCUUGGAUCAAGAUCUUCUCUGUUGAUAACAAGCAACUUUUCUUCAGUCGACUUGAUCCAUUCUUGUUCUUUGGUCGAGUGACCUUCUUUUACUUUGUUAUUCCCGAGCGACGGAUCCCAGGAAAUCUCGCGCUUGACAGACCGAUCUGUCCCUCGCGGAUCUCGCGGGAUACGAAAUUUGGGGAAGCGCGCGAAGCGGAACGGACUGCGGCGUUCGGAUGGGACAUAACAGGAACGCCUCGAUUUCCGCGCCGCUUUUUCCGCCACGUAUCGUGCAGCGCAACUGUUCGGGAUAUGAUUGGAUUGUUCGGGUCCACCUGUCAUCCACUCGGAAGGGAUGCUAUAAAUGCAACUCGCAGGGGCUUCUGCACAGUACCCUGUUCUUCUUCCUCCGCUCUCUUCGCCUCCGCUCUCCGCAACUGCUGCUGCUCCUGCUACCUCCUCUCCUGCGCAUUCCGCCGGCCACCAUGGGCAAAGAGAAGACGGCGGUGUUGGAGCGCGCGAAGAAGGCGUCGGCGGCGGAGAAGGCGUCGGCGGCUGAGAAGGCGAAGGGGAGAUCUACCGGCCGCGGCGGUUCCUCGUCGAGAUCCAACUUGCCGAAGGGCUGGGUCCAGGGAGAUUGGAUCCAGUCGACCAUCAGGGAGAAGGAUCUCCUCGACAUGGCCAACGACGGGUUGAUCCCCCACGGUGCCGCGAGGCUUCCUGGCCGAGAGUGGCAGCCUCAGCCAGAAGAGGGUGAGUGCGUGCUUCUGGCCACCCAUGUCGACCGAGGUUUUUCGCUGCCGCCGCGUGUCUUCUUUCGGGGUUUUCUGAAUUUCUUCGGAGCCCAGCUCCACCAUUUUACUCCAAACUCCAUCGCAUAUCUUGCUGCGUUUGUGUCUAUGUGCGAAAACUUCCUGGGCUGUCGACCGCACUGGGGUUUGUUCAAGUACAUCUUCACAUGUCGCUCUCAGACUGUGAAGAAGGCAAGCCCUGGUGACGAGAAGACCCAAGUAGUUCAGAUGUGUGGUGGCUUAGGGGUCCAGUUGAGGAAUAAAAGCACCUUCCCAGCUAUGUCUUUUCCCGAGUCGGUCAGGGGCUGGCAGUCGACCUGGUUCUAUUGCCGGAAUGAGACGACGCCGGGGCAGUCGACUGGUCUUCCUGCAUUCACCAUGAGUCGAGUGAACAGACCCUCCUCCCUGAAGGUAGUUCCAGAGGAGAGAACUGAGGUGAAGAUGUUGAUGGACCGCGUGGUGCAGCUGGUUCGGGAUGGCGUGACUGGCAUGGACCUCUUGGAGGUUUUUCUUUGGAGGCGAAUCCAGCCUCUUCAGUUCCGGAGCCACUGCAUGUGGCUGUACUGCGGCACCGAAGACGAGACUCGCGUCCACCCGGAGGCAGUCGACGAUGCCAUAGUGGAAAGAUGGAUGGCUGCGAUCACUGGAAACAAGGACAACCCUCGCGGAUCCCGGAGGAUUUCCCCACUUGACCACAACAGCGUUCCAGAAAAGGUACAUUUGCUCUGUUUUCCAUUGUAUCUUCGUCGAAUGUGUUUCUGUGAUUUGGUCGACUGAGUUCCGUUUUGAUGUUUCCAGGCCCUUACCGAGCUAUACUCGAUGCCCAAUGGCGCUCAAACUCCGACUGAGGAGGGGGAAGCCAGCGGGGGCGAGAGCCAGGAAGAGUGGGAUUCAGACGCUGCAGAAGAUGACGAUGACGACGAUGAUGAUGACGAGGAUGAUGACGACGAGGACGAAGAGGAGGAGGAGGCACCGCCGCGCUCGGAAAGGCGGUCAAAACUUGUGCACGACCCUUCGACUGAACGCGGCAAGGGAGUGGCGACUGCCUCACAGUCGAUCAAACGCCCUCGGACCGCUUCUCCGGUGCCGAAUGAGAAGGCGCCGAAACAGUCGAAAGUGGCUCCGUCGAGGACGACCAAGCCUCUGCCAAAAAUGAAGGUAGCCAUCCCCACCAUUUCAGCGGCUGCGACUUCCGAAACCUCAGGCAAGGCUGAGGACCAUGAGAUGGAGGACGCGGCGACUUCAAAUCCCGGUACUGCAACUUUAAAUCUUGUUCUUGGUCGACUGAUGCAUAAUUUUUGACUUUGACUUUUUCCUGAAGCUCCAACCAAUGACAUUAUCACCCUUCCCGACGACGAUGAUGAGGAUGAGGAACCAUUGAGGGCUAGGCGGAGCAGGAAGGCAUCUACUGGCCAUGCAGCCCAAGGUGUGGUGGCGCCCGAGACCAUUGCGACGGAAGGGGAGGUCGGCACUCGACACACCGUGUCAUUCGCGGUGCCGUUGACGAGUGCACGACCCACUUCGUCGAGUGCUGGGCAGCCAUCGAUCUUCGCCACGCACCACGUCCCGGAGGACCGGGCUAGUGCUGCUAAGGAGGCUAUCCGUCAAGCAGAGAUCAUGAUGGAGCAGGUGAAGAUCGUUCGGGAUGCGAGCCAAGCAGCUUACGACGCCAGCUCCGCCCUUCAGAGCAAUGUUCAGGUCAGUCGACCACUGCCUGUUCUGUUAGGAUAUAUUAUCAAAACUUUUCUUUCUGGAAUUCAUAGCAGUCACCCACUGGGUGUGUUGGUAAAAACUCCGUGUUAGCGGGGGCACGCUGAGUGCACCCGCUGGGUGUAGUCCCCAAGGCUAAGGUCGACUGCUGGCAGUCGGUCUUAGGCUUACUAAGUAGAUAUUGAUCAUCACUCGAAUGGAACGAAUGGGUUUCUGAGAUCAGUGGGGGCACGCUGAGUGCACCCACUGGGUGUAGUCCCCGAGACUGUGGUCGACUACUGGCAGUUGAUUACAGUCUGAAGAAGUUUCGGUCGACUGGUCGACUCGCUCUCUCUUUUUUUUUUGGUCGACUGGUCGACUCUGUCUUGAAUAAGACCAGUGGGGGCACGCUGAGUGCACCCACUAGGUGUAGUCCCCGAGAUUACGGUCGAAUGCUUGCAUUCGACUGUAAUCUUAGAAACGCAUCAUUUUUCUUUAUUCACUCGGAAGUGGAUUAUCUCUGAUAUUUUUGCAAUUGACUCUUCGUAGAAAUCCUGCGAUCUUGCGGCGCGCUAUACUGAACUGGAGCAGAAGCAUAUUCAGCUCGAGUUGGACUUGAAGCUAGUGCAGGAGAAUCUGACGAAGGCAAAGGAGGAGACCAAAGGUAUGUUUGGUGAGAUUUCGACGACUCUUUUCUCCCCUCAUUUGCUUCAAACCUGACUUUGCUGUAAUUUACAGGCAAGGUGAAGGAGGCCCAGAGGAAGAAGGAGCUUGAGCUGUCUGAGAAGAUCAAGCUCGCUGAUGAAAAACUGGCCUCAGUCACCAAGCUCGAACAGGACAACACCAAUCUGAAGGCUGCUCUGGCCAUUGCCAGCAAGGAUGUUGAACGACUGAAGGCUGACAAGACUACUCUGACUGAGAAGAUCAACCAGAUGGCUGGGAAGAAGAACGAGCUGGAAGGCUUCUUGGGUGGUCUUGCUAAAAAAUUGUUCCUUAUGCUUGAAGGUAAUCUUCUUCACUCGACCAAUUCUCCCAACUGUUAUGUUCCCAUUCGACUGUUUUCUUAAUUCAGGAUUUUGUCUUUGCAGAGUUCUGUCGCAACUUUGAAGAAGAAACCAGCCAGCUGGAGACGAACCUUGACCCUGUCAAUUCUCCGGUGAAUGAUGAAACUGCCAUGAACAUCUUCCGACUGGAGUCCCGUAUUGCUGCCGUCGUGGAUUAUCUUGCAAGACUGAAGGUUGCUACAUCCCGCAUCGACUCGACGCUCUGGCCCAGGGAAACACUCCGAAAUGACCUCGAGUCGUUGGUGACUCGACUGAACGCUGUCCCUGACCGAGUGCAAGAGUGGAAGAAGUCUUCAGCUCGAUGUGGCGCGGAUGUCGCCCUGUGUCUGGCACGAGUCCAUUGCAAGGAUGCUCGAGAGGAUAAGCUGGCGGCUCUCCGAGUGGCCAACACCAAAAAGCACGACUUCAGGGCCUUCAUGGAGACUUUCAUUGCUGCUGCUACGCGGAUUGCAGACGGGAUUGACCUUGACGAGUUCGUUGCUCCAUCCAGCCCUCCACAGGAGGGGUAAAAAACUUUCCUUGACCUUAAAUUUGCCUCGGUAUGCCGAGUGGAGUUGUAACCGAUAAAACCUUAACAGGCUUAGCGCCAGAGCACUCUCGGUUCCUUUAGGUAUCGACCUAAAUUUGGAUUGGAUGUUUUGGAUAUGAUUGCUUUUGGCUUGAAUUGCUUCUUUGCAGGUUAACAGCAAGAUGCCCACUGCAGUCGACUUAUUCCUUAGGCGAGCACUGGGCUGCAGCUAAGCCCCCAAGUGAGAGGUUUGCUCUUCACUCGGUAGGAUUUUUUUUACCUUAGGCGAGCACUGGGCUGCAGCUAAGCCCCCGAGUGAGAGGUUUGCUCUUCACUCGGUAGGAUUUUGUUUUACCUUAGGCGAGCACUGGGCUGCAGCUAAGCCCCCGAGUGAGAGGUUUGCUCUUCACUCGGUAGGUUUUCUUUUACCUUAGGCGAGCACUGGGCUGCAGCUAAGCCCCCGAGUGAGAGGUUUGCUCUUCACUCGGUAGGAUUUCUUUUACCUUAGGCGAGCACUGGGCUGCAGCUAAGCCCCCGAGUGAGAGGUUUGCUCUUCACUCGGUAGGAUUUCUUUUACCUUAGGCGAGCACUGGGCUGCAGCUAAGCCCCCGAGUGAGAGGUUUGCUCUUCACUCGGUAGGAUUUCUUUUACCUUAGGCGAGCACUGGGCUGCAGCUAAGCCCCCGAGUGAGAGGUUUGCUCUUCACUCGGUAGGAUUUCUUUUACCUUAGGCGAGCACUGGGCUGCAGCUAAGCCCCCGAGUGAGAGGUUUGUUCUUCACUCGGUAGGAUUUCCAUUGUAUUUGUGACGAAGCUCGGAGGAGAGGGUCGCAGUCGACCUGCACCUCGUCUUCCUUGCGAACGCACAUCAUACUUAUGGUGUAGCUCGGAGGAGAGGGUCGCAGUCGACCUGCCCCUCGUCCUCCUUGCGGGUACGCAUGCUACAAUGGUGUAGUUCGGAGGAGAGGAUCGCAGUCGACCUGCACCUCGUCUUCCUUGCGGGUACACAUUAUACUUAGGCGAGUCCUUGGACUGCAGCUAAGCCUCCGAGUGGGAGUCUGGCUUACCACUCGGUAGGAUUUUUAAUAACUUAGGCGAGCACUGAGCUGCAGCUAAGCCUCCGAGUGGAAGUCUGGCUUACCACUCGGUAGGAUUUCUUAUAUCUUAGGCGAGUACUGGACUGCAGCUAAGCCUCCGAGUGGAAGUCUGGCUUACCACUCGGUAGGACUUCUUAUAUCUUAGGCGAGUACUGGACUGCAGCUAAGCCUCCGAGUGGAAGUCUGGCUUACCACUCGGUAGGAUUUCUUAUAUCUUAGGCGAGUACUGGACUGCAGCUAAGCCUCCGAGUGAAAGUCUGGCUUACCACUCGGUAGGACUUCUUAUAUCUUAGGCGAGUACUGGACUGCAGCUAAGCCUCCGAGUGGAAGUCUGGCUUACCACUCGGUAGGAUUUCUUAUAUCUUAGGCGAGUACUGGACUGCAGCUAAGCCUCCGAGUGGAAGUCUGGCUUACCACUCGGUAGGAUUUUUUGUUACUUAGGCGAAACGGAUUCACAGCUAAGCCUCCGAGUGGAAGUCUGGCUUACCACUCGGUAGGAUUUGUACAAACUUAGGCGAAACGGAUUCGCGACUAAGCCACCCACUGGGGGAAAAUUUUGCUGGACCAAAAAAUAAAAAGUGAUGAAAAUUAUGAAGGAAUUAUUACACUAUUAUUUCAAAGCCCAUGAACUACAGAAGUAUUUUAUUACAACUCUUCCGAGUGAAGAACUUUAAGUGUAAAACGGGCGGAGCAGAUCCGCGUUCCAAGCUCGGGGCUCUUCGAUAUUGUGUUCGACGUUAUAGAGACGAUACGCCCCAUUGUGGAGAAUCUUUGUGACGAUGAAGGGCCCUUCCCAGGAAGGGGCGAGCUUAUGUUGCUUCUGCUGAUCCACUCGAAGGACCAGAUCUCCUUCCUGGAAGGCUCGACCUCUCACAUUUCUGGCGUACAGGCGACGCAAGUCUUGCUGGUAAAUGGUCGAGCGGAUCAGAGCCAUUUCCCUUUCCUCUUCUAGGAGGUCGACUGCAUCCUGACGCGCUUGCUCAGCUUCUGCUUCAUUGUAAAGUUCAAUUCGGGGAGCAUUGUGAAGGAGAUCACUCGGUAAGACUGCUUCUGCUCCAUAGACCAAGAAGAAAGGAGUUCUCCCAGUCGACCGAUUAGGCGUGGUCCGCAAACCCCAAAGCACUGAAGGAAGUUCGUCGACCCAAGCUCCAGCCGCAUGCUUGAGAUCUCGCAUCAAUCGGGGCUUCAGACCCUUGAGGAUUAAUCCGUUGGCUCGUUCUGCCUGUCCGUUCGACUGUGGAUGAGCGACUGAAGCGUAGUCGACUCGUGUGCCUUGGGAGUUGCAGAAAUCCUUGAAUUCUUCCGAGUCAAAAUUCGACCCAUUGUCUGUGAUAAUACUGUGCGGGACUCCAUAUCUGAAUGUCAACCCUCUGACAAAGGAAACAGCAGUACCAGCAUCAAGUUUUUUGAUUGGUUUAGCUUCAAUCCACUUGGUGAACUUGUCGACUACCACCAGUACAUGUGUGAAACCGCUCCGACCUGUUCGCAAGGGACCGAUCAUGUCCAACCCCCAUACUGCGAAAGGCCAGACGAGUGGAAUGGUCUUCAAGGCUGACGCAGGCUUGUGUGACAUAUUGGAGUAGAACUGGCAUCCUUCGCACUUGUCCACUAUUUCUUUCGCCAUCUCAUUUGCUCUUGGCCAGUAAAAUCCGGCUCGGUAUGCUUUGGCUACAAUGGUCCGAGAGGACGCAUGGUGACCACAGGUCCCCGAGUGGAUGUCAUUGAGUAUGACUCGACCUUCUUCUGGCGUUAUGCAUUUUUGUCCGACUCCCGUCGGGCUUUCUCUAUACAACUGCCCAUUGAUAACGGUAAAGGCUUUGGAUCGACGGACGACCUGCCGAGCCUCUUCGUCAUCUUCUGGGAGUUCCUUUCUCAGAAUAUACGCGAUGUAUGGAAUCGUCCAAUCGGGAGUGACCACUAACACUUCCAUGACUAAGUCGACCACUGCUGGGACCUCAACCUCAGUCGAGUCUGUGGCACUCUUGGGUUGUGGAGCUUCCUCUGUGAAGGGAUCUUCUUUAACUGACAGAGUGUGUAUAUGUUCCAAAAACACACCACUCGGAAUGGCUUCUCUUUUGGACCCUAUCUUCGCCAGAUCAUCUGCUGCUUGAUUUUUCAAUCGAGGGAUGUGAUGGAGUUCCAACCCCUCGAACUUCUUUUCCAGCUUCCUCACUGCAUUGCAGUAUCCAGUCAUAGCUGGGCUUCUCACGUCCCACUCUUUCAUCACUUGAUUGACCACUAGAUCUGAGUCGCCAUAGACCAUCAGGCGACGGACGCCGAGUGAGAUGGCCAUGCGCAAUCCAUAUAAGAGGGCCUCGUACUCUGCCUCAUUGUUGGAGGAAUCAAAGUGAAUCUGGAGCACAUACCUAAGCUUAUCUCCUCUGGGGGAAACUAGAACAACCCCAGCACCAGAACCAUUCAGCAUCUUGGAGCCGUCGAAGAACAUGGUCCAAUGCUCCGAGUGAACUUCAGUCGGUUGCUGUUGUUCAAUCCACUCGGCAAGGAAAUCCGCUAUAGCCUGGGACUUAAUGGCUUUCUUUGCCUCGAAUUUGAUAUCAAGGGGAAGAAGUUCAAUCGCCCAUUUUGCCACUCGACCGGUUGCGUCUCUGUUGUGCAGGAUCUCUGAUAAAGGAGCGUCGCUGACGACUGUGAUAGAAUGAUCAGAGAAAUAGUGAGCAACCUUCUUUGUGGUCAUGUAUAUACCAUACACAAGCUUCUGAUAAUGAGGAUAUCUCUGCUUGGAUGGAGUCAAGACUUCAGACAGAUAAUACACCGGGCGCUGAACUUUGAAGGCCUUUCCUUCCUCUUCCCGCUCGACCGUAAGCACAGUACUGACAACUUGUCCAGUGGCUGCGAUGUAAAGCAACAGAGGCUCCUUGCUGAUUGGAGCAGCAAGCACCGGCUGGGUGGAGAGCAGAGCUUUUAGCUCGGCAAACGCUGCGUCAGCUUCUGGAGUCCACUCGAAUUUGUCUGCCUUCUUCAUCAGUUGGUAAAGAGGUAAUGCCUUUUCACCGAGUCGUGAGAUGAAUCGACUUAAAGCGGCCAAGCAUCCAGUAAGCUUCUGGACGUCGUGCACUCGCACAGGGCGUUUCAUUCGGAGAAUGGUGCCGAUCUUCUCUGGGUUAGCGUCGAUCCCUCGUUCGGAAACGAGAAAACCGAGUAAUUUUCCACCAGGAACUCCGAAUGUGCACUUUGACGGAUUGAGCUUGAUAUCGUACCUUCUGAGGUUGGCAAAUGUUUCGGCGAGGUCAGCAAGCAGGUCGGAACCUUUUCGCGACUUAACGACGAUAUCAUCCAUAUACGCUUCCACAUUCCGACUGAUUUGAGUGAGAAGACACUUCUGAAUCAUUCGCAUAAAUGUGGCUCCGGCAUUCUUGAGGCCGAAUGGCAUGGUGAUAUAGCAGAAGCACCCGAAUGGAGUGAUGAAAGCUGUUUUUAUUUCAUCGGGUCCAUACAGACGGAUCUGAUGAUACCCGGAAUAUGCAUCUAGAAAAGACAAUCUCUCACACCCCGCGGUCGAGUCAACAAUUUGAUCUAUGCGGGGGAGAGGAAAAUGAUCCUUCGGGCAGGCCCGAUUGAUGUGCUUAAAAUCAAUGCACAUGCGGAGUGAGUUGUCCUUCUUGGGAAUCAUGACGACAUUAGCGAGCCACUCGGAGUGGUAUAUCUCCCGAAUAAAUCCUGCCGUCAACAGUCGAGCCACUUCUUCACCAAUAGCCUUUCUCUUCUGGACGGCGGACCGCCGAAGAUGCUCUUUGACUGGCUUCGCUGACUUGUCGACUCGGAGGCGAUGCUCAGCCAGUUCCCUGGGAACACCUGGCAUGUCAGCUGGCUUCCAUGCGAAAAUGUCCCAGUUCUCACGGAGGAACUGGAUGAGCGCUUCUUCCUAUUUCGAGUCGAGUGUUGUGGAGAUGUGGGUCGGGGCUGCAUUGGGAUCAGUCGGAUGAAUAUGGACUGGCUUCGUCUCACCAGACGACUGGAAUGCAGACUCUGUUGUUGGCUUCUUGGAUCGUAACAAGUCACUCGGAUCUGCGGUUUGCAUGUAUUCGUCGAAUUCGACCGCUGUCACUUGGGAGUCGGCAAUCUUCGAGCCCUUCUGAAAGCACUCUUCUGCCUUCUUCCGAUCGCCGGUGACAGUGAUCACUCCCUUUGGUCCUGGCAUUUUCAGUUUGAGGUACAUGUAGCAUGGUCGAGCCAUGAAUCGCGCGUAGGCGGGCCUCCCCAAAAUGGCGUGGUAUGCACUCUGAAAAUCCACAACCUCAAAGGUCAACUUUUCUUUGCGAAAGUGCUUGGAAUCACCAAAAACCACGUCCAGGGCUAUUUGGCCGAGUGAGUUGGCCUUCUUCCCUGGUAUGACUCCGUGGAAACUCAUAUUGCUGGCGCUCAAUCGGGACAUCGGAAUGCCCAUCCCUUUCAAUGUAUCCACAUAUAACAAAUUCAGCCCACUACCACCAUCCAUCAGCACUUUUGUCAGUCGAGUGCCUUCGACAACUGGAUCGACCACUAACGCUUGCCGCCCAGGAGUGGCAAUGUGAGUCGGGUGAUCAGAUUGGUCGAAUGUGAUGGGUGUCUGGGACCACUUCACAUAACUUGGCUUUACUGGGGCAACCAUAUUCACCUCCCGGUUGAUGACUUUCAGUCGACUUUUGCUUUCCACAUCCGCGAAGAUCAUCAGAGUGGAGUUGACAUGCGGGUAUUCCUCCUCACUGUCCUCUUUGUCUCCGGCCUUGUCUGGCUCCUUCUCCUUGUCCUUAGACUGUUUUCCCUGAAACUGCUGGAUCAGGAGUCGACACUGACGAGUGGUGUGCUUCGGGUAAAUAAUGUUGCCCUCUUCAUCCUUCUUCGUGUGGAUAUGGCAUGGCAUAUCCAUCACGUCAUUUCCUUCUUUAUCUUUCACUUUCUUCGGAUUCCAGGAUCCUUUGGGCUUCCCCUUGAACUUCCCCUGAGUCACGGCCAGGGCCUCUCCAGGAGCUGCUGGCUCGGCUUUUCGUUUCUGCUUCCGACUGGAAUUUCCCUUCUCCGACUGGCUUGGCUUGUACUUGCCGCUUCGGAGUCGAUCUUCUUCCUCGCCAUUGGCGUAUUUGCUAGCAAUCUCCAUCAUUCGACUCAGGGUCAUGUCCCCGGUUCGACCAAACUUCAGACUCAAUUCUCUAUUUUUGACGCCAUCUUUGAAGGCGCAAACCGCCUGAUGGUCAGACACAUUUUCCACAGUAUGGUGCAAGGUAAUCCACCUCUGAAUGUACUCUCGAAGAGUUUCAUUGGUCUUCUGCACACAAACUUGCAGCUCUGUCAAACCAGCCGGUCGCUUGCAAGUCCCUUCAAAAGUCCUGACGAACACUCGGGACAAAUCUUCCCAAGUAUAUAUACUGCUACGAGGUAACUGAUUCAGCCAUGCUCUGGCAAAACCUUCUAACAUGAGGGGCAAAUGCUUCAUGGCCACCUCAUCAUUCCCACCACCAAUCUGAACAGCCACUCGGUAAUCCUCAAGCCAAGUUUCAGGCUUGGAUUCCCCAGUGAACUUGCUGACUCCUGUUGCCAAUCUGAAAUUGGGGGGGAUCACUGCGGCUCUGAUAGCCCUGCUAAAACACUCCGGACCAGAGACAUGCACUCGACUGCUGGUGGGUGCAUCCCUCUCGGGUCCGCCUCGAUGGGCUCUGUUCUGGUCGACCAAGCCUUGCACGAUAAUGGAUCGCGCGUCAAAGCCUGGUUCCCUGGGGUCGACUGGAACUCUUCGCCCCGUACUGAACUGUCGUCUGUCAUCUUGCCGCCGAGGAGCGUACGACCCUUCCCUCGGAGGGGAAAGGGGCACUCGACGCCUGUCAUCCCGGUCGAAUCGGUCUCCGUGCUGCUCUCGCCGGUUGUCGCGCCCUUCUCGCCGCGGAGGCGAUCUGGGGCUGUGAGCCGACUGGACAGUGUUCGCAGCGACGGAUCGACUGUGAAUCCUGUUGCGCGACUGCGACACGGCUGAGUUCUGGUCUCCUGCCGCUCGGAGUAAAUCUCUGAUCUGCUGCAAGCCUCUCCCAGCUUCCGACUGGGACGGCUGGAUGGACUCUGCUAUGCGAGUUGCAGCUGCUAAAUUCUGAACUGGCGUGCGGUAUACCUGAGUCGGUGGGAAGAGUCGACGUCGACUGGCUUCGGGGAUUCGUUGCCGCGCGCGCUCGUCGAGUGCUCGCUGAAGAUUCUCCAGGCGAGCGCGUUCAGCCACAUUGGCCAAACGUGCUUCCUCCAAGGCACGAGCCUCAGGGGUUUCUCCGGCAAUAGGAGUAUGAAGUGCAUCCAUGUUCCUGCGACGAAGCUCUUCUCUCUGCAGAGAGUCGAGUGUCUCGGGCUGGUACUCUUCGUGUUCUUGCACGGGGUCUCCUCCUCCAGCGGCCCCACCGCCGUGGGCGAAGCCGGGAGGACUGCGAGGGCCGUCGACCAUGAGGAUCUCCGCCGCUGGAUCACUGCUAUCACACUCGGAUGCAGUCUCUACGGAGCCAGUCGACAGAUCGAACAGGCCGUAGAGGGAUUCGUCGGGCUCGAUGGCCGCGACUUGGGCGGUGGCUGUCUGGCGAGCCACCGCGUGUUUCACCCACCGCUGGAGCCUCGACCGACCAGAACGCUUGCGCUGGUGGGAGACUGGGUGGGCGACCGAUAGGGGAGUCGACUGAUACGGGGUCGACGGUUGCCGCAGCAGAACGCCGCGAACACAUGCGCGAAAGUGUGUCGCCCCGCGGACGGGGAGCGCCUCGAUGUCAAGUGGAGCCUCCUGGAGCCAUGCGGAGUCGUCGGCGACAAAAGUGAGAGCACCAAGACGGAUCUCGCGCCCCUCAACCAAAACUCCAGCAGUCAUCGUGAUGAAGGUACUCGGAAGUACUGCAACUCCUCCACAAAUCGCUAAAACACCUGCCCCAAGGUGGGCGCCAACUGUCGUGGUUCUAAGUCUGACAGUAGAAAUGGGGGUAGGUAAGGGGAGGCGAUGUCCUAGCUAUGGAGUAGUUGUGAAGACAAGUGAUGUACGAGUUCAGGCCCUUCUCGGAGGAAGUAACAGCCCUACGUCUCGGAGCCCUGAGGCGGUCAAGUGGAUUAUGGAUAUGAGUAUUACAAGAAUGCGAACCCCUCUACCUGUGGAGGAGGGUGGCUUAUAUAGAGUGCGCCAGGACCCCAGCCAGCCCACGUAUUGGAGAGGUUAAAGUGCAUUAAGUCUGGGGCGUUACUGGUAACGCCCCUCAUAAAGUGUCUUAACUAUCAUUAAGUCUAUUCAAUAGUAAGCCGUUGUGCUGCGGAGUGUCUUCUGACCUUCUGGUGGUCGAGUGAGUCUUCAUGGUCGAGUGAGUCUUCCAUGGUCGAGUCCUUCCAGUCAGUCGAGUGGGUUCCUCUUUGGUCGACUGGAAGAUGAUCUCUUCUGAGAGUGUCCUUGGGUAGGACGUUUAGGUCAGGCCUAUGACCCUACCCUAGGUAUAUGAAUCCAUCAACAUCCACGCGCGCUCCUCCUCCGCCGCCCGCCUCGCCACGCCACGCCUCACCUCGUCACGUCACGUCACGUCGCGCCGCGCCGCGGGUUGCGGGAAUGAGCCGAGCCGAUGUCUAAAUUUUUGCCACGCACUACGGGUAUGCGAAAGGUCACUCGGAAGCUGAAACAUUUUCUGUAGUGGACACUGAAUUCGAACAGCGCGCCUCUUCGGCUGCUGUCUGUUCGUUUCAGCUCCCGACGCAACCUCUCGCCUCCUUCUCUUGCGCCUAUAAAAGGGAGGUCGCUCCUCUCAGAGAGACGCACCAGAAUCUCUUCCUCCUCUCGCCACAAGUUCCUGAGCAUUGCGCUGCUGUUACGUUCUUCCUCAUCCCGGCUUGCGGCGUGCACCGCAGGUCGGGACAGUAGGCCUCCGAAACCGCACUCUUUGAGUCCUGUACGGGAGAAGGGUGAUAAGGUUUUUGGGGAGCGCUCAACGCGACUACUGGCUUCUUCAUCACGGACGAUCUGGUCGCCGACGACGACUUCCCCGACGACGACUUCUUCCCCGACGUCGACAACCUCCUCGACGACAUGGCUGGCAAGGACACCGAUCCCAAGUCCAGUACUGCUGCUGCUGUCGUCCCGUAUGUCAUCUUCUUUCUGUCACAUGUUCUGCCACAGUUACCUCUACUAGUACUUGCCCUACAUAUGUUAAGGUUCUACUUCAUAUAUGCAACUAGUUCUACCGUCUGCUAUAGAUAUGUUUGGCUACGGUUCAUAUAUGCAGAAGCUAUUUACCUUCUCUCUGUCAGAACGCAUGACUUGCUUUAUCUCUAUUAUUUUAGUCAUGUUUUAUCUACUAUUUCUGUUAAUAAAAUCAUUCUGUAAAUUGCUCAUAUUUCCAACAAUCCAAAAACCUUAUUAUAGGCAAUUUACCUCGAAUGGUUUUGCUGCUUCCAUGAGACCUCCUAUGUUUGAGGGUAUCCACUAUAAGAGGUGGCGCGUGAGAGCAGUCUUAUGGUUUCAAACCAUGAGUUGCUAUGACGCCACUCUUGGCAAACCUGAAGGAGAGCAAGAUGCCCAACAGGCACAAGCUUUUCAGAAAAUGGAUACCUUGUUUAAGGCUGCUCUCUUGAGUGUUCUUGGUGAGAACAUAGUUGAUGCUUAUGCGUCAAUUGAUAAUGGAAAAGAUAUGUGGGAUGCACUCGAGGCCAAGUUUGGGGUCUCGGAUGCUGGCACUGAGCUGUACAUCAUGGAGCAAUUCUAUGAUUACAGGAUGACUGAAGAGCGCUCCGUGGUUGAGCAAGCUCAUGAGAUACAGUCGUUUGCUAGAGAACUUGAGCACUUCAGUUGUACGCUACCGGACAAGUUUGUUGCCGGAGGUAUCAUCACUAAGCUUCCUCCUUCAUGGAGGAACUUUGCUACCUUGCUGAAGCAUAAGAGGUAGGAGUUUUCCGUCCCGGAUCUCAUUGGCACUCUUGAUGUGGAAGAAAAGGCGAGAGCAAAGGACACACGUGCUCGAGGUAUUGAGGGAGGAUCUAGUGCCAAUGUGGUACAGAAGCAGAACUUCCAGCCCCACAAGUUCAAGAACAAGGGCAAGUUUGAUGGUAAAGCAAAGUUUGAUGGGAAGAACAAGGCUGUGCAACACACGAACUUCAAGAAGAANNNNNNNNNNAAAGAUCGUGCGGCUGAAGAACGUGCAUUAUGUCCCCUCCGUCAAUAAGAAUCUUGUUAGCGGAUCUCUUCUGUGUAGAGAUGGCUACAAGCUUGUCUUUGAGUCGAAUAAAUUUGUAAUAUCCAAGUAUGGAACCUUUGUCGGUAAAGGCUAUGAGUCAGGAGGCCUGUUUCGUUUAUCCUUAUCAGACGUUUGCAAUAAAGUUGUUAAUCAUAUUUGCAACAAUAGUGAAUCAAAUGUGUGGCAUUCACGACUUUGUCAUGUUAACUUUGGUUGCAUGUCGCGACUAGCGAAGUUGAACUUAAUCCCUAGUUUCACCACCGUUAAGGGAUCUAAGUCUCAAGUGUGUGUGCAAGCUAAGCAACCUCGUAAAUCUCACGUGACUGCGGAGACGAGAAAUCUUGCACCACUAGAACUUAUACAUUCAGAUCUAUGUGAAAUGAAUGGUGUUUUGACAAAAGGUGGAAAGAAAUAUUUCAUGACGUUAAUUGACGACUCCACUAGAUACUGCUGUGUGUAUCUUCUGAAAUCUAAGGAUGAGGCUUUGAACUUUUUCAAGAUCUAUAAAGCUGAAGUGGAAAACCAACUUGAUCGGAAAAUCAAGAGGCUUAGGUCCGACCGUGGUGGAGAGUAUUUUUCCAAUGAAUUUGAUGCUUUUUGUGCGGAANNNNNNNNNNUAUUAGGAGCAAGAGACAGAGGACUGCAAAGUCCUUUGGUGAUGAUUUUCUUGUGUAUCUCAUAGAUGACACUCCCAGUUCCAUUUCAGAGGCCUAUGCAUCUGAAGAUGCUGACUACUGGAAGGAAGCAGUUCGUAGCGAGAUGGAUUCUAUCUUGGCGAAUGAAACUUGGGAGAUAACUGAUCGUCCUUAUGGGUGCAAACCUAUAGGAUGCAAAUGGGUAUUCAAGAAGAAGCUUAGGCCUGAUGGUACUAUUGAAAAGUACAAGGCUCGGCUCGUGGCUAAGGGUUAUACCCAAAAGGAAGGUGAAGACUUCUUUGAUACUUACUCACCUGUGGCUCGACUGACCACUAUUCGAGUCCUACUUUCACUAGCUGCCUCACAUGGUCUUCUCGUUCAUCAAAUGGAUGUUAAGACUGCUUUCCUAAAUGGAGAGUUGGAUGAGGAAAUUUAUAUGGAACAACCAGAUGGGUUUGUAAUAGAUGGUCAGGAAGGGAAAGUGUGCAAGUUGCUGAAGUCUUUGUAUGGACUCAAGCAAGCACCCAAACAGUGGCAUGAGAAGUUCGAAAGAACUUUAACAGCCGCAGGCUUUGUUGUAAACGAAGCUGACAAAUGUGUGUACUAUCGCCAUGGUGGGGGCGAGGGAGUUAUGCUUUGCUUGUAUGUUGAUGACAUACUGAUUUUCGGAACAAAUCUGAAUGUUAUUAAGGAGGUCAAGGAUUUCCUAUCUCGUUGUUUUGAGAUGAAGGAUUUAGGAGUGGCUGAUGUCAUUCUGAACAUCAAGUUGUUGAGAGACGAUGAUGGUGGGAUUACAUUGCUUCAAUCUCACUAUGUGGAAAAGAUCUUGAGUCGCUUCGGCUAUAGUGACUGCAAGCCCUCUCCAACACCAUAUGAUGCUAGCGUGCUGCUUCGAAAGAAUCGAAGAAUUGCUAGAGAUCAAUUGAAGUAUUCUCAGAUUAUUGGCUCGCUUAUGUACUUAGCCAGUGCUACAAGACCUGACAUCUCUUUUGCUGUUAGCAAGCUGAGCCGGUUUGUCUCAAAACCGGGAGAUGUGCAUUGGAAAGCUCUAGAGAGAGUUUUGCGUUAUUUGAAAGCCACUGUAAAUUAUGGAAUUCACUACACUGGGCACCCAAAGGUGCUUGAAGGGUAUAGUGACUCAAACUGGAUCUCAGAUGCUGAUGAGAUAAAGGCCACGAGCGGAUAUGUGUUCACUCAUGGAGGUGGCGCUGUUUCUUGGAAGUCUUGCAAGCAGACCAUCUUAACGAGGUCAACUAUGGAAGCAGAGCUCACAGCACUAGAUACAGCUACGGUCGAAGCAGAUUGGCUUCGCCGGCUCUUGAAUGACUUGCCGGUUGUUGAGAAACCUGUACCGGGUGUCCUUAUGAACUGCGACAAUCAAACUGUAAUCACAAAAGUGAGCAGCUCAAAGGAUAACAUGAUGUCAUCAAGACACGUUCAGAGAAGGUUAAAGUCUGUCAGGAAAAUGAAAAACUCCGGAGUUAUUGCGUUGGAUUAUAUCCAAACGUCUAAAAAUCUGGCAGAUCCUUUCACUAAGGGUCUAUCGCGUAAUGUGAUAGAUAAUGCAUCGAGGGAGAUGGGUAUGAGACCCACAAUAUGAGUUGUUCACAGUGGUAACCUAUUCUUUGUGAUCGGAGAUCCCGUGAAUUAGAUGUGGAAGACAAGCUGUUGGUCAACUGAGAAGAGAGUAUCCCUACUAUUCCCAAUACCACUCCAUGAAGAUGCAAUACUCUCCUAAUCUGCAUGGCAGGUUGAUGUAUAUCUUAAUGUGUUCUAAGUGGCUCUUUGAAGUAGAGAUGUUGUCCUGCAUAACAUCUUUUGAAGAACACACCUAUAUGAGUCUGAUUGUCAAACAUUGCAAUCUAUGAGAGUAGGGUUCUCUCUAGUAAACUCAUGAAAGGUCACGGAGUAUGACGCAUAAGCUCCACCCGCGGGGAAGACCCACGGUAGCCACGUAUCGGUCAAGGCUUUAUGUGAAGCUAGAUUCGCAGAAAACUUGCAGUUCAAGGCCCAGUCCACUGUUCAAGUUGCUUACUAGUGUAGCAUAGAGUUCUAGGUGGAAGUUCAACUUAACAGUCUCCACUGCAGUACCGGUAUAUAAAACAGUGUUUUGGAACCAAAGGCAAAUUCUGUGUGCCUCUGGGAUCUGGUGGGGGAUUGCUGGAAUUUAGUCUAUAUUGGGGCAGCCCAAUAAUUAUUUCAGAAAUUCCUAAUAAAUCCUAGAGGCCCACUUAGCCCAUUUGUGCAAGGCAAGGGAUACUACUAAAGUUUAGUCCCACAUUGCUAGUUUAGAGGGAGUUGGACCUCUUUAUAAGGGAGGCUCCUUCCCCACUUGUAUGAGCAUGAGAACAAGAGGGACAUCCACGCGCGCUCCUCCUCCGCCGCCCGCCUCGCCUCGCCUCGCCUCGCCUCGCCUCGUCACGCCGUGCCGCGGGUUGCGGGAAUGAGCCGAGCCGAUGUCUAAAUUUUUGCCACGCACUACGGGUAUGCGAAAGGUCACUCGGAAGCUGAAACAUUUUCUGUAGUGGACACUGAAUUCGAACAGCGCGCCGCUUCGGCUGCUGUCUGUUCGUUUCGUCUCCCGCAUUCCCUUCAGCUCCCGACGCAACCUCUCGCCUCCUUCUCUUGCGCCUAUAAAAGGGAGGUCGCUCCUCUCAGAGAGACGCACCAGAAUCUCUUGCUCCUCUCGCCACAGGCUUGCGGCGUGCACCGCAGGUCGGGACAGUAGGCCUCCGAAACCGCACUCUUUGAGUCCUGUACGGGAGAAGGGUGAUAAGGUUUUUGGGGAGCGCUCAGCGCGACUACUGGCUUCUUCACCACGGACGAUCCGGUCGCCUCCCCGACGACGACUUCUUCCCCGACGUCGACAACCUCCUCGACGACAUGGCUGGCGAGGACACUGAUCCCAAGUCUAGUACUGCUGCUGCUGUCGUCCCGUAUGUCAUCUUCUUUCUGUCACAUGUUCUGCCACAGUUACCUCUACUAGUACUUGCCCUACAUAUGUUAAGGUUCUACUUUAUAUAUGCAACUAGUUCUACCGUCUGCUAUAGAUAUGUUUGGCUACGGUUCAUAUAUGCAGAAGCUAUUUACCUUCUCUCUGUCAGAACGCAUGACUUGCUUUAUCUCUAUUAUUUUAGUCAUGUUUUAUCUACUAUUUCUAUUAAUAAAAUCAUUCUGUAAAUUGCUCAUAUUUCCAACACAACCUACCCGACAGUGUAAAUAAAUAUUUAGCUUGCAAAACAUUACUCUAGAAAACUCAUUCAGAUCAAAUGCAACCGACCCUUAAAAAUACAUUGUUCGCGUGUUAACAGCUUUUGCAUGAUUUAACUAUAGGUUACAAAAUAAAUGAAGUAAAAUGAAAUGAAAUAUUCUUAUAAAAAUAAUGUUGAACAAAGAAAUCCAGUAAUUAUUCAGCAAGGGCAGGACCGCAAGACGAUCGAUCUGGACGGGCUAACAAUAGUUAAUCUCGUGUGCGCAGAUAAAUCAUAACACCGAGCACAACUGUGCAUGCUUACCUUACAAUUCGGAUCUGAAUCAGUUGGGUUGCAGAUUUCAAGUUGACCACCUCUUGCCUUCAUAGUUACAGCCUGCUGUGAAAAAUUUCCCCUCUCACAAAUUUGUUCCAUAUCGUGCUGCGCGGCAAAAGGGGACAAACAGGGGGGCGGAAACCUUAGAUCAUCACUGGAUCAGAUCAAAUAGGGCCUAGCUAGGCAUGGCCAGAGGGAGGCGGGGAAGGAGGAGACUUACGUGUAGAACAUCAUAAGACCUUUGAUCUGAACUGCGGCUCCAGCUUGCCCUUCUAGAUCCGGCCCUUGCCCUGCCAGCGUCGCCGGUUCUACCGCCAACAGUGGCUGCCAACCUAGAGGAGGGAGAGAGAUAGUGAAUGGGAGAUGGGGCGGUCAGGUUAUGAGGAGGGAGUGAUUCCAGUCGCACCAAGGAUGGCGGUUCGCUUGCAAUUCUCCUUCUGUGGGUCGUGGGGAGGAGUCAACCGAAGGGACAUCAAACACGGGGGAUCAAAUCUUGAACUGUUGCUCCGAGCCAUCUGUGCUUAAUCAAAGGGCUGGAAAAAUUAUGAUGGUGUGGACGCGCGAGAUGACGUGGCACAUCGCUGAUGUGGACAGUGUGCAUGGUGAGAGAAUAGGAAGUAGUGGGGAGCAACUUCUUAAGAAUGAUAGAUUCCUCCUCCGAACAGAAUAUCCUGAAUCUACAACCUACACAUGCACGGUUAGAAUUAAGUUGCUUCCAAAAAUUGCAUGACAUAAUUGCUUCCAGCGACUGAACAAUUUACUUCAACAACAACAAAAUUUAUUCAAUCUAAUUGAAAAUUGUGUUCGGACCUAACCGAAAUUUGUGCCCAUUAUAAUGGUUAUUUACUUCCAACUAAACAAGAGUUUGUUUCUGUCGACUAAAUUUUUUGCUUCCAUUCACUAGUGCAGAACCGGGCUUUAGUGCCGGUUCGUGACGGCCUUUAGUGCCGAUUGGCGAACCGGCACUAAAGAGUGGGGACUAAAGGCCCCCCCCCCUUUAGUACCGGUUCGUCACGAACCGGCGCUAAAGUGCAAACACGUGGCAUGAGCUAGGCCCCGGUGCGUGUUGGACAUUAGUACCGGUUGGUAACACCAACCGGUACUAAAAGUUUGGGUAUUUUUUUUAAUUUUUGCUUUAAUUUUGUGUUUUCAAUUUGGCUUUAUUUUCCAUUUAAUUCUUUUUUGUUUGCUGGUAUUUCACGAUACUAUAAAUUGUACAUGUUAUGCAUAUAUAUAAAUAGAUUUUCUCAUAUGUAGAACCGUAUAUAUAUAUAUAUCAUCGAAUGUCUCACAGCCAACACCAUUAACUAUUCACACAUACACAUGUACAUACAUAUACAAUUUCUCCUACAUGUUGCCUUGGUGCCUUCGGAGCACGAUGACAAGUGGUUCAUGGGGGCGGUAGUGGGUAAUAGUAUUCUCCUUUGGGAUCUAUGACCUGGUCGAGCAAAAAUCCGGCUAUUUCCUCUUGAAGUGCUUGUAGGCGGUCCGAUGGUAGGAGCUUAUCCCGCACCGACCUGAACUGUUAAGAAGGAGAUCAAUAUGCAUGUGUGUUAGUUGUGUGACUAGAUAUCGAUAAUGGUGUGAAUAGUGUUCUGACAAAAACGUACCCAGUCCUGUAUAUCAGAUCUGCUCCUUUCGCACGUCAUCAUGCGAAUGUUCUCACAUACGUAGAAUGCACACAGAUUAUUCCCCGACGCAUGCCUCAGGGCCUUUACGAGAAUGAAAUUGAAUCAGAUAAUGAUUAAUCAAGCAUGAUAAUUAAUUAAUGAUAUUGAAACAAGAAUUAAAGAGAUGGUAGCUAGCUAGUACUACUUAAUUAUUUACCUUGGGUCGACGCCAAAACAACCUUUUUGGCCACGUGCCUGGAGUCACCUUGAUGAACUUUGCCCAUGCCCUUCCCGCCGGCAAAGAAAAUUAAUAAAGGGGUUAUUAAAUAGUUCAUAUCAGGAACUAAUAGUUAAAUGGUUGAAAUUACAUGUUGACUAUCCCCUUCACGAUGGUGUAGUCUUUAUCUUUUUUAGUUAGUGAGUCCAGUAAUUUAACUUUUCCUUCCUCAACUUUAAUGUCUAACAAGACCCAGUGCCAACUGCAUACACACACGUUUGCAUGUCUUAAUUAAGCGGGCAUGUGCAUAAAAUUAAUCAACUACCCGUAAACCGAAUACACUUAAUUAUUAACAUCUAGCUAGCUAGUAAGCAAAAACAGAAUUUGUAGUACAAGACAGUGUGACUCACGGGAAGUUGUAAGGAAGUAGUAUAUCUUUAUUGGUAUUGAGGCGCUUCAAGAACUCUAGCAUGCUUUCCUCUACAGCAGCUUGACAAUGUUCAAUCUCCCAUAUUUCCUGAUUAAUGAUAUUUGGGUCAAUGAACCCAACGCCAUAGCAUCCAGCUUUUUUCGUUUCAUACAUCUUCAUCUUGCAUAUAAUACCACAGAAAAAUAAUAUAGUGAGGAUAAUUACAUGUAAUGAUUGAUCAAAAUUAUCACUACAUAACUAGCUUGAGACUUAAAUUAAAGAAAGAAAUCACUUACAGACAAUAGCAACUGACGAUAGACUUGUCGAGUGCGUCUUGAUUAAAUAACUGAAAUAGUUCUGGCUACUCAAUGGCCAGAGCUUUCUCAUGGUAAUAAUGCUCAUGCUUGACAUUCACCAUGAGGGACUCUCGAUUGGAAAUCUUGGUAAUGUUUAUGUACCAUUGAUGCAAUUGAUACAUUCUCGUUGGGAGGUCCUUGACCUUGUCUGGAUGGACCAAAGGUUUGCCCUGGACAUAUUGCCAUGCUAUUUCCGAUUCUUUAAGCGUAGGCAUGGGCUCGAUUUCGAGGAGUUGUCCAAUAGAGAUAUUGAGAAUUUGAGCCUACAUUGUAUGAUCCUCUGUUAUUACCACAUCGCCAUGCUAGGGAACGCUAACGGUUUGCCCACAAUAAUAUUUGGCGCGCGUACUACUCCUCUCCUGUGUUGUUGGCACAACAAGCGGGGGGAUCGCUUGUGCCGCCUGUUCUCCCAACUGGGGAACGGUUUUCCAGCAUUUUUUUCCAGCUGCUUGUUGGCUCGAGCUUGAGCUCGGUUCCUUCUGUAGUCGUGCUCGAUGUGCCUUCCUGAUUUGGCGCUCAUAGUCUGAGUCAACAGGCUUGGGAGCUGGUUCUCUAGCCAUACGAAUGAAGUGGUCAAUUACUUUCUCAGACACUUUCUCCUUUGGCGGCGGUGCCGGUUUCGGUCCAAAAUGGGCGUCCACUUGGGCUUGCACUAUGGCUGAGUUUUGCUCCUCAGUCAUGUCGUAAGGCCUCUGAGGAAGAGGAGCGAGGCUUGGACCAUAUUUAUAUCGCUUGCCUUCGCCUGUACUUCCUGAACUACCUCGACUCGUACCGCUACGCACCAAAGCUGCGGGAUGUCUCUUCUGCGACUGUUGAGCCGGCGGAGAUGGCUGAUGUGGAGUUGGACCAGGAGAAGUGGCCUGACGAUGUGCCGGACUUGAAGCAAGAGGUGUGGCCUGACACGGUGCCGGACUUGAAACCGGAGAAGUGGCAUGACGCUGUGCCGGGCUUGAAACCGGAGGAAUCAGCUCACACGCUCGGGGACUUGGAGGAGGUGGCUGACUUCAAGGAGGAGUCGUCUCACACGUUCGGGGACUUGGAGGAGCAGGAGUCUGCUGACUCGGUGGUGAACUUCUAGGAGGAGUCGGCAGACGACGCGGUGUCGGUGGACUUCGAAAGAUGAUGCAAUCCUUUCUCCAUAGGAUGAUACGAUGUAUGGCCUCUCCCAGUGUGCGCUCGUCUUCACCUCCAGGAAUGUCAAGCGUUAGCCCCGAAUAUGGGACCACCACUUCAUCAACCAUGACACGAGCAUAGCCCUCUGGAAUCAGGAUGCAAUGGUAGGUUGCUUCGGGGGUAACUGGAAAAGCAACUCCGUUCGCCACCUUCAUGGAUAUGUUCUUCAUUUUGGAGUGUAGCUCGCAGUUAGUGUUCUCUAUGAUCUCAUCGACAGGGUAUGUAUCCAGCAGUGUGUAGCCCGGGGCAGAACCAACGCUGCUUCUCGGCAUGGAUGGGACGGUGCUAUCCAAUGCUGGACGAUCAUCCGCUUGCCGCUGCCGCUGCUGAGACCCCCUUUCCUGGCUAAGUGAGUCGAUCUGCUGUUGCUGCUGCUGAAAUUUGAGUGCCAGGUCCGUGUGCCUUGCUUCUAGGCCUUGAAGGCGUUCUGCGUCCUGCUUCCUCUGCUCCUCCUCCAGCUUCCUUUUCUUCUCCUCCUCCAUCUUCCUUCUUGCAUGGCUCCUGUAGUCCUCGUUCCAUUCUAAAAAGCCCUCAUACCAGGGAAUAACGCCCAUGCCUCGUGUUCUUCCCUGGUGUUCAGGAUUUCCCAGGGCGCGCGUAAGCUCAUCGUUCCCUCUAUUGGGCGUGAACACCCCCCUUCGAGCUUCAUCUAUUGCGUCAAUUAUCUUUUGUUCGGCUCCUUUUAGACUUGCCUUCCGCAAAACUUCGCCUAUCUUCGGGUCCAACGCUCCCCCAUGCGCAUAGAACCAAGUUCUGCACCUGGGGUAGACCUGGGCAAAUGUCGGGCCGGGCCGGGUUUCGGGUCGGGCUUGUAAAAGCCCGAACUUCAUUUCUUAAGCCCGAGCCCGGCCCGAAGCCCGAAAUACUCCCUGAUUUCAAGCCCGAGCCCGGCCCGAAAUCAAGCCCGAAGCCCGAAAGCCCGGCCCGAACGCUAUUUUUUAGUACGUGUACGUGCAAGCCCGGCCCAAAAAAUAGAAAAAGAGAAGCCCGAGCCCGGCCCGAACUACCUUUCGGGCUGCAAAACAAAGCCCGAGCCCCGCCCGAGUGUCAAGCCCAGCCCGGCCUGGCCCGGGUUUUUCGGGCCGGGCUUGGGCCGGGUCGUCGGGCCGGGCUGCCCAUGCCCGGGUUUAACCUGGGGGGCCAGUGCCGGGUAACCGGAGUGACGCCUGCAUCCUCCAUCUCUUGCUCAGACUUAUCCCACUUAGGCACUCCCACCGCGUAGCCACCUGGACCCAGCCUAUGGAACUGCGUCUUUCUUGCGGCAUUUGCCUUGUUUUUCAUCAACCGUUCCUUAGAUAUUUCUGAAUCCUUGAAGGUCAUGAAAUCGUUCCAGUGCUCUCUUUGCUUCUCCAGUAUUCCCGUGAAAUCCGGAGUCUUCCUUUCAUUAGCGAGGUAGUUGGCCCAUACAGUUUUCUUGUGGGUGUUGAAUGCAAUUGCCAUCUUCUUAAGAGCAGCGGCCUUGACUUUCUCCACAUCUGCUUCAGUGAAAUGAUCUGGUAGGGUGAAAUGUUCCAUCAAAGAUUUCACAAGGUCUUUUUUGGCUCUGUCGUCGACCCAAGUAACACCUGGACGUUUAGUCUUUGGCUCUUUCCAUUCUUGAAUGGAGAUCGGGAGUUUGUCCUUCACAAGAACUCCGCACUGACAAGUCCACUUGUUCGCAAUUUUCUUAGGCGUGAGGGGUUCGCCACUAGGUUUGGUGGAUUCGAUGUGGUACUUUACACCAUCCUUCAACAAUCUGCCCCGGCCUCGCUUUGUCUUGCUUUCUGUAGAAGCAGAUUUGCUCGAUCCAGAGGGCCGAAAGAAGAAAGAUCGAUCCGUUAAUAUAUCUUCAAUAAAAAAACAUGUGAUGAUCACCAUGAUGCAUGCUUAAUUAUAUAAACAUACCUCACCGGUAGUCUUUGUUAUUUGAAGAUCAGCAUUGUCUAUGUCAUCACAAACAUUGUCUGUGUCAUAAUCAUAAUCAUAGUUCAUGACUUCAUCAGCCCGGUCGUCGAGAUCGAAUAUCUUUUCAUCACCCUCUCCGGUAUUGUUCAGAUAUUGGGAGCCGUCAUCUGCUUCAUUAAGAUCAUCUAGCCUGUGAGGGUUGCGUAUGAUGUCGAACAAUUCCUCUUCUCUCUCUCUGCCGGUAUUGUCCGCCAUAGCUUUUACUUUACUAAUACAGAAGAAAUAUAAAACAAUUUAGUAUUCAAAUUACAAUGCAUGGAUGCAAUUAAUCAAUAAGGAAAAACUGAAUCUCGAAUACAUCGUCUCGAAUAUAUAAUCUCGAAUACAUCAUCGAUCGUCUUAAUAUAUAUAAUCUCGAAUACAUCGUCUCGGAUAUUAUAUAUCGAAUACAUCACUGGCUAGGUACCUAAUAAAGAUCGAGUACUACAGAAGAAUCUAGGGCGCCACUCGCGGUCCCUGGGGCGCGGGAGGUGCACACCCAAAGAGAAGGAACCAUCACAGGAUCAUAUCUCUGGUCAUCUGCCCAAAGAACCCGCCAAGUAGUGGAGAACCUGACGUCGUCCAUAGCAGCCAUGUAGCGAUGGACGUGCUCAUCUUCCUCCCCGAUACGGCGACGCACCACCUCCGGCGGGGCCGGCUGCCUCUGCACCGAAUGUGGCCCACGCGAACGCCACCAAAGAAGAUCCGGGUCGACGACGGGACCCGAGGUCGGGUUCCUCACCAAGCGGCGCGCCCCUCCAGGUAGCACCUCCCAGUGCCAGCCCGGCGGAGCCCAGUCCCGGACAUGGGUCCCCUCAAGCAGGACGUCGUCGCGAAUGGGUCGACGGCGAGGAUGCGGGCCGGGCAUAUCGUCGAGAACAAAUACUAUAUACCUGCAAAAAGUAACAUUUUUUAAAUGAUUGGAUUGUGAUAACUAAAAUUCUAUAUAUAUGCAAAUUCUAACAAUUUGACAUUAGUCUAAUUCAUCUAACUAAAACUAAUUCUAAAAUUUCCUGAUUAUAUAACUAACAUUUCCAUAACAAUUCUAAUAUUUAUAUAACUAAAAACAGAAAAAUUGCUAACAUUUCUAUAAAUAUUUCUAUAACUAAAAAACAGAAAACAUUUAUAACAUUUCUAUAAAACUNNNNNNNNNNNNNNNNNNNNNNNNNNNNNNNNNNNNNNNNNNNNNNNNNNNNNNNNNNNNNNNNNNNNNNNNNNNNNNNNNNNNNNNNNNNNNNNNNNNNNNNNNNNNNNNNNNNNNNNNNNNNNNNNNNNNNNNNNNNNNNNNNNNNNNNNNNNNNNNNNNNNNNNNNNNNNNNNNNNNNNNNNNNNNNNNNNNNNNNNNNNNNNNNNNNNNNNNNNNNNNNNNNNNNNNNNNNNNNNNNNNNNNNNNNNNNNNNNNNNNNNNNNNNNNNNNNNNNNNNNNNNNNNNNNNNNNNNNNNNNNNNNNNNNNNNNNNGCGGCGACGUCGACGAGGGCGGCGACGGCCGGGGUCGGCGGCGAGGGGCGGGGGCGGCGACGAUUGGGGCAGGGCGGCGCGACGGAGAGAGGAAACAGAGGGAAGAACAGAGGGAAACUGAAUUUUUUUCAAGUGUUGUAUAUAUAGGAUGGACCUUUAGUACCGGUUGGAGCCACCAACCGGUACUAAAGGUCUGUUUUGGUCAGGCCAAGCAGCGGGAAGCGCACCCCUUUAGUACCGAGUGGUGGCUCCAGCCGGUACUAAAGGGGGAGUCUUUAGUACCGGUUGGAGCCACGACCCGGUACUAAAGGGGGUGCGCUGGCUCCAGGCGGUGCUCAAGUUUAGUCCCACCUUGCUAGUCGAGUGGCUACCGCACUGGUUUAUAAGCCCUAGUGCGGUAGCUCUCUCGAGCUCCUCUCCUAACCAGGCCUACUGGGCCUAACUGUCCUCUUCGUCCAGUGGGCCUACUGGGCCUUUGCGGGCCUGCAUCCUGGCCCAACAAAAGGUUGUGUUGCUAGUCGUAUGCAGGCCGCUUUGGCCCAGUAGGCGGGCUUUUUUUUAGAAAAAAAUCACUUUAUUUAUUUUUGUUUUAAAUAUUUUUGAGUUGUUUUUUGUUCUAUUUAGAGUUUCUUUGUGAAUAUUUUUGCUUUAAGUACAAAAAAUUACAAACUUUUUGUUAGUGCCGGUAGUUUUUAAAUUUGAAUAGUUUAAAUUUUGAAUUAUUUGAAAUUUGUGUGAAUCACUAGUUUGUGAAUAACUUAACUUUGAAAAAAGUUUUUUCAGCGAUUUCUUUUUCUUAUGUUUAAUAUUAGUGUGUUUUAUCAUUAUAUUCAAUUUGGUAAUGCUUAGGUUAUUUAAAAAAUGAAAUGCCUUUGUAACAGUUCAGUUUUCGUCGAAAACCCUGAUACUUCGAAAGAGAUUGUCCAUUUUGUACACGAAGUGCAUCCAGUUUUUGCCGUAACCCUCUCUACUUUCUUGCACAUGCUAUUUGUAUGAAAUUAUGAUACCAUACCAACUUUCAACCUUUUCUGAGUUCAUUUGAAAUGUUUUUCAAUUUCAGGGUCAUUUAGCUGGAAAAAAUCAUUAAAUGCAUGAAAAGAAUUUGUUUGCACAUAAAAUUUCUUCGCGUUUCAAAUGCCAAAACACAUAACUACCCUAACUAUUACAGACAUUCCCUCCUGGGUGUGAAACACAGAAGAAAGUGAUGAUAGUGAAGCCGAUCACAUCCCAGAUCUUUCGGUGUGAAACUUUUUCUUCGCUUGUGUCCCUUUGCGCCGUAACCAUGGAAAAUCUUCAUCAUUUAACAGGAUGCUCGUGUCAAUAUUCACUAUGAAUGGAGCAAUUUCAUCAAACUUUUCAUAAUCUUCUGACAUGUCUGUCUUGUCUUCCACUCCCACGAUGUUUCUUUUUCCUGAAAGAACUAUGUGGCGCUUUGGCUCGUCAUAUGAUCCAUUUGCUUCCUUAUCUUUUCUUUUUCUCGGCCUGGAAGACAUGUCUUUCACAUAAAAAACCUGCGCCACAUCAUUGGCUAGGACGAAUGGUUUGUCUGCAUACGCAAGAUUGUUGAGAUCCACUGUUGUCAUUCCGUACUACGGGUCUUCCGUUACCCCACCUCGUGUCAUAUUGACCCAUUUGCACCGAAACAAAGGGACCUUCAAAUCACCUGAUCCAUAGUUAAGUUCCCAUAUGUCCUCUAUGUAACCAUAAUAUCUUUCCUUUCCCGUGUUGGUUGUUGCAUCAAAGCGGACACCACUAUUUUGGUUGGUGCUCUUAUUAUCUUGGGCGAUCGUGUAAAGUGUAUUCCCAUUUAUCCGGUACCCUUUGAAAGUCAUUAUAUUCGAAGAUGGUAACUGGGACAGCGAGUACAUGUCAUUUUGAAUAUCGCCAUCAUUCAGGGCACGUUUCUGCAACCAACCGGCGAAAGUCCUCGUUUGUUCGCGUGUAAUCCAGUCGUCAGACUUCUCCGGGUGUUUGGACUGUAGAGAAUUCUUGUGUUCCUCCAUAUACGGAGCCACCAAGGCAGAAUUCUGUAGAACUGUGUAGUGUGCUUCAGUGAGAGAAUGCCCGUCCAUACAUAUUAUUUGAUACCCUCCUAGCGUGCCUAUUCCUUCCAGUCUGCCCUUAUGUCGUGAUUUAGGAACACCAAUUGGCUUAAGGUCAGGAAUGAAGUCAAUACAAAACUCAAUGACCUCCUCAUUUUCAUGGCUCGUCGAGAUGCUUCCUUCUGGCCUAGCAUGGUUAUGAACAUAUUUCUUCAAGACUCCCAUGAACCUUUCAAAGGGGAACAUAUUGUGUAGAAAUAUAGGACCCAAAACGUUAAUCUCUUCGCAAAGGUGAACUAGGACGUGCGUCAUGAUGUUGAAGAAGGAUGGUGGGAACACCAACUCGAAACUGACAAGACAUUGCACCAAAUCAUUCUGUAACCUUGGUAUGAUUUCUGGAUCGAUUACCUUCUGAGAGAUUGCAUUGAGGAAUGCACAUAGCUUCACAAUGGCUAAUCGAACGUUUUUCGGUAGAAGCCCCCUCAAUGCAACCGGAAGGAGUUGCGUCAUAAUCACGUGGCAGUCAUGAGACUUUAGGUUCUGGAACUUUUUCUCUGCCAUAUUUAUUAUUCCCUUUAUAUUCGACGAGAAGCCAGAAGGUACCUUCAUGCUGAGCAGGCAUUCGAAGAAGAUUUCCUUCUCUUCUUUGGUAAGAGCGUAGCUGGCCUGACCCUGAUGUAUGCCGUAUUUUCCAUGCAUAUGUUGCUGGUCCUCCCGUGCCUCUGGUGUAUCUUUUGUCUUCCCAUACACGCCCAAAAAGCCAAGCAGGGUCACGCAAAGAUUCUUCGUCACGUGCAUCACGUCGAUUGCGGAGCGGACCUCUAGGUCUUUCCAAUAUGGCAGGUCCCAAAAUAUAGAUUUCUUCUUCCACAUGGGUGCACGUCCGUCAGCGUCCUUCGGAACAGGUUUUCCGCCAGGACCCUUUCCAAAGAUUACCUCCAAAUCCUUUACCAUAUCAUGUACAUCAGCACCAGUACGGUGGCGAGGCUUCGUCCGGUGAUCCGCCUCAACUUUGAAAUGCUUGCCUUUCUUUCUUACGGGAUGCCUUGUCGGAAGAAAUCGACGAUGUCCCAGGUACACAUUCUUCCUACAACUAUCCAAAUAUAUACUGUCAGUAUCAUCCAAACAGUGCGUGCAUCCGCGGUAUCCCUUGUUUGUCUGUCCUGAAAGGUUACUGAGAGUAGGCCAAUCAUUGAUGGUCAUGAACAGCAACGCCUUUAGGUCAAAUUCUUCCUGUCCGUGCUCAUCCCACGCACGUACACCUGUUCCAUUCCAUAGCUGUAAUAGUUCUUCAACUAAUGGCCUUAGGUACACAUCAAUGUCGUUGCCGGGUUGCUUAGGGCCUUGGAUGAGCACUGGCAUCAUAAUGAAUUUCUGCUUCAUGCACAACCAUGGAGGAAGGUUAUACAAACAUAGAGUCACAGGCCACGUGCUAUGGUUGCUGCUCUGGUCCCCAAAAGGAUUAAUGCCAUCUGCGCUUAGACCAAACCAUACGUUCCUUAGGUCACCUACAAACUCCUCCCAGUACUUUCUCUCGAUUUUUCUCCACUGCGAACCGUCAGCGGGUACUCUCAACUUUCCGUCUUUCUUACGGUCUUCUGCGUGCCACCGCAUCGCCUUCGCAUGCUCUUUGUUUUGGAACAAACGUUUCAACCAUGGUAUUAUAGGAGCUUACCACAUCACCUUGGCAGGAAUCUUCUUCCUGGGGCACUCGCCCUCGACAUCACCAGGGUCAUCGCGACUGAUCUUAUAACGCAAUGCACCACAUACCGGGCAAGCGUUCAAAUCCUCGUACUCACCGCGGUAGAGGAUGCAGUCAUUAGGGCAUGCAUGUAUCUUUUGCACCUCUAACCCUAGAGGGCAGACAACCUUCUUUGCUUCAUACGUACUCUCGGGCAAUUCUUUGUCCUUUGGAAGCAUAUUCUUUAUCAUUACCAGCAACUUUCCAAAUCCCUUGUCAGAUACACCAUUCUCUGCCUUCCAUUGCAGCAAUUCAAGUGUGGUGCCCAACUUUUUUUGUCAGCUUCGCAAUUCGGGUACAAUAAUUUCUUGUGAUCCUCUAACAUGCGCUACAACUUCGUCCUCUCCAGAUCACUUGCGCAGUUUCUCUUUGCAUCGGCAAUGGCCUGACCUAGAUCAUCAGCGGGCUCAUCUGAUGCCUCUUCUUCAGCUUCUUCCCGCAUUGCCGGCUCAGCUUCUUCCCCCAUUGUUGUAUCAUCGUAUUCAGGGAACCCAUGACCAGGAUAGCCAUCGUCGUACUCUUCUUCUUCAUUGUCUUCCAUCAUAACCCCUAUUUCUCCGUGCUUGGUCCAAACAUUAUAGUGGGGCAUGAAACCAGACUUAAAUAGGUGGAUGUGAAUGAUUUUUUCUGUAGAGUAACUGUGACCAUUCUUACAGCCAGCACAUGGACAAGGCAUAAAACCAUCCGCCCGCUUGUUUGCCUCAGCGGCCUGCAGAAAAGUAUGCACGCCAUUAAUGAACUCGGGAGAGCAUCGGUCAUCAUACAUCCAUUGUCGGCUCAUCUUCAUUACACAACACCAAAUAGACCAAAUUAAUACAAGUUCAUACAUAAAGUUCAUACAUAAAGUUCAUAUACAACACUUAAUUAAAUGCAACAUACAAAUAACUCUCUAGCUAAAAAAUUUAAAUGCAACAACAAAUGCGAUGAAGAUCGCAACUAAGGUAACAAUUGAUCCAACAACAUAAUGAUACCAAGCCACACUAUCAAUGGCAUAUUUUCUAAUCUUUCUAAUCUUCAACCUCAUUUUCUCCAUCUGGAUCUUGUGAUCAUCGACGACAUCGGCAACAUGCAACUCCAAUUCCAUCUUCUCCCCCUCAAUUCUUUUCAAUUUUUCUUUCAAAUACUCGUUUUCUCUUUCAACUAAAUUUAACCUCUCGACAAUAGGGUCGGUUGGAAUUUCCGGUUCACAUACCUCCUAGAUAAAAAUAUCUAUGUCAACUUGAUGGGCAUAAUUUGUCAUAAACACGAAAUGCAACAACUAGUUUUAAAAGAGAAUAUACCACAUCCGAAUUAUAACAAGGACGAGGGCCGACGGGGACGGAUAUCAAAACCAUGGCACUAUGUAUAACAAACAACGUACGUGUAAGAUAAUUAUACGAGUAACUAUAUAUCCAAAUCACACAAACAUUAAUUUGGUAAUGUAAAAUAUUCAUGAACAAGAGCCUCACCACAAGGUGGUGCCUGCGACACGGGACGGUGCGGGCGAUCGACGGUGGUUACGACGGAGAUUUAGAAGGCACUAAGUAAACCACACCUACAUAUGCAAACUAAGUGUUAUUUUGACCUCAAAUUGCAUAUAAAUCAAAUACUAGCAAAUAUAAUUCCUCCCAAAUUAAUCACUAUACAAAGCAUUGCAAGAGCUAAUCUAGCAAUGAGAGUUGAAACGACAAAGUUGCUAACCUUUGUGAUCAUUUGAAUGGAUGGGGCCCUUCAAAUCUUGAUAAAUUUUGGGCAAAAUAUGUGAGGAGCUCGAGGGGAAAGAGGAAGAACAGAGGAGAAGUGAGGGGAAAGGGGAAGAACAGAGUGGCUCGGGUGGAUGAAGGGUUUAUAUACGUCGACCUUUAGUACCGGUUUGUGCCAUGAACCAGUACUAAAGGUGCUGGACGGGCCCCAGACUGACAACACCCUGCCACCACCCUCUUUAGUACCGGUUCGUGGCACGAACCGGUACUAAAGGUUCGCCACGAACUGGUACUAAUGAGGACGGACGGCUAGCCAUUGGAACCGACACUAAUAGACACAUUAGUGCCGGCUCGAAACCAAACCGGCACUAAUGUGUCUCAUAUUAGGUCCGUUUUCUACUAGUGAUUGCAACUUAAUUUUGCUUCUUGCGGCAACAAGAAAAAAUAUUUUUCUGAAACAUAAAUUGUACAUUGUUAUAUAACAAACAAAAGUUUGCUACCAAAGAGAAGGGAAUGUGUUGCUUCCAUGUAACAAAUGCUUAAUACAAUUACAAAUAAAAUUACAUAAGAAAAACUGUUACAAUGUCCACGUGUAAGAUGUCUGGGAAGCAAGGGUAUUGUCUUGGGUUGCAGUGACGCAAUAGGGAAGGGAUGGGCGCAACGUCGCCAAAUAAAAUUGUCGCCACUAUGAUGGAAGCAAGAAAAGGGACACUUCAGCCAGCUAGAAGCGCAAAAUGGCAAUAUCCUGGUCUGUUGAAUGGUUGCAGAAGCUCGAACUCACAUACUACGUCGGCAAGUGCAUUCCUGGGGGAGGGCUUCAGUCAUUAUCUCCGCCCAUGUCUCCAGCACUAGAGCUGCAAGAAAAGCUCGAGGCUCGUGAGCCGCUCGAGAUCGACUCGUAUUUUUGCUCGACUCGAGAUCGACUCGAAAAGAAAUGAGCUGAUUAUGAACAUUUUAUAUAGCUUGAUCGAGAAACGAGCCGAUCUUGAGCCAGCAUUGACUCACUCGAUUUUAGCUUGAUAGCUCGAUAUCAUAUAAGUAUAUUAAAUAACCUUCAUAACAAUCUCCAAGAAUUAGGAUAAUUCAUUUCCAUAUAUGUUAUAUACUAUUUUUUUUCUUUACUUUACCUACUAGCAAACAUGGAAAUUAAUCAUGGAGAAAAUUUAUUCUCAUCACGUGGCCAACCGUGUGUUCAAUAUCAUGUUAUUUUGGUCAAAACUUGAGACCUGGCGCACCUUCGUCUUGUUAUUAAAUACUACUCUUCACUUGAGAAAGGAUGAGUCGAAUUUAUAGUGAUUUUUCUAUUCUGUUGUGGCCUACCUAGCUUUAAAAUUUGUCUUAAAGUGAUUUUAAAAAUCAUCUUAUUUAGCUCGAAACUAGCUCAAGGUCGACUCGAGAUAGUUACAAGAUGAGCAUGAGCCACUUUCUGCAGCUCGACCUUGAGCUUCGCACAUUUUGGGCUCGCUCGAAUUUUAGUAUGAAUUGUGCCGAGCCUAGGCCAACUCGCUCGAACUCGACUCGUUUGCAGCCCUAUCCAGCACCCCCACAGCCGCCCUUAGAUAGAUCUUGGCUAAGGAUGGCAAUGGGUAGGGUAUGGACAGGAUAGAGCAAUACCAUACCCAUACCCGUAUAGUUAGUGGGCACAAAAUUCUACCCAUACCCGUACCCAUGGGCAUGAAACUUUACCCAUACCCAUAUCCGACGGGUACCCGUACCCAUUGGGUACCCAGCGGGUAGAACAAAUAGUAUACAAGUUGUUCACAAUUUUAUGCUCAUUGAUAGCACAAUUGACAAAAAAAUCAAUUAUGUCAUCUCAAUAACAGGUAGAUGAGUAAUUGACCAAUAUCAAAAUUUAGAAAUCAUAACAUACUCUUAAGUCAAUAGGAGUAGAAGAGUCACAUGACAAAUUAAUGACUAAUUGAGGACAACUUAACAUUAGUUCACCAACGGGCAGGGUAUGGGUAUACCCCUGGGUACAAGACUAUUCAUGUACCCUACCCAUGACUUAAUGGAUAGGAUAUGGGUACUACCCGUGGGUAUAAAAGUGUGCCAUACCCUACCCAUGCGGGUACGGUACCCGUGGGGUACCCGUACCCGUGGGUAAAAUUGCCAUCCUUAAUCUUGGCGCCAUUCUGUGGGGAGGCCGGUGCAAGGCUUUUGAGAGAGCAAUUAUGCAAAGUUGACAUCAUGUGACGCAAAACAUGCAGCAGAAGCUUACCUGAGAAAACCAGAGAAUGUUUGAACUAUCAAAACAUGGCAGUGGUAGCACCAAAGAAACAUAUAUGUACUAACAUAUGGGAGCAUGGCAUAUUGCAAUGGUGAAAGUAAUAGUAAGAUCAUUUUUUUUAAAAAAGAAGCGGGUAGAAUGGAAACAAUAUAUGUGGAACUGAGGAAGCAUAUGAAGCACAAUUUAGAAGCCUAGUAGGUAGGGAACAUGAAAAUGUGCUAUCCCAGUAUGGAUCAUCUAAAUUGGAAGUAUAAAAUAUUGAAAAUAAAAAUAACUAAGAUUUGCGAUUUGGGCAGAGUUGCGGCGGAGCAGUGGAUCUGGUGAGGCGAGCUGGCGGCGAGCCGAGCGAGGUUGGGGCAGAGCUCGGGCGGUGCCGGCGAAUGUGGAAGAUGGGGUCGUGCAGGAUUAGCUGGAGGGGAUUAUGCACGGGACUAGUGGGAGCUCGUGUUUUUCUUCUUCUUCUUUUUUUUUACAUUACGAGGCAAACUCUUGCGUCAGAUUUUGAGUGAAUCAACGGCCGUCGAGCGGUCUGACUAUGGCGUCCCUUCAGACUAUAGAUAGGAAGUGUUUUCCAACAAUAUAUAUGGUUUUAGUAAACGAGUUAUCACUCGUCAAACAUUUGUGUUUGCUCUAUGUUUUUUUUUUGAAAGGCGCUUGCCCGGCUUUAGAUGACCGAAGCCCUUAGCGUUUAAAAGACACAGCCAAGGUUCGCGAAGACAUACCCAAGCCUCUAUUUCAGAGGACGUUUUCGCUUCCACGUCUCAUCACUUGGCUGAAAAUGACCCCUAGGUAAUUUUGUAGAUGGCACGUGUAUUAUUUUGGUAAAUGGCCGUGUACAAAUAUAUGGUGGCUGUAGAUUCUCGCUCAAAAUUUUCUCAACGUGUGUAGCUAUUUUGUUGGUGCGGCUAGCGUUUUCUGUUAUACGUGGGCCAGCACGUUCCGUUGACUUCGCAGUCCAGGAUUUCUUCCGCAGUUUCGUGCAUCUGCGGGCUUCCAUCUGUAUUUGGGCUAUGCACGUCUCUUUAUUGGGCUAUAAUCGGUGCCGUCCUACUGCGAGAAGAGAAACAGCGGUGCCGCCUCUAAUUGCUGCCGCUUUUACGGUCUAUUCCAGAGCCUGGUGUUCUUUCUUAUCGGUGCCGCUGCCGUAGUUUCCGCUAGAAAUUCCGCCGCUUACCGCUGCCGCUCUUGCCCUCUCAUAAAUUUACGUCUCAUCGACCUCUGCCAUUGGUGUUUUCGGUGGCGUUUUACCCUAAAAAGCGGUGCCGCUUCGAUGGUCAGGUCUAGAUGUCUCUAGUGUUCCAGCGAAAAAAAAUUUGUCUCUAGUGUUUUUUAUCGGUGCCGCUGUCGCUGCCCAAUCUAGAAAUCUCGCGUCUUAUCGCUACCAGUUACGUCCUCGAAUUUAGGGAGCGUCUUACUUUGCGGUAGCUAUAAAUAGAUCGCCUUCCUUGCGAUAUUAUUGUACUAGGCCUUCUUCCUCCGUGUGGCAUACAUUAACUACUGGCGUGGCUUCUUCUUCCAGUCGUAAUGGCUGGCGGCGUCCGGGUCGGCCUCCUCACUCGCAGGGGGCUGUGGUUGGUCGGCGUGGUGGCUCGGGACGUUCUGCUGCCUCGGCUGUUGUGUCGGCUCGGCCCGUAUAUAUGAACGAUGGUCUGGUGUCUGAUGAUGGUUCGUCCCGUCGGGGUGGCCGCUCUGUACGGUCUUCGGGUUCUGCAUGUGCCCACUUUGUACGGUCUUCUAGUUCUGGAUGCGCGGAGGGUCUUGCGGCACGAUCUGGUUUGCUUGCUUUUUUGUUUUUCCGUUUGUUUGUUAUAAAGUUUUCCUGUAUGCUAAGUGUUUUUGGUUCUGGACUCUGCUGUUGGUGGUUCUUGCAGGCAGCGGAGGGAGGAGAUCGCCGCUGAGCUAACAACUCACGCAUAAAUCGGUUUCAUAACCAGGCUUCUGGAUCAAUCAAUCCUGCUCCUGAACAGUGAAAACCAGCUUGCUUUGUAGAAUACAGACGCCGACGAAGGUCAAUUCACAUGCCGCGCCCCUGCCUCGCCACGCUCACCGCCACAGACGACCCGGCUGACACGAGGCUGGCGUGCGUAGCCGUGCGCCGCAACCCCUCCGCCAAGCUCGAGCAAGUCCGGGCCGUGGUCACCCGCGGCAUCAUGCGAGCGCUCUUGGCAUCGUCUCUACUGCAGCGGAUGGAGACGAAUAGCGGAGGCGGCGCUCGGCAUCCUGGCCGACGUGGCGGCGGCGAGCGCGGUGGGGAGGUGGGAGAUGGUCCCAGGGCGCUGGUGGAGGCCAUGGCAUGGUACGAGAGCGCGGUUAUUUUCUUGCUGAUCGUUGUUGGAUAGUACUUUCAUAUGUGUGAUGUGUUUUAUUUUUGCGGGUGUUCCUUUUGGCAAGACGGAUCGAUCUGUGCAGCAAACUGCUCUUACUGCCGGCCACUGCCGGUUUGGAUUCUGGCAUUUGCUUGCUCCUUGCCUGAUGUUUGCUUCUGCGUAUGCAUGCUGUCUACGUGGUUCAAGUAGUUAAUCAUUGGACUGGUUGGCCACGGGUAAAUUUAGUUACACAAAUUAAGUUACAUUGAUUCGUGCGGGUAUUGGCUGCUGUAUAUGUGCGUGCUUGGCUGCAUGGGACAUGCACGGCCUGUGUAAUUGAUAGCGGCACUCUAGGUUGUACAUGAAUGGUCGUCUGCAUGGGCCAUGCACGUGUCUGUGUAAUUGUUAGGGUCACUCCAGGUUGUACACGAGCGGUUGUGUGCAUGGUCCAUCCGUUAAUGAUCAGCUAAAGGCAGAAGGUUUUAGCAGAAAAAGUGAAGAAGAUAGUUAUCAGGUGCAAGGGACUGCUUACUCCCAUAGGCGGUUUCACUAUUUUCAGAUUAGAUAAGCCAAGGUGGUUUCUAGAUCUUAGUAGGCGAAAUACUAUUGUGGAUUUAGAUACAUUUUUUAGAUGUGGAUCGGAGGUUGGUGUGAUAUUCAUGUCUUCUCUGUUUGGGAUGCAAGUUCAAGUGAAGUCAUUUUUUAUAUCUUUUUUAUGUUCAUUUCGUAUGCAUGGCGAAGUCAUUUAUUGUAUUCCAGAACACACUUUUUUGUGGAAUAUAAGACACUGUAUGAAGUUUUGGUUUCCAGAUUGCCACAUUUUCUUUGAAAUUCCAUUGUAAAUUUAAAAAUUAUACUCUAAAUUAAAUCAGUUUGGAAAUUUGACUGGUAUGAAAUGGUAUUCAAAAAGUAGAUCAGAUGCCUAUACUUUUUUACAUCCACUACUGCUUAUUCGGGCAUGGGCACCUCCUCCAUAUCCUCCUCUCCUUUUGCUGCAUCUAUAAUUGAAGUUCAGAAGAUGUCCUCCUCCACUUUUGAUAUGAUAUUUCUUUGAGUUAUUUUUGCUACAGUGAUAAUGCCCCUUUUGUACAAGAACUGAUGGUUACUGCACACUAAUCCAAAAUCUUAUGAUCUGCAAUUUCUUCAUGAAGCUCGAAGUUCCCAUGUGUCCAUUUUCAGCAUGGAUGAACGACUACCACCCAGUAAAAUUUUUGUCCUCUUUAUAUUUCUUCUUUUUUCCUUUGCUACUUUUAUGACUCCAGAUCUCGUGAUUGUUCAAUACUUUGUUUGUCUUAUUCUGUUUUGCAAUGUUUUAUUGUCAAAUUUUUAUCUGAAUAUUUGUUUUAUUGUCAAAUUUUUAUCUGAAUAUUUUGAAUGAACAUGGUAUUAUUAUUAAUGCUUAUGCUUUAAAAGAUAAGCAACUAGCAAAGAUUCUUAUUUUCAGAAAUUGGCUUCUAUCGAAGUGAGCAGCAUAAGUGGACAGUUUGGUAGAUUUCAGUGGCCAAGAUUGUUUUGCACGAUUUCAGUGGCAAAUUAUAGGAAUUUGCGGAUUUUCCUGACAAAAAAAAUACCCAUUUGAAUUGUUUAGUCCAAGGAGCAUGGAACUGCGGUCGGGCAUAGCAUUAGCAGGUAUGAUGCCAUACAUCCAACCAACCCCUUGUGAACCAUCUAAGACAUAACAAAGACACUGCAUCAACGAAGAAAUAUCUAUAAGCAGACACUACUACCACGUUAGAAAAAAAAUGUUUUCCAAGGAUAAUGUAUCAGUACAUAACGUAUUGGGGGGGCGCGGCGUGCCGCCGCGCGGGUAUGGCUAGUAAAAUCUAGAUACAGCCCAUUUGGGCGGCUCAAAAUCCGCACACGCACACUGAUACAAGCCAGAAGGGCCCUUGGCUCAAAAGCCGAAACGCACACUCAAACUCGGAGCGUCGUAGACGACCAUUCACUCUUCGUCUACUUGAUUUGGUUCCCUUAGUUGUCUAGCGAACCUUCGGAGCCGACCGACUCAAUCAUCAAUGAUCGACGAGUCCUGGAUCUUGCUUAGCGGCUUCAUAGCUGCAUGAGAUAGUCAUUUUGUACAAAACAUGAGCUAGGUGUUCAAUGAAGAUUCCUUCAAUCAAAGCUUUGUUACGGGUUUGCCAAGGGCCCAACCUAGAGCAGUGAGAACUAGCCACGUCAGCCUACAUGUGCUGCCAGACAUUCGUGUGGUAAUGGCGUGAAAGUCAGCAAAACAUGUCGGCGCCCAGCUACACCUAGUAACUUCUCUGAUGCACCCCAAAGGAAUUGUGCCAUGAUGCAAGAGAAGAACAUAUGGCUUCUAUCUUCGACCACACCACAUAAAACCACAUAAAACAAGAACACCUUCUCAUUCGAGAUGGCUUGGUUUGAACGUGAAGAUUUCUUGGACCUCGUUGCCAGGGAAUGGGAUAAGGGUGGUGUUGGUAGGACAGCGGUUGAACGGUGGCAAAAUAAAAUUAGGCACUUAAGAAGUUUCUUACGAGGUUGGGCUAAGCACCUAAGUGGGGCUUAUAAGAUUGAAAAUGAUAGACUCCUUAUUCUUACGCAGGCCCUAGAUACAAAGGUUGAAUCUUCGAUUUUGCUACCCGCCGAGCUCCAGGUUAAAAGCGAGGCCGAGAAGAGGUUGAAAGAACUUCUUCGCGAGGAAGAGUUGAAGUGGGCGUUGCGCGCUAAGGUCCGCAAAGUAAUCCAAGGGGAUGCUAAUACUCAAUUCUUCCACCUGAUUGCGAAUGGCAAGCACCGUAAGAAGCGUAUAUUCCAGCUAGAGCAGGAUGAAGGCACUAUCGUUGGCCAGGAUAAUCUCAAAACAUACAUCACUGAGUAUUAUAGACAGCUAUUCGGACCGCCGGAGGUUAAUUCCGUGUCUUUGGAUGAGUCCAGGACUGAGGAUGUGCCUCAGCUGUCGGUGGCCGAUAAUGAGAUUUUGCUAGCCCCGUUUACGGAGAAGGAGGUGUUUGAUGCUAUUGCACAAAUGAAAAACAAUAAGGCUCCCGGACCGGAUGGGUUUCCGGCUGAGUUUUAUAAAAAGUGCUGGCACGUUAUUAAGGGAGAUCUGUUACCUAUGUUUAACGAUCUUUUCUCGGGACAACUCCACUUGUUUCACUUGAAUUUUGGAACUAUCACAUUACUCCCGAAGAGAGCGGAGGCUGUGCGAAUUGAGCAGUUCAGGCCGAUUUGCCUUCUCAAUGUUAGUUUCAAAAUUUUCACCAAGGUUGGGACGAACAGGCUCUCACAGAUUGCGCUUUCUGUGGUGCAACAGUCCCAAACGGCUUUUAUGCCGGACAGAAACAUUCUUGAAGGGGUGGUUGUCCUGCAUGAAACGCUCCAUGAAAUUCACUCUAAAAAAUUAGAUGGGGUAAUUUUUAAGGUGGAUUUCGAAAAGGCGUACGAUAAGGUUAAGUGGCCGUUCCUUCAGCAGGCAUUGCGUAUGAAAGGUUUUGAUGAUGCCUGGCGCCACCAGGUGGAAUCUUUUACGCAAAAAGGGAGUGUUGGUAUUAAAGUGAAUGACGAUAUAGGUCAUUACUUCCAAACUCACAAGGGCCUCAGGCAAGGAGAUCCAGUGUCCCCUAUCUUAUUCAACAUUGUGGUAGAUAUGUUAGCAAUCUUGAUAGGAAGGGCGAAGGAUAAUGGACAGGUUAGUGGCCUAGUACCUCAUCUGGUUGAUGGAGGUGUAUCUAUCCUUCAAUACGCUGAUGAUACGAUAAUAUUUAUGGAGCAUGAUUUGGCCAAGGCGAGAAAUAUGAAGCUGUUACUAUGCCUCUUUGAACAAUUAUCAGGGUUGAAGAUCAAUUUCCAUAAGAGCGAGUUGUUCUGCUUUGGGAGAGCCAAAGACGAACAAGAGGCUUAUAGGCAAUUGUUUGGGUGUGACUUGGGAAGUCUACCUUUCUCCUACCUUGGCAUUCCGAUUCAUCAUCGUAGGCUAACUAACAGAGAGUGGAAGUGUAUCGAGGAUCGUUUUGAGAAGAAACUGAGCUGCUGGAAGGGUAAGCUCAUGUCAUACGGAGGCCGGUUAAUUUUGAUUAACUCGGUUCUCACAAGUAUGCCUAUGUUCCUCUUAUCAUUCUUUGAGGUUCCAGUGGGAGUUAGGAAAAGACUGGACUUCUAUCGCUCUCGCUUCUUUUGGCAGGGUGAUGAGCACAAGAGAAAAUACCGACUUGCUAAGUGGGAUAUUAUUUGUCGACCCAAAGACCAAGGUGGGCUUGGCAUUGAGAAUCUAGAGGUUAAGAAUAGAUGCCUACUUAGUAAGUGGUUGUGGAAGCUCGCGUCCGGCACUGAAGCAAUGUGGGCGCAAAUCAUUCGCAGCAAGUACCUACACACUAGAACGCUAUCACAGGUAUCAGUUAGGCCGACUGAUUCGCCUUUCUGGAAGGGACUAAUGAAGGUAAAAGUAUUACUGUUCAAUAGGACAAAGGUUGUCCUUGGAAAUGGUGCUACUACGCGUUUCUGGGAGGAUACUUGGCUGGGAGAUUCACCCUUGGCUAUUCAAUAUCCGUCUUUAUAUCGUAUUGCUCAACGACGUGAGGUGUUCGUGGCGACGGUAUUUCAGACUAUCCCCCUUAAUAUUCAGUUUAGACGGUCGUUAGUGGGCAAUCGCUGGGAGGUUUGGCUCCAGUUAGUUAGGAGACUAAUGGAGGUACAACUCUCGGACCAACCUGAUGCAUUACGCUGGAAGUUGACCAAGUCUGGAGCUUUUACAGUGAGGUCAAUGUAUCUUGAUGUUAUUAACUCAAGUUACAUUCCAACAUCCAAAAAGGUAUGGGAUGUUAAAGUUCCUUUGAAAAUAAAAGUGUUUAUGUGGUUUGUUCAUAAACAAGUCAUUCUCACAAAGGACAAUUUGAUAAAGCGUAAUUGGACAGGACCUACUAGGUGUAGUUUCUGUGAUCGGGAUGAGACAAUUAAACAUCUCUUUUUUGAUUGCCCGCUAGCUAAGAUUCUAUGGCAGACGGUGCACAUUGCGUUUAAUAUUACUCCACCCACGACGGUUACCGCUUUAUUUGGGACUUGGCUUAAUGGGAUUGACUCCGCAUUAGCAAGGCAGAUUCGGGUGGGAGUUUGUGCGUUGUUGUGGACCAUCUGGUUGUGCAGAAAUGAUUUGGUUUUUAACAGAGCAUCACGAAUUCAUUUUUUGCAGGUUAUAUUCCGAGCUACAGCUUUGAUCCGUUCGUGGUCAUUACUCACUCCGAUGGAGGCCAGGGAGCAUUUGGUUACUGGGUCUACCCGAUGGAAAAUGGUUGCUCGGGUUAUCUUCAACCGGUUUGGAUGGCGGUCAUGUAAUAGGAUAGGCAAUUAGUUUUCCUAUCUUCUUUACACUGCCGGUUGUGGCUUUUUUAUCUCUGGCUAGUCUGUGUUUCUAGCCUUUCUUUCGUUUAUUUUUUAGACUAUGGAACUUUGUAUGCACGACUUGCUGUUUUCUUUAAUAAGAGGGCCGUAUGCAUCAUUCUUGAUGCAGAGGCCGGGGUACUCCCCUUUUCGGAAAAAAACAUAAAAGCACAUAGUCCAUCCCCAGGAUCGCUUUUGCCCUUCAGUUCCACUUGGGAGGUGAUCUCUAGUAAGUUGCCUUAAGAAAAUCUUGAUCUUGGUGGGAAUCUUUGCCUUCCAGAUAUCCAUCACUUGAAAUUUGGCUACACCUUGAUGCAAAGGGUGAUAUAAGGAUUUGGUUGUGAACUGACCAGAAGGUUCAAGCUUCGAAGUGAAGGCACCUUCUGCCAUCUAGGGAGAUAUCGAGCCUAAUAAUAUGGCUAAUAAUAUUGCCAAUCUCUGCCACUGUGUGCUCCGCUUGUCCCAGGGGUCGUUGGAGUGUGUGUCGCCAUUGGCCAUGCUGCCAUAUAUCACUAAACAUCGCGUCACGAUCUCGGGCGAUGGUGAACAGCUCAGGAAACUCAUGCUAGAGGGGUCUGUCCAAUCCAUUGGUCAAGCCAGAACACGGUGGUUUCUCCAUUCCCUACGUGAUGACCGCGCCAAUGUGGAGUACGUGACGAAUCCCCAUAGUUUUUUAGAAUUGUGAGCCAUGUGCGGUCGAAGCCUUCACAAAGAGGGCUCUCUGCAAAUAUUUAUGGCGAAUGAUAUCUGGCCACGGCCCACCUGCCUUGUUAAGAUCUUGCAAGCCCAUUUGGUCAUCAGACACCAAUUCAUGAGUUUGCUGUUGAUGAUGCCUAAGCCCCCAACCUCCUUGGGGGUGCAUAUGGUGCUCUGUUUUCCAGAAUCCUUCUCCCAAAAAAUUCUGGAUCGAACAUAAUCGAAUUUCGCAUGUACACCAUCUUGUAAUAAAAAGAAGCCCAUGAUGAACAUUGGGAGACUGGACAUACAAGAGUUUAUGAGCGUUGAUUUUCCCCCGGUCGACUAAUGCUUUCCAAUCCAUGGUUCGCGUCGCUUGCCGAACCGGUCCAUGAUAAAUUCAAAGUCUUCGAUUCUUAGAUGACAAUUAUUAAACGACAUCCCUAGGUAUUUGAUAGGAAGGGCCCCGAGCUAGCAGUUCAUCAUGUGGGCAGCACGCAGCUAUUCCUCGAGGUCUCCUCCAGUGAAAAAGCCUCGCUCUUGUCAUAAUUGAUUUUUAGACCCGACAUACACUCAAAGCACACCAGCAAGAAUUUGAGUUUGACAAUGCUGGUGGUGUCGUUUUGUAUCACUAUAAAGUUACAUCGAACUAUAGCCAUACGUGGACUUAUGCACGUAUUUAUUUAGAAGAAAUCCUUGAUAAAGUUAGGCAAUAGUACAUUUCAGUAUAUAAAUUCAAGAGAAAGAGAUUCUACCACAUGCACAUGAUAUCAUGUGCAUUAUCUGCCAUGCACUGAGUUGGACGUUCACACCUCCACCAAUGUAUUCACUAAAUAGUGUUCCUUCCACGUGACACCUUUUUCCAUCAUGCGUGGCAAUGUUUUCCCUAGAUUCCCUCCGCUUGUCCCUUGCCUCGCACACCGCACACACAAUGAGUUUUCUCUCCCACUCACUAUAUAGUACAUGGAUUUUAUUUUUAUUCUGAGACUAUUAAACAACUGUGUAUGUUGAAACAAAUCUUGGACAAAUAUUACGUUUGACCCUGUGUGUCUUUCUUCCGAUGACAUCUUCAAAACAUGCCCAUAUCAAAUAUGCUUUGACAAUCUUGAAACACGACAAAACUUAUAGGAAAUGGCCCGGACCACAAGAAACACGAUGCAACAUUACGGUACACACUGGAACAAGGUAGCACACAAACACAAAAGAAAACAUUAUAAUGGCUCCAAAACGCGAUGAAAUCCAAAAAAUAUGGUGUGAAACACAAAGAAAUUAACACUGUAGUGCACAACUGAACAAGUCAAAAUAAAAUAAAAUAAGGCAACACCGAAGUACAGAAGGAAACAUUAUAGUGCACCCCAAAAUAUGGUGAAACCCAACAAAAUUGGUUGAAGCACACUGACAGAAUAGGACAUUGUGGUGCACACCAGAUUAAGGCAGCACACUAACAGAAAAACAUUAUGGUGCACUCUCACGACGAAACACAAAAAAUUUAGAUAAUUAUUAUUCUUAUAUUGUAGGAAGUUGAAUUUGUGUCUUACAUAUUAGAUGGUGCACUAAAUAAAAACCACUGUCCAUAUGAGUAGUUAAAAAUAUGUGUUGUGAAUAAAUCAUUUUAAAAUAUAUAUUUAAUUUGGUCUUAUUUUAAAUAACUCAUCGGAAUAAACACAAUUGUUUGUACAAAAUAUGAAUCAAGCUUUUGUUAUGAAGAUAUCAGGCAUCUAAUUUUCAAAUGAAACUCAACUAGUUGUGCCUAACUUGGACAGAGAAUCUGGUUUAGUUGAUACUAGCUAGGAUGUUAGGUGAGGAAAUCACAAUGCAUAUCCCAAUGUAGCAUGCGUGGCUCCAUGCAUGAAUGUCCAAGCCACUGAAAAGAUAAGGUUGCAGUAACUAGCUAGUGUUAUAUGGCACUCCUCAAAUCGCAUUUCACCUUUCCAUUUUGGUGUAAUGGGACGAUCAGCACAUGAUCGAUGUCUGUUGUAGUUGUUGUAGGCUAUGUAACAUGCAUCCAAAACAUUUUGGUGCAAUGGGACGAUCGUAACUCACACGCAUCCUGCAGCUGCAUGUGUCAAGCAAAAUAACAAACAUGGACCAUGAGUCCAUGUCCAUGUCUCCGUGAUGAUUAUGAACAUGCGUGUUGAGAUCACAGUGCUGAUGAUAUCUUGAGGUUUCCUUGGUGGCUUUAUGGAUGGAUUCAGUCAGAAAAAACUCCGUCACAACUUUGUUUGUCCAACCGAAUAACAUGCAUCCGGGAGAACCAUUUACUUGAUGUUUGCUUGAACCCAUCAUCACUGAUGCUCAACUAGUCCAUUUGACAAGGCCCUAACUAGUAGCCUUAAUAAUAUAUAACAACAUGAUAACCCGGGGAUUUCAGAUUGUUAGGAACAGAAGAAUUAGCAGUAAAGUUCAUUGCGCACUUGAUAGAGGCAAUGACACAAAAAUAGAUGCAGCACACCGACACAAAAUGAAACAUUAUGGUGCACUCUAAAGCACGAGAAACUGAACAAAAAUAGAUUAAAAAAACAUCCUUAUAUUAUAAAAUAAGAAUUUGUGUGAUACACUUAGAUGGUGCACUCUGAAACAGAGUGAAAAAUAUCUGAAUAAAAACUACUGUCCAUAUGAAUAGUUUUAAAAAAUAUUGCAUUUGGGUUUUGAAGGUUUUUUGAAAAUAUAUUCAAUAUUGGUCUUGUUUUAAAGAUCUCAUACAAAUAAACAAAAUUGUUCAAACCAAAUGUGAAUCAAACUUUUAUUAAAAGGGAUACCAGACAUCUCGUUUUUAAAAGAAAAUCAACUAUAUUUGGGGCUACAUUUGAUGGAGAAUCUGGCUUGGUUGAUACUAGACUAGGACAUGGUAGGAUGUUAGGUGAGAGAAAUCACUAUGCAUAUACCAUUGAAGCAUGCAACGAUGGAUCCAUGCACGAGCGAGGCUCUUCACCUUAUGCACAACAACGGUGGUGCGGUGCUUGCAUAUGAAUGUCCAAGCCACCGAAAAGAUAAGGCAGCAGUAACUAGCUAGUGUUUGCUGGCACUCCUCACAUCGCAUUUCGUCUUUCCAUUUUGGUGCAAUGGGACGAUCAGCACAUGGUACCUGCUGUUGCCGUAGGCUAGCUAGGUAAUAUGGAUCCAAAACAUUUUGGUGCAAUGGGACGAUCAUAACUCACACGCAUCGUGCAGCUGUAUGUAUCAAACAAAAUGACAAACAUGGAUGAUGAUGAUGAAAUGAGUCUUGAGAUCAGAGUGUUGUUGAUAUGUUGGAAGUCACAGCUUUGUUUGUCCAACCGAAUAACAUGCAUCCGGGCAAACCAUUUACUUGAUCUAAUUCUAGCGUUUUGAAGAUAUUUGCUCGAAGCCAUCAUUGCUGAUGCUCAACUAGUCCCUUUGACAAAAGCCCUAACCAGUAGCCUUAAUAAUAUACUAAAUAACAGCAUGAUACACCGGGGGUUUCUGAUCGUUAGGAACAGAAAAGGAAUUACUAGCUACUCCGUAGUAAAUUUCAUUGCACACUUGAUAGAGCCAAUGACACAUGCAUUCUUUGGUCCUAACAUCUUACACUGAUAAAGAGUAGUGAAAUCAUCCCCAGCAUCAGAAGGAAAAUAAAAACAGUGAAAUCAAGCAUGUAACAGUGUCACAUGCAUGCUCUGCAACAUAGAUAAACCAAGCUAAGCUCUUGCGGAGCCAUGAUUGACAGAUCGAGCUCGCAAUCUCAUAAGUACAUAGCAGUACCAAAUGUUUCUUGCAUACUCAUCAAGCUAAUAGACCCAAAUCUAGUGAUCGACUACUACUAAGUAGUAACUGCAGGGAGGGAUCCAUAGUAUAGAGAGUCCCGUAGCAGCUCCGGAUUCCGGCUCAGGCCAUGCCUGCUUAUUCCUGCGCUGCAGCUCCUCUAGCUACCAUCUAGCAACCGCCACAGCCUCCCCCGCCACCGCCACCGCCACAGCCCCCUCCGUCACCGCCCCCUCCGCCGCAACAAGCACCACCGCGGCACCGCCUCCGCUAGAUGAAGCUACAGCUGCCGCAGCAAGAAAGAGGGCGCUAUUACCGUCGGCUGAUGUGGUCCACCGUCCACGACGAACUUGCAGUGGUCGCCGCCGCCCGCGGUGGCGGUGCCCUGCUGGCCUUCUUCUUCUCCGGCCUGUUGCCGCAGAGGAGGACCAUGACAGAUAUGGCCACCACCCCCAGCAGCAGAAGGAGCCACGGCGUCUGCUGCUCCUGCGUGCCCAAGCCCGCAGCAGCAGCGGAGGCCAGAAGAGCUCGCUUCAUUCUGCUAUGGUCCCUCCCUGGCCUCUACCACUGGAUAUCUCUCACGAAUUUGAGUUUGGAUCAAGUGCAGCGCAAGAUUUGAGGAGGAAAACAGAGUAGCGAGGGAGAGAGAGAGAGAGAGGAAGAGGGGAUACUGCAGGAACCCACGGCUCUCUCUGAAACCCCGGCCGUGAAUAAGGAGUCGAGGGCUCGACGCUAUUUUUCUUUUCAUUUUUUUGAGUUGAAGGGCGCGACGCUAGUAAAUUCCUCCUACUUUUUUUUGAGACAAAAUUCCUCAUAGUUGACGCCGACGCCUGCGGUCGUUCGCUGCUGGGUCGCAACCCAAGUUGGCGUUUUGUCAGCUUCCCAGUGGUUUUAUUGAUUUUAUUUUGCGGUUAUCUGUGACUUUUUCACUGUGUGUCCGGUUUUCUAUGGUUUUUUUUCCUUCCUUUUCUUUUCUUUUCUUUUAUUUUUCCAAUUUUCUUUUUUAUCCAUGUCUUUCCUUUUUUAAAUGCAAAUGCAUGGUGAAUAUAUUUUUAAUACACGGUGAUUUUUUCAUACACAUUGAACAUUUUUUUAUAUAUGUUGAGCCUUUUUAAUGCAUGGUGAACUUCUUAAUAUACAAUGAACUUUAUUAUAUAUAGUGAAUUUUCUUAAUAUCUCUUUUGAAAAGUAAAAGGGGUGGAGUAAACCUGUUUUUAUUUUCUUUGCUUUAGUUUUUUUUCUCUAUCUAGAAGUGGAAUAGAAUAAUCCGGUUGAAGGGUAAUGAUCAUAAGUCGACAGAGCAAUAAGCACUAGGGUAUCCACCCGCCCGCCGGUUCGAAUAGCCGGUUUCCUCCCCUUCCGCUCAAGCUAAAGGUUCUGGGCUACGGCUUCCGGUUCGGACACUGAAUAAUGAGAGAAUCGUAGAAGUUAUCGGAAGUACUGAUUUUUUUUCCAAUAUAUGUUGACCAUUUUUUUAAUUAUGAUGAUUUUUACAAUUAUAUGGUGAACUUUUGAAAUAUAAUGUUAUUUUUUAAUAUACAUUGAGGUUUUAUUUUACUAUGCAAUGAACUCUUUUUUAAUGGAUGAUGAAUUUUUAAAAAUAUACGGUAAUCUAUUUUUUAUAUACAAUAACUUUUUAAAUGGAAGGUUUACUCUUCUUAAGACCUAUUGAACAUUUUUAAAUAUUUCUUAAUUUUUUAAAUAUGUUUAUAUAUUAGAUCCGUGAAACAAUAUCCAACAGGCGAGUUCUCAAAAAAUUCAAAUUAAAAACGAACGAUAAAAACAGAAGAAGAAAAACUUGCUCAAGUGAGCUUGCUAUAGUGGGCCACCCCAUUUUGCGCCUUCCUCAAGUGUGGUUCCCCCAUUUGACUCCAACAUGUGUCAACCAGGAGGUCUCGUCGAGGCUAAGUCUUUACGUUGCACAUGUCACUGGGUCAUAGCAGUGAUUGGGUCUACGUAUCCUCUUGGCUCGGGCCGAACCUUUUGGAGUAGAACAGAUGGAAGUAGUCGACACGACAUCCUUCCCCUUGAACGAAGCUCAAAGUAAUCUUCCCAAGAUGCCAGUGAUGUCGACUGUGAAGACCACUUGGCGAGGAAUGUCGAAGUUGCCGCGACAGACAAUAUGGCAUUUCAAUACACAAUACUUGCUCUGGAACUGGAGGCAGUAUGUUAGGAGGUAGUUGCGCUGGCAAGACUGGUUCGGCCAUGGAUGAAGGUGGCAGUAUUUCACGGAGCAGGAAGACAUGGAAGACUGGGUGGAUACAACUUGUCUCUGCGAACUUGAGGUUGUACGAGACAUUAACCAAUUUGACCGAAAUAGUCCAAAUUAUUGAAUAGAAAGUUUAUGGUUAGCAUGUUUAGUGAUGGAGAUUUUAACAUAAGGCUGCAGCUUGAGGUAAACCAAGUUGCCAACUCCAAAAGUGCGGUCGGGGCGUUUCUUGUCCGCUUGUCCCUACUUCCUCUGGUUUGCUAAGAAAAAGUGUUGUUUCAGUAGACUGGCCACUAAUUUUCAUUCUUGCAUCCAUGACGCCAGCUCAGGAACUUCACAUAGUGAAGGAUCUACAACCCCGAAGUGUUUGGAGGACGACCAUAUAAAACUUCAAAAGGUGAGAUCACCAAAGUGGACUUGUACGAGGUAGUGUACCAGUAUGCCGCCAGAUAGAGCCAUUCAAACCACUUGUGCGGGCAGUUGGCGACAAAACAACAUAAAUAAGAUUUGAGGCAUUGAUAAAUCCUCUCUGUGGUGUCAUUCAUCUAUGAAUGAUAAGCAAAGGACAUCAUAAACUUAGUGUCAACAAGCAAAAACAAAUCACGCCACAGGUUGCUUGUAAAGACCCGAUCUCGAUCAAAAACAAUAGCUUGGGGCACCCUUGGAGCUUGGACACAUUCUGCAUGUAAGUGUGUGUGACACUUGUGCAGCUGUGAGAGGAUGCUUCACUGCAACAAAGUGGGCAUACCUAGACAAGUUGUCAACAAUAACCAUAAUGCAGGUGAUAAGUUCCUAUAUAAGUUCUAGUUAACAAAGUGGGUUGGAAGUUCUGGACCUCAGAACACAAAACAAAUCACAGACGAGUAAAUUCGUAUAUCAGUUCUUUAAUCAGCAUGAUAUUCCAUUCCGAAAAAGGGUUUCCCCCCGCUUUGUAUACAAAGCAACCAACCGAACCAUACAUGAAUAGGUGCUGGGGCGGAAGCAGCACAGUCACGCCCAAAAGAAACGACAGAGAAAAGCAAAAGAAACAAAUGCCGAAAACGGCGGAUCAACAAAACGAAGAAGCCUCGCGAUCGCAGCGCCCACCAGAAUCUUCCACUAGACUCCAAGACUCCGAAGCGCCGGCACCUAUCAACACCUUCAAGAAGGAUCGCGACGAUGACGACACUGCUGCUAAGGGUUUCCCCCGGUACACGACGAGGCGAGAGGAAGGGUAGCUCCGACGCCCUCCCGGAAGGUCAGGUGGCACCCACAAGCGCCACCGCGUCGGCGUUGGCCAUGCCAACAGGGGUUUCCCCCGAUCCCAACCCGCACCUCGGGCGCCCCGGAGCCUGCCACCAAACCAACCACCAUCGUGCGCCAAUGCGGUCUUGAGGCCCCCACGCCGUCUCACCACGGCACCACGAAGUGAGGAUAGCACGCCGAAGAAUCAGAGCCGGGACUAGGGCAUCAGCACCAUCGGCACGCGGGAGGGCCCCACCUCCACCGUCCGCGACGGUAGCCGUCCGCGACGCAAUAGCGGGAGCACACCAGGCCCGUGGGCCCACUGGCCCGGCCGAGCCCUCGUGGGCUCGCAAAGCUCCCGCCUUCGCGCUGCUGCCGGCACGCCGGCGGUGCCGCCGCCCCAAUCCGAGCCGCUCUUCCUCCUCACCGCGCCGCAGACAACGAGGCUACGCCCAGGGACCGGCCCGCUAGGACCCAGAUGGGGCCCUAAGGGCCCAGAUCUGGGCCGAGGACGCGCCGCCGGCCACCCUGCGCAACCAGGCCGCCCCGCCGCCAAAGGACGGCGCCACCACCGCGACGGGCCGCCGCCAGCCAUCUCCAGGCCGCCGGGCCGCCGCCAGCCGAGNNNNNNNNNNNNNNNNNNNNNNNNNNNNNNNNNNNNNNNNNNNNNNNNNNNNNNNNNNNNNNNNNNNNNNNNNNNNNNNNNNNNNNNNNNNNNNNNNNNNNNNNNNNNNNNNNNNNNNNNNNNNNNNNNNNNNNNNNNNNNNNNNNNNNNNNNNNNNNNNNNNNNNNNNNNNNNNNNNNNNNNNNNNNNNNNNNNNNNNNNNNNNNNNNNNNNNNNNNNNNNNNNNNNNNNNNNNNNNNNNNNNNNNNNNNNNNNNNNNNNNNNNNNNNNNNNNNNNNNNNNNNNNNNNNNNNNNNNNNNNNNNNNNNNNNNNNNNNNNNNNNNNNNNNNNNNNNNNNNNNNNNNNNNNNNNNNNNNNNNNNNNNNNNNNNNNNNNNNNNNNNNNNNNNNNNNNNNNNNNNNNNNNNNNNNNNNNNNNNNNNNNNNNNNNNNNNNNNNNNNNNNNNNNNNNNNNNNNNNNNNNNNNNNNNNNNNNNNNNNNNNNNNNNNNNNNNNNNNCGGCCAGAUCCGGGGGCGCCGGCGGCGGCGGCGGGGGGGAGGGGCACGGGGGAGGAGGAAGGAGAGGCGAGCGGGGGGAGCCGCCCCGGCCGCCCCCCGGGGAGGCGGCGCGGGCGCGGGGUCGGGGGAGGGGAGGGGAGGGAUCGUGCCACGUAUUCUCACGCAGAGCUUUUACAAUCUCUUCCGCAUGAUAUUCCAUUCGCUAAGUUGAUCGGCAAUGCAUACUACAGUGAUAGCCAAGUGACAACUUUCCCUACUAAAGUUGUCUCAUUCUGGCGGAAAGACCAUUGCUCUAUACCCAAUGAAUUUAAGGCUAGGACCAUUUGAGUUUCAAAAAAAAAAGGCUAGGACCAUUUGCAAUAUAUAAAAAGGUAACAUUGUUAAGUUACGAUACGACAAAUGGCAUGAUGACAAGUUUCUGGUAAUAUAUCCUCAGCUAUUUUCAUUUGCGAAAGACUUUGGUUAUGCACAUGUAUAUGUUAUGACUGAUUUAUAUGACAUAUUCCAUCUUCCAAUGUCUUCGAGUGUUGUUCAUCAAAGUUUGGAGCUACGAGAGCUGCUAAUUAGCAUCUAUGAUACUUAUGUUACUGGUACUUGGAAUUCUACUGGUCUAGCAAUAAUACUCCACCAAAAGGAUAUGCAUUAAACUAGUUGGAUAUGGAAAUAAGCCACCCACCCCUCUGCUUAGGCAGACAAUAUGAUUUCGAGAUCCAUUGGAAAAGCUUAGGAGAUCGCCACGGCCCAGGGAUCGGUCGUCCCAUUUUUUCCGUUACCUAUGUGCGCACACUAGCGACCCAGGAGUAAAAUCAGGAACCAAACGGGUGGAGGAAAAACAAAACUUAUAAUUUGGAAACCACUCAAAAGCUUACACACCUAAUNNNNNNNNNNNNNNNNNNNNNNNNNNNNNNNNNNNNNNNNNNNNNNNNNNNNNNNNNNNNNNNNNNNNNNNNNNNNNNNNNNNNNNNNNNNNNNNNNNNNNNNNNNNNNNNNNNNNNNNNNNNNNNNNNNNNNNNNNNNNNNNNNNNNNNNNNNNNNNNNNNNNNNNNNNNNNNNNNNNNNNNNNNNNNNNNNNNNNNNNNNNNNNNNNNNNNNNNNNNNNNNNNNNNNNNNNNNNNNNNNNNNNNNNNNNNNNNNNNNNNNNNNNNNNNNNNNNNNNNNNNNNNNNNNNNNUUUGGAUUUUGGACUUCAAAUCUAUGUAACCAAAGAUAAUCAUAAACUGAAAAUAAAAGACAAUGUGUAUGUAUCAUACCUAUAGUACAUAGAUGUGAGAAAACACGAUUUUUUACUUCAAAUUGUUUUUUUUUUGCUUUUUCUGUACAACUAGUGGUAAUUGAGAUACAUUGAACACUACAAAAUAACACGAUAAUUUCACUCUUUGUAUUUUUAUUAGUUUUAAUCAUCCAGUUUAUAAUUCUUAGACAAUAUCUCUAUAACUCUCCCUCUCAUGAUUUUUCUUUCCAUCUCUUUAGCACCACACUUAAAUUUCAAUUUUGAAACAGUAAUCAUCAUUAGCAAAGAGAUGGAAAAUUUUGUCAAAUUUAUAUCAUUUAUCAAUCAUGUAAUCAGCACCUAAAACUAAUAUGUUGCCUUAUGUGCUCGCUAAUAGUGGGACAUUUAUCGGUGCCCAAUCUUCAAUUUUCAAGUCGCUGGUUUACAUGAAUGUGCUCUUAUGAUGAUGGCACAUGCGUAUCUAUUUUACUAUGUGUUUUGUUAACGAAUUUGCAGGCUGUUUGUGAUAAAAUUGUGCAUUGUACGCAUGCACGAUGGGCAAUACUCCCUCCGUUCAUGAUGUAUUAAGUUUGAUCAAACCAUGAUCUAAGGUUUCUGCACCAUCACCCCUACUAUGAUGGCAGAUCAUCGUGCGGGGAGGCCCCUACUAGUGUUCGUCCUACCUAUAGGAGCUGUACUUUUUCCCCGUCUCGAUGUUGUAGGAAGAAACCCCUACUAGUGUUAUGCUCUAAACCUUUUGUAGUGCAGAUUUGAGACGCCCAUCACUAGUAACUCAUCAUUGGCGAUUGGUGACCAAUUACGGGCAACAUAGCAAUGAUGGGUGGUCGAGAAGUGCCCGGUGGCCUUAUUAGUGACAGGUGAUCUGAAAGUGCCCAGUGGCCUUAACAGUGACAUGGUCCGACACUUGCGCCUGUCACUGGUGUUAUUUUGAGUUUUGAACAAUAAAUAAUGCAUAUUUAAUCUUAGUCAGGAAACAAAUUUAAUUCCAUUUCGCCAAAACAACACAAAAAAUAAUUUGAUUCCAUUUCAUCGUAACAACACAAAUAUAACCUUCAUUAGAUGCAUUCCUUUUCAUAAGAAAAUACAAAAAUUUACAUUAUUUCUUUGGAGGAGAUAUACAUGACUAGACUAGCUUAGCGGGUCGAAGGAAUGGGGAUGAGAUGAAAUCUUGCCCUAAACCUCGACAGAUCGAAGCAAAGGGUAUUUUUGUAAUCCUAACCUCGUCGAAAGAAGGAAAGGAGUAGGGUAUAUAUGGUGAAAAACACACCACCAAAGCAUAACACCCCCUCCCCCGCGCACGCGCAAAUGGAAGACCAAGAAAUGACAUCACCUCCAAAUAAUGAAUCAUGCUAUUUGUCAGCCUAUUUGGAGGAGGUGUAGGACCAAGAGCUGACAAACCCUAAUAAACCCCAACAGUUAGCCAUUGUGAGAGGCGUGUCCUGGUAUAGUCAUAAUUCCAGUAGGUUGACACAAGCGUUGAUCACAUCUUCAUCUCCCUCGGACCACCGGAUGUUUACCUAUAACAGCGUAAACACAUCAAACAUUUUUUUGAAUAAGAACAACAAAACGUAUCAGGUAUCUUCUAUUAAUAUAUAUCUUUACUAAAACAUUUGUUUGUAGAUAUACUAUUAAUUACCAUUAGCAUUAAAGUAUCUUUAUUCAAAUAGUAUCUUACAACGUUAGUCUGAGGUAUAUUUACUAAUACAAUAGCUUAUAGAUUUAGUAUUAAGUUUCUUUACUAAAAAAUACUCCCUCCGUCCCAUAAUAUAAGAGCGUUUUUGAAACAACACUAGUGCCAAAAACGCUCUUAUAUUAUGGGACGGAGGGAGUAGCUUAUAUCUUAUACUGAGUAUCUUUAAUAAAAUCGAAUCAAGUUUAGUUAUUUAUUGAAUUAUAGCUUAUAGCAAAUGUAACUAUCACUAUUGUUUUGCACCAAUGGGCGAGACAAGUGAUAUACUUCUUUCCCUCCCACACCACACACACACAAUGAACUCUCUCCCACUCACUAGUACAUGGAUAUAUUUUCAUUCUUACAUUUGAAACAACUGUAUACAUUGAAAUAAAUCUCAAAUAAAUAUUACGCUUGAACGUGUGUCUUUAUUUGGAUGAUAUCCUCAAAAUAAGCCUAAUAUCGAAUAUGCUUUUGACAAUUUUGAAACACGGCGAAACUUAUAGGAAAUGACCCGAAGCACAAGAAACACAAUGCAACAUUAUGGUACACACUAGAAAACAUUAUAAUGGCUCCAAAACACAAUGAAAUCCAAAAGCAUUGUGUGAAACACAAUGAAACAUUGUGGUGCCAACUGAAGAAGUCAGAAAAUUAAGGCGACACAGAAGUACACAACCAAAUAUUACAAUACACCCCAAAAUACGGUGAAACCCAACCAAAUUGGUUGAAGCAUACCGAAAGACAAUGAGGCGUUGUAGUACACACCAGAUUAAGGCAGCACACCGACACAAAAUGAAACAUUAUGGUGCGCUCUAAAACAUGAUGAAACCCAGGGAAAAAGAGAUAAUCUAUCACUCUUAUAUUAUAGGAAGUUGAAUUUGUGUGUUACAUGUUAGACGGUGCACUAAAUAUAAACCACUGUCCAUAUGAAUAGUUAAAAAAAUAGUGCAUUUUUGUUGUGCAUAAAUUAUUUUAUUAAAUAUUUAAUUUUGGUAUUGUUUCAAGACAAUUGUUGAACAAAAAUGUGAAUCAAGCUUAGCUUUUGUUACAAAAGAUAUCAUGCAUCUAAUUUUCAAAUGAAAUUCAAGUAGUUGUGGGCUGUGGCUACCUUAGAGAGAGAAUCUGGCUUGGUUGAUACUAGCUAGGAAAUAUAAUAGCAGAUGGUAGAAUGUUAGGUGAGAGAAAGCACUAUGCAUAUGCCAAGGAAGCAUGCAACGGUGGAUCCAUGCACGAACCAGUCUCUCCACCUUAAUUAUGCACAACAACGGUGGUGGGGCACUUCCAUAUGAAUGUCCAAGCCACUGAAAAGAUAAGGCUGCAGUAACUAGCUAGUGUUUGCUGGCACUUCUCACAUCGCAUUUCAUCUUUCCAUUUUGGUGCAAUGGGACGAUCAGCACAUGAGGCCUGUUGUUGCUGUAGGCUAGGUAACAUGCAUCAAAAACAUUUUGGUGCAAUGGGACGAUCAUAACUCACAUGCAUCCUACAGUUGCAUCUAUCAAACAAAAUAACAAACAUGGACCGUGAGUCCAUGUCCAUGUCUCCAUGAUGAUGAUGAACAUGAGUGUUCACAUCACAGUGUUGAUGAUAUCUUGAGGACAAAACUUUAUUCAUCCAAUCAGGUAGAUACAUACUAUCUGGAUUAGGUGACCUAUUCCUCAACUCCCCCUAUCCCUUGGCGGCUAGGGCAAGCUCUUCCCUCCAGACCUUGGUGGAGAGCCCGUCGAUUUGCCUAAUAUCGGCCUGCUGCCUCGGCGGACGAUUGCGGAGAGGGGAAUCCCGGUGGCUCCACCCUGGUUAGUAGUUUAGGUUAGGGGUUUUCAGUCCUCACAGCUGCGGCACUUGGGCGGAUGGCAGCGCUUCUUCGAGUUUGUCUUUGGGGCUUCGAUCCUCCUCCACUUCUUCUUUCUGGACGUAGUCGACGGAGCUCUGGUGUAGAUUCUUAUUGUUUCCUUGGGGUGGUGAGGUUAGUGUUUCUCAUCGUGUGACGAGAUUUGAUGUCAGGUACUUCAAAUCUAUUCCCGCGUUCAACGGCGACAACUGCGGCUCCUGAGCACUUGUCCUUAGGGGAACGGUCCCAAACACUUCUUGGCUGUCAUCUACAAGGUCAAGCCAGCUUUCCUAGGGGAGCGGCGAUAGAGGCGCGUCCGCGGCUCGUUCUGGCAACGGUAGUGAUCGUUCAGUGGUCUUAAAAUCUCAAUGUAUUUUUUUUACUAUGUUUGAGGUGCUUUGUACUUCCAAUAAACUUUGAUGAUAGAUCGGGGUCAUUUUCGCAACAAAAAAUAUAUAUUCAUCCAACCGGAUAACAUGCAUCCGAGGGAACCAUUUACUUUAUCUAAUUCUAGCGUUGAACAUAAUUACUUGAAGCCAUCAUUACAUAAUUACUUGACAUCACUAUGGAUACUCCCUCCGUCCCAAAAUACUGGCCAGGGACGAUGCGGGCGAUGCGGGCGACAUCCGGGACGGCCGCGUCGGGCCGGCCGCUGGCGACCUCCGCCGUGGGUUGCGCCGGAGGUAGGUUUUGGGCACUCGCGGAUGCAGAUCCUGAGGACGACGACGACGACGACCUCGCCGGAGGGUCCCCGCAAGCCUACUCGCCGACGCCUUCAUCGGUGAUCUGCGAGGCUUUUGAUCCUGGGUAUUCGGAAGAAGAAGUGGCGGCCAUUGUCGACGACAUUGUUCCGGUUGACGAUCCUGCGCGACAAGGUUUGGGACGGGAGGACAAGGUCGAGAUCGUGCGACGUAUGGUUCACCGGCGGACGACGGCGGGGGCUAUUCGGCCAUGGAAGGGCCCGAUCCCGAAGGUAUGUCUCCCGAAACCUACUUUGUCUGAUUUCAUUACGGAGGACUCCUGGAUUGUGGUCAAGAAGAGAAGGCCGCGGCGAAGAUCGGCGGCGAGGCUGCCGGCGCCGGCGGACGGCAGAAACGGCGACGUCCGACGUGAUCGGAUCGCGCGUUUGAAAUUGUUGUUUCAUGGGCUGCAACCGAACGAGGGGUCGGCCGGCCCAAUCGCUGCACCUAUGGGCCAAACUUGUAAUGUCCAGGUGGGUUCGGGACUAGCUGGGUUGUGUACCCAGGCAAAACCGGCCCAUCUUGGAGAGCUGGAGUUAGUUUCGGGUCGAGGGGAUUCACAUGCACGUUCGUCGAUCCACGAGCGCGCUAGGGUUCGCCGCCGGGGUCUCUGUGGUUUCCCCUCGGCUCUAGUUCGGAGGAUCAGGAGGGUUUCUGCGACUGCUGCUGCCUGUAUGCCGCCCAAGGGUCCGCCGCCGGCAAGGGGGGCGCCGACCACGGCGAAGGCGCCCGCGAGAGCUGCGCCUGGCGGGCCGGCUGUUGUUGGGGCUGGCGCAGUUGCGGCUGCAGCACCGGCAGCGGCUGCACCACCGGCAGCAGCUGCAACUCCGGCAGUGGCUGCAGCACCGGCUGCGGUUCAAGCACCGGCGGCAGCUGCUCCGGUCGCUGCCAGGGCGGGGGUGCCGCCUACUCAUGCGGGCGCACCACAGCCGCACCGUCCCUGGCCUAGGCAAAUGGCUGCUGGUCAGGGUGGCGCUCCUAACGGGGUUGCCGGCCGUGGUGGUGCCGCCUUUGGUGCUGCCGGCCGUGGGACGGGUGCUUUCGCGGGAGAUCACCGCAAUCCUCCCCGUGGUCAAUGGGGAGAUGAUGGCUACGACGCGUAUGGUCAGGGACUGCACCGAGGUUCGUCGUCCACAGGUGGUGGGCGAGGUUAUGCUUGGAAUGAUCAGGGUCAUGCUGGCCAGGGUUUUCAGGGACCGCCGGGGAAUUUCGUCGAGGGCGCGGUUGGCCCCAGCCGCUUCCGAGGGCGCUUCCGUGGUGGGCGAGGACGCUUCCGGGGUGGACGUGGUGGGCGUACUUUGCCCGGUGCCGACUCGGACCUUUCUGACAUGGCCACUGAUGAGGCGUCUCUGAACCAGACGGUGGUGGAGACGGCUAAAGCUCUUGCUGAUGUGGUUGUCCCGAUGGUACCACAGUCGGAGGAUGCUACGUCUGAUAAAGGCUCAGAGAAGGCCGGAGGUGACAAGCUGUCUAAGUGGGCGGCUAAGAAGAAGAAAUUAGUUUGUUUCCGCUGUGGGGAGACGGGUCACUUCAUGGUGGACUGUUCUGCUGAGUUAUGUGAGAUUUGUCGGAAACCUAAGCAUGUGGGGGCUGAGUGUCCGCUUCUUCUCGGGCCCAAAACGACGCUUAAUAUCUACGGGCUAUGUUGCUCUGAGUUGAUGUUCUUUGAGUCACCAAGUGUGGCUUCGAUGACUCCGGUAGUUGAAACCUCCUUCCCUGGGGUGGUCAAAGUGGUCACCGGACCGCUCACCGAAGCCCAGAUUAUUCAGCAGUUACGGGAGUUGGCUCCAGGAAAUUUCAACUGGUCCUUGUUGAAGCUUUCUGAUAAUUCUUAUAAAGUGGAUUUUCCAUCUAAAGAGGAUCAGAAGAGGAUCCUCAAGUUUGGCAUGAGUCGAGUUACUGGAACUAGCUUUGUGUUGCAGUUUGAUGAGUGGAAGAAGAAGGAGCCGCAGGGCACAUCACUGACUCAGAUCUGGGUUCGCUUUUCGGGGGCACCGUCCGAACCAUUGGAUGAUUUUUUUGUCACGUGGAGCUUGGGGUCCUUGCUCGGUAAGACUGAGCAGGUGGACAUGCCUUUUACUCGUGCUCACGGUGUUGCUCGUCUGUUGAUUAGCGUGGCCAACAUUCAGUUCUUGCCAGAUGUGGUCAGAUGGUGUUAUGAGGGGUUUGCUUACAUGUUGAAUGUCGAGUAUGAGGACCCGGACUUGUUUCAGGAUUUUGAGGAGUUGCUACCUAUGGAUACCUCUGAGGGGGGUGGCGCUUCUGGGCACCGGGGAGAGGAUGCACCCGGUGACGGUGACAGGGAUUCCAGGCCCGUGGAAUCGCCUAAACCAACUGAGUCUGCUAGGGGGAAAACUACGGGCUCGGCACCAUCCAAUAUGCUUCAGCUUGGUUCUGUUGGGGCUUUCUCUGCACCUUCGCGUCUUUGGAGUGAUCGUGUGGAGUUGGAUGAUCCGUCUGAGCACGUGCCACCGGUGAUGCCGGAGGAUUUGACGACUUUGGAGGACAGACUGACUGUUCAGGAGGUGCUUCCUUCUCCGUCACCACCUGUUCCGCGGCUGGACUUGACUAUUCUGGACGACUCGGUGGAGCUAGCCAGGAGUAUGGUCAGGACCAGCGCUGCUCUUUCGCUCACCUCGGCCCGGAAGGCCGUGGACGGGUCCAGCAGGCAUGAGGUAUGUGUGCCGCUUUCGCCGUCCUUGCCAGCAUCAGAUGUAGCUUCUGACUUGCGUGGGUCGGGUGCUGGUUGCUUGCAGGUGUUUUCGCCGGCCGACACGGCUAGGGAGGCGUCGACGCCGCUUCUCGCAGCCGUUGGUGCGUCCGGACUGGGGGUACAUGCCUCACCGGCCCCCACAGCGUUGGGAGGGCUGGGUGGGGCCUCUGCAGAUUCUGCCCACGCUUCGGUGCGCGGCGGCCGGGCCGCUCCGGAGCCGGCGACUGCUGGCGGAUCGCCGGUGUUCACGCGGCAGGCAGUAACGUCGGUUACUACUUCUGCGCCGGUGACGGCGGCUCAGGGCGUCGCUGUGGGGGGAGGGGCAGGUGGUCUCUCCCUGUGCAGGGCUUCUCGCGAUGAGGUCAUCGCUUUUGGUGGCAUCCCGGACCCUGUCUCCCAGGGGAGGCGGAUCAGCGGGCGGUUGCAGGAGCAGCCGGACGUCGACGACAUUCAACUACGGUGCUCUGUGAGAGCGGCCAAGUUGCAGGACGUCGAAACCACCACUGGUAUGUCAGUCAUUAAGUCAAAUUCCAUUUUGCAUUUCACUGACAAUGAGAUCAUUAAUAAUGCAAAUCAGCUAGGAAUUUCACUUGGUAAUAAUGAUAGUCAGAUUGCUAAAUCAGUCAACGACAUUCUUGAUUUAGAAGCUGAGCGUGCGGUAGAUAUGAUUCGUCACAUAGCUGCGGUUAAACCAAUGAAUGAUUCGGAGAUUGAUGCGCUUGGGGUGAGGGUCCUAGAUGGUAUGUGUGCCGAUCUUGACCCUGAUGGUCUCGAGGCGGAGGAAGACUCACAUCCUGAUACUUCUCUCCAUGUUGAUGAGCAUUUAGAGAUGGAUGCUGAGGAUGAGGGUCAUAUCCCGGUGGUUGAUAUAGUCAAGCCUAAGCGGACAUGGAAAAUAAAGGUUUAUCCAGUCUCCGCAGUGCGUAGGAGUGCUAGGAUUCGUACUGCCAAAAAAUUUCAUGAUGACUUAUGAGAGGCAUUUUCUGGAAUAGCAGAGGUCUUAGAGACUUGGCUAAAAGGAGGUUUCUGGCGGAUGCUUCUCUGGAACAUCAUUUGGAUUUCAUUGCUUUGUCCGAGACUGGAAGAAGUAAUUUCACUAAUCAAUUUCUCGCCACUUUGUCUAGGGGGGUAGAUUUUGAUUGGCACUGCCUCCCACCUCGAGGAAGAUCCGGCGGGGUUUUACUUGGGGUUAAGUGUGAAACAUUGGAGGUAAGGAGCGUAGUUAUGGGCGAGUUCGCUGUCAAGUUUCGGGUUAGGUCUAAGGCAGAUGGGUUUGAUUGGGCUUUGGUGGCAGUCUACGGGGCUGCUCAACCCGAACUCAAACCAGAUUUCUUGGCUGAUCUGGUGCGCAUCUGUGCUAAUGAACAGUUACCUCUCUUAGUGGGAGGGGAUUUUAACAUAAUCCGAAGAAAAGAGGAUAAGAAUGAUGCCAAUUUUGAUGGUCGAUGGCCCUUUAUGUUCAAUACUAUCAUUGAGAGUUUGGAUCUCAGAGAGAUCGAACUCUCGGGUAGGAAAUUCACUUGGGCUAAUUCGUUACCGGUUCCGACUUUUGAGAAACUAGACCGAGUGAUAGCUAGUGUCGAGUGGGAACAGAAGUUUCCACUGGUAACGGUACAGGCUUUGACUCGAGGUGUCUCGGAUCAUACACCGCUGUUAGUUGAUUCCGGAGUUCAAAAUUUCGUGGGUAACAAGAAUUUCUUCUCGUUCGAAUUGGCUUGGUUCGAACGAGAAGGCUUCCUAGAGUUGUUAGCUACAGAGUGGGCUAGGGACUCUGGAGGUAGGACACCUAUCGACAAAUGGCAAUCCAAGAUUCGUCAUCUCCGUCGUUUCCUUCGGGGUUGGGCUAAACACACGCAUGGGAUCUAUAAGGUGGAGAAGGACAGACUCCUCCUUAUCAUUCAAAAUUUCGAAGCUAAAGCGGAAACAUCUAUCUUAGAUUCCACUGAGUUGGCAACAAAGAUAGAUGCGGAGAUGAAGCUUAAAAAGCUUCUCCGUGAGGAGGAAUUGAAGUGGGCUUUGCGAGCCAAGGUUCGCAAAAUCGUAGAAGGCGAGGAUAACACUCAAUUCUUUCACAUGAUUGCGAAUGGAAAGCAUCGGAAGAAGAGAAUUUUUCAAUUAGAACAAGAUGAAGGAACCAUAGUUGGUCAGGAUAAUCUCAAAGAAUACAUUACAAAUUAUUACAAGCAGUUGUUUGGUAACCCGGUAGAGACUUUUGUGGCGUUGGAUGAGUCUAGGGUUGAGGAUGUGCCUCAACUUGAGACCGCCGAGAACGAGCUAUUGACUGCUCCUUUUUCGGAGAAAGAGGUGUUUGAGGCUAUUUCUCAAAUGGAGAACAACAAGGCUCCAGGUCCGGAUGGGUUUCCGGCGGAGUUCUACAAGAAGUGUUGGCAUUUUAUCAAGGGUGACUUAAUGCCCAUGUUUCACGAGUUCUUUGAGGGUCAGCUACAAUUGUUCAAGCUGAAUUUUGGGACGAUUACUCUUCUGCCUAAGAAGACGGACGCUGUUCGGAUCGAGCAGUUUCGACCCAUCUGUUUGCUAAAUGUGAGUUUCAAGAUCUUCACUAAGGUUGGCACAAAUAGGCUUACACAAAUAGCACACUCAGUAGUUCAGCCGUCUCAGACAGCUUUCAUGCCGGAUAGAAACAUCCUGGAAGGGGUUGUUGUCUUGCAUGAAACACUCCACGAAAUCCACUCCAAAAAACUGGAUGGUGUAGUUUUUAAAGUGGAUUUUGAGAAAGCAUAUGAUAAAGUCAAAUGGCCUUUCCUGCAACAAGCGUUACGUAUGAAAGGUUUUCAUCCGGCAUGGAGAAACCAAAUUAACUCUUUAACGCAAAAAGGGAGUGUGGGGAUUAAGGUGAAUGAUGACGUUGGUCACUAUUUUCAAACUCACAAGGGCCUACGGCAAGGAGACCCUAUGUCACCGAUUCUAUUUAACAUAGUGGCCGACAUGCUGACUAUUUUAAUAGGUCGGGCAAAGGAUGCAGGACAGGUAGGUGGCCUGGUUCCGCAUCUAGUAGACGGCGGGCUAUCUAUUCUCCAAUAUGCUGAUGAUACUAUCAUAUUUAUGGAGCAUGACAUGGCGAAAGCUAGGAACAUGAAGCUGCUGCUAUGCUUAUUUGAACAAUUGUCCGGGCUUAAAAUCAACUUCCACAAGAGCGAAUUAUUUUGCUUUGGAAGAGCUAAUGAUGACCGGGAAUCGUAUCAACAAUUGUUCAGAUGUGAAUUGGGUUCCUUACCUUUCUCGUACUUAGGUAUACCCAUUCAUCAUCGUAAGCUAACCAAUGCUGAGUGGAAAUGUUUGGAGGAUCGGUUUGAAAAGAAACUGAGCUGUUGGAAAGGAAAGCUCAUGUCAUAUGGAGGGCGAUUAAUUCUGAUUAAUUCGGUCCUUACUAGUAUGCCGAUGUUCCUGCUAUCCUUUUUCUUGGUUCCGGUUGGAGUUAGGAAAAGGUUAGAUUUCUACCGAUCUCGAUUCUUUUGGCAAAUUGACGAGCUUAAGCGGAAGUAUAGACUUGCGAAGUGGGAUAUUAUUUGCAGACCUAAAGACCAGGGUGGCUUAGGUAUUGAGAAUUUGGAAAUCAAAAAUAUAUGUCUCCUUAGCAAGUGGCUUUUUAAGUUAUCAUCUGAGACGGAGGCCACUUGGGCACAACUUUUACGCAAUAAGUAUCUCUAUGCUAAAACCUUGGCCCAAGUGUCGGUGAGACCUUCAGAUUCGCCUUUCUGGAAGGGGCUAAUGAGAGUUAAACAAUUAUUUUUCAACAAGACUAAAUUCAUUGUUGGGAAUGGUACCACGACGAGGUUUUGGGAGGAUACAUGGCUUGGGGAGACUCCACUAGCACUUCAAUAUCCUUCUUUGUAUAACAUAGUCCAACGUAGAGAUGCCUAUGUGGCUACUGUUUUACAGUCUGUUCCCCUCAAUAUCAGCUUUAGGCGGACGCUUGUUGGUAAUCGUUGGGAGGCCUGGCUCCAUCUGGUUCGACGUCUGAUGGAUGUCAGAUUGUCCGCGCACCCUGAUCAGCUGCAUUGGAAGCUUACUAAGAACGGUGUGUUCUCGGUCAAAUCAAUGUAUCAGGAUGUCAUUAACUCUUCGGUCAUACCUACCUCCUUACAUGUCUGGAAAGUUAAGGUACCCUUACGUAUCAAAGUGUUUAUGUGGUUCGUGCAUAAACAGGUUAUAUUGACUAAGGAUAAUCUUGCAAAACGUAAUUGGGUAGGUCCGUCUCGGUGUAGCUUCUGUGAUCAUUCUGAAAACAUUAAACACCUCUUUCUCGAUUGUCCGUUGGCUAAGAUUCUGUGGCGGUCGGUUCAUAUUGCUUUCAAUAUCAGUCAGCCUACCUCUAUUAGUAUGUUAUUUGGAACAUGGCUAGAUGGGGUGGAGUAUGACAUUGCGAGACACAUUCGUGUUGGCGCUUGUGCUCUUUUGUGGGCAAUAUGGAAAUGCAGAAAUGACUUAGUCUUUAACAGAUCAACAAACUUUCACUUUUUGCAGGUUGUUUUCAGAGCCACAGCGUUCAUCCGUAUGUGGUCGCUACUCACUCCGACGGAGGCCAGGGAGCGUUUGGUUACUGCGUCUACCCGAUGGGAGAUGGUAGCUCGGGAUAUUUUCAACCGGUUUGGAUGGCGGUCAUGUAAUAGGAUAGAGUGAUCCUAUAGUUUUGCCAGCCGGUUGUGGCUUUCAGCUUUUCUUACUUGCAGAUUUUGUUUUAAUUUGCACUAUGACCUUUCUGUACUUUUGAGAUUGGUUUCGUAUUAUUAAUAAUAUGAGCCGUAUGCAUCAUUCUGAUGCAGAGGCUGGGGCGCGGCCCCUUUUCCAAAAAAAAAAUCAUUACUGAUGCUCAACUAGUCCACUUGACAAGGCCCUACCUCUUAGCAGUAUUCCUCCGUUGAGUCUUUUUAGAGAUUUCAGUACAGACUAUAUACGGAUGUAUAUAAACAUAUUUUAAAAUGUAGAUUCACUCAUUUUUCUCAGUCCAUACUAGAAUCUCUAAAUUAGGAACGGAGGGAGCAUAUAACAACAUGAUAAACCAGGGAUUUGAGAUCAUUAGGAACAUUAAAGAAUUAGUAGUAAAGUUCACUGCGCACUUGAUAGAGGCAAGGACACAUGCAUUAUUUGGUUCUAAUAGGACUACAUUGUCCAGAUUCUUGACAGGAAAAACCAGGGCGUGGGCGUGACAAUAUUACUAGUAUUGUCUGAAUAAAUUGUUUAUAUAUAAUUUAUAUCAAACUGCAGCCAUAUAUGGAUUUAGGCGCGUAUUCGUUUGAGAAAAAGUCCUUGAUAAAGCUAGGCAGAAGUACAUUUCUGUAUAUACAUUCAAGAGAAAGAGAUUCUACCAUGCACAAGGCAUCCUGCGCAUUAUUUGCCAUGCAGUGAGUUGGAUGUUCACACCUCCAUCAAUGUAUAUAUUCACUAUAUAGUGCGGAAAUUACCAAUGGUACUCGGGUACCUUGGUGCCCGUUUCCAAAAAACCAUUUUCUACGACCUAAUUUUUUUAAACAUACAUAGACAUGUAUACUAUGUAUGUGCAAAUUUUCAUAACAUUUUACUAACACACUUGGCAUACAAAAAAUAGUCAAAUAUGUAUUUUCAAAUGGGCCACUUUUUGUGGUUGUUAGGCCAGAAUAUUGUUUUUUUUUUGUAUAGCCUACAAAUCACAUUUUCUUUUCAAAACAGAAUUUCAUGGAUCAAUAGUGAACACAUAAAAGUUUCCACACUUUUUUGAAACUUUUAAAUAUGGUUAUUUAUUUAUUUUUCAAAAAAAUGUCCUCCAUGGUGCUCGAGCACCAUAACUUCGCACUCCUAAAUAGUGUUGAUUUCACAUGACACCUUUUUCCAUCAUGCGUGGGAAUGUUUUCCCUAGAUUCCCUCCACCUCACUACUCCCUUGCCUCUCACACCGCACACACAUCUCAAGUACAUGGAUAUAUUUUCCUUCUUAUACUUGAAACAAUUAUACAUUGAAACAAAUCUCGGAUAAAUAUUACGCUUGAGCGUGUGUGGUUCUUUUGAUGAUAUCUGCAAAGCAAGCCUAAUAUCGAAUAUGCUUUUGACAAUUUUGAAACACGGCGAAACUUAUAGGAAAUGGCCCGAACCACAAGAAACACAAUGCAACAUUAUGAUACACACACACUGGAACAAAUUAGCACACAAGCAGAAAAGAAACAUUAUAAUGGCUCCAAAACACGACGAAAUCCAAAAACAUUCGGUGAAGCACAACGAAACAUUGUGGUGUGCAACUGAAGAAGUCAGAAAAAUAAGGCAACACACAAGUACAAAACCAAACAUUACAAUGCAGCACAAAAUACGGUGAAACCCAACAAAAUUGGUUAAAGCAUACCCAAAAGCAAUGAGACAUUGUGGUGCACACCAGAUUAAGGCAGCACACCGACACAAAAUAAAACAUUAUGGUGUGCUCUAAAACAUGACGAACCCCAACAGAAUUAGGUAAUUAUUACUCUUAUAUUAUUGGAAGUUGAAUUUGUGUGUUACAUGUUAGAUGGUGCACUAAAUACAGACCACUCCUCAUAUGAAUAGUAAAAACUAUAUUGCAUUUGUGUUGUGAAUAAAUUUUAAAAAAAUUGGUCCUGUUUUACAGAACUCUUCUGAAUAAGCAUAAUUGUUUGAACAAAAUGUGAAUCAAGGUUAGCUUUUGUUACGAAAGAUAUCAGGCAUCAAAUUUCCAAAUGAAACUCAACUAAUUGUGGCUACCUUGGAGAGAGAAUCUGGCUUGGUUGAUACUUGCUAGGGAAUAUAAUAGCACAUGGUAAGAUGUUAGGUGAGAGAAAUUACUAUGCAUAUCCCAAUGAAGCAUGCAUGCACGAACCAGUGUCUUCACCAUAUGCACAACAACGGUGGUGGGGCGCUUGCAUAUAUACUAUGAAUAUCCAAGCGACUGAAAAGAUAAGGAUGCUAAAUAGCUAGUGUUUUCUGGCACUCCUUAUAUCGCAUUUCAUGUUUCUAUUUUGGUGCAAUGGGACGAUCAGCACAUGAUGCCUGCUGUUGCUGUAGGCUAGGUAACAUGCAUCCAAAACAUUUUGGUGCAAUGGGACGAUCAUAACUCACACGCAUCCCGGCUACAUGUGUCAAACAAAAUGAGAAACAUGGACCAUGAGUCCAUGUCCAUGCAUGUCUCCAUGAUGAUGAUGAACAUCAGUGUUAAGAUCACAGUGUUGAUGAUAUCUUGAUGUCACAACUUUGUUCGUCCAACCCAAUAACAUGCAUCUGGGCGAACAAUUUCCUUGAUAUAAUUCUAACGUUGAAGAUAUUUGGUUGAAUCCAUCAUUACUGAUGCUCAACUAGUCCAUGUGACAAGGUCCUAACUAGUAGCCUUAAUAAUAUAUAACAACAUAAUAAACCGGGAAUUUCAGAUCAUUAGAAACAGAAUAGAAUUAAUAAAGUUCAUUGCACACUUGAUAGAGCCAAUAACACAUGCAUUCCUAGUUCUAACAUCACACUGAUAAAGAGUAGUGAUAUCAUCACCACAAACAGAAGGGGGGAAAACAGUGAAAUCAAGGUAGUAACAUGCAUGCUCUACAACCUUGAUAAGCAAGCUAAGCUCUCGCGGAGCCAUUAUUGACAGAUCGAGCUCGCAAUCUCAUACAUAGCAGUACCAAAUGUUUCUUGCAAUACAUCAUCGAACCCAAAUCUAGUGAUCGACUACUAAGUAGUAACUGCAGGGAGGGAUCCAUACUAUAGAGAGUCCCGUAGCAGCUCCGGGUUCCGGCUCAAGCCAUGCCUUCCUGCGCUGCAGGCUGCAGCUCCUCUAGCUAGGCACCGCAACCGCCACCGCACCCUCCGCCAC
This 99664-nucleotide long non-coding RNA is filed under the name Triticum aestivum (bread wheat). Its description in RNAcentral is "long non-coding RNA (TAES_LNC007744)". The stretch from base 3285 to 3370 matches the Rfam family "MIR1120/MIR1122 microRNA precursor family". The record is from RNAcentral. Lineage: Eukaryota; Viridiplantae; Streptophyta; Magnoliopsida; Poales; Poaceae.